This 135804-nucleotide long non-coding RNA is filed under the name Lactuca sativa (garden lettuce). RNAcentral's name for it is "long non-coding RNA (LSAT_LNC002435)". The record is from RNAcentral. Lineage: Eukaryota; Viridiplantae; Streptophyta; Magnoliopsida; Asterales; Asteraceae.
CUUAAUCAUGCAUAUCUUUUAGAUGUCAGUUUGUCAAACACUGAUCAUUAUCCAGUCCUUAGAAUGUUUUUAUGGUUUGUACUAUGUUCCCCCUUCACUAAUUAAGUAGUGAAUGUUUCAUCAAUUGUAAGGUGAACGAAUUGAAGUAUUACUCCAAGAAUAGCAUUUAUUCUCUUCACAUCACUUUCAACUUUCUUUCAAGUCAAAGUUCUUUCUUAACAUUCUUCUUGUUCUUAAGUUACCUUUGCAUUGAUCAUACUCAUGUUUACUUUAUUUAUUUCUUGAAUACUUUGUUAAUUGAUUAUCUAUUUUGUGGCUUGAAUGGUUUACCAAACUUGAAUGGACCAAUACAUUAGAAGCAGACAUUGAUCUUAAACGUGUUAAUUCCAGGUUUGAGUUUUUAAACCUUGUCUGCGCAUAGAUCUUGUACUUACAACUCGUAUCAGAGCUUGAGUGGUUGUCCUUUGAAUCCAUAAGAAAAGAUUAUAAUUGAUCUGAGAUUACCAUGGUAUCUCAAUCAUUUACGUGUCCAGGAUAAAAAUUAUUCUAAAUACCACUUCUGCUCUAAUACUCUUAUCUUCAAUUGCUGCUCCUAACCUGUGACAACCCGAAAUUUCUCCCGUUAUUUUUAACCAGUCUCCGCUAAUAAAAUUUGAAUUUUAUUGAUUUUCCGUCAAAAUUCUUGGGUUAGAAAAUCAACUAAUGUUAUAGUUAUAAUGCUAUACGAGUCGAAAAACCAAAAAUCACGCGAAAAAACCACACUUUCUCAAAAAUCAACGUGUGUACGGCCAGGAGGAGUUUACAGCCGUAAACUCGUGUACGGCCGUAAACCCGUUUACGGUCGGUCCCAGGUGGACCUCACCACCGACCAUACCCUCCAGCCUAUAAAUACAGGACCCCCACCCUUAUUUGAACUUUCUUGGCUGAAAACACCCACUUUCUCUCUCUAACUCUCUUGACCGUAAACACCUAAAGCCCCUUAUUUCAUCCGAAAAACACCAGAAAUCGUCAUCUGGGGCCGUUUGGGAGCAUCUGGAACACGUUUUCAUUGAAAUCAAGCACCCUUGUUCUUGAGUUUACGACCAUAAACCUUUCAAAUCUUCAAAGGCCGUAAACCCUUCAAAGGACAGUUCACGGCCAUAAACCCUGUUCACGGCCGUAAACCCAGUUCACGGCUGUAAACCCCCAUUUACGGCUGUAAAUAACUUUUAAGUGGUGAAAAGCCUGUUCCCUCGAUUCAACCAAGUACCAGUAACAUUCCUUAACCAAAAACAAGUGUUUAUCUAACACUUUAUCUAACGAAAUCGUUAAUUUAGAUACGUAUAUGUAUUUAUUGGAAUUAGGAUUCCGUUAAGUGCCUCGUGCGUCGACUUGAAGAUCUUCCAGUUCAAUCCUUUACGCCCAAGAAACAGUGAGUUCAUACCCCUACGCUUUUAUAGUUUUUAAAAUGUUUUCAGGGGGAUACAAGCCAAACAUAAAGGUUUUCACAAGUUAAUAACUGAUGCAAUUUCAACGGUUUUACACCAAACAUUUAGAUACUCUAUCCCUUUUGUAAUAUGCAAAACAUAAGGGAUGUUUUCUAAAACAUAAUUGCAUAGUUUUCAGAACGGUACAUGAACAUAACAUACCAGUUAAACUAUAAUAGGUAUAGUUUGGGAAAUUCAUUAUCAGUUUUACAAAUUCAAACUACGUUCAAGGUUGAACAUAUAAACUAUGACAGAUUUAGUUUAUCCAUUAUUACAUACAGAUAAUAAGAGUAUCAUACUAAAUAAUUAUUUUGCGUAUAAUUAUUUAUACUCUACAUAGUAUAUAAAUGAUUUCAAACAUGCGAACAACAGAAUAACACGUAAACUAGUUAAUACAGGAUUGUGAGACGUCUCUUCAUUGUACCCUUCGGGGUACUGGUAAAUCCACUACAUUUAGUAUAGCCAGAGUCUCCAGGAGGGAGAGCGUAAAAUUUGUGAAUAGAUCUAUUUGGGAUCGACAAUCCCACACCUGAACUGUUAGCUACAGUUAGGCAGGCAUGUCUGGGGUGACAAAUUUUGUAACAUACGACGCCUGAAGAAACGUCGCAGAGGUCACCAGUUACAUUAGCAUGGCUAUACGAAAUCGCAAUAGUAUAACUAACCUUUGUUUACGGGAUUAUCAUUCUUCAAUAGUUUUAUUUUAAAUUAAUAAGACUACCUACACACUAUACUGGAGGGAAUUCCAGGGAUACAACAUUUGGUUUUAUUUUAAGUAAUAAGACUACUUUACAUAUCGGUGGUAGCUAGGGUUUUCGAAACAGAAUAUACAUACUGGUGGUAGCCAGGGUUUCCAAAAAUAAUAUACAUACUGGUGGUAGCCAGGGUUUUCCAAACAAGAACAUACAUACUGGUGGUGACCAGGGUUUCGAUACAAACGAUGUUUUACAUAUAAUGAAAAUAAAUCAUUUAUACAAAUUUAGUGAGUAGUUUUCAUUACAAAAACAUGCUUAUGAAUUCACCAGCUUUAUGUUGAUUUGUUUUCAAAACUGCUUGUAUUCUCAGGACAACAAUACUAAUUAAUUCCAUAACUUAUGUGUUUAAAAGUAUUCAAAACUAAUUAAUUCCAUAACUUAUGUGUUUAAAGUAGUUUUAAUCCAAAAACUCUUCAAGUUCCAUAACUUGAGGACAAGUUAUGGAAGACUUUAAACUAAUAAAAGAACUAACUUUUUCUUUAUUUUAUAACUUAUGGAUUUAAUUAUGGUUACAUAUUUUUCUUUAAUGAAGUGACUCUUGAACUUCCAUAACUUGAGGACAAGUUAUGGAGUCAUAAAAAAUUAUUCAAUGACACAAGACUCUUCAUUUUGUAACCAUUGCCAACUUUUAUGAGUUUUAUGAGUCUUUAAUGUGACUCUUCAUGUAACUUGAGGACAAGUUACACAAACACAUUUUAUACUCAACUCUUAGAUUAAAAUGGAUUGAAAACAACUAUUUCAAUUAACUUUUCUAUUAAUCUAAGCAACUCAUAAGAACAAGAUAAUUCAAAUCAAACUUUUUCAUGUAAUUAGUCUAAACCUUAAACUAAUACAAAACAUGAAUCUAUUGACAAUUAUCUUUGAAAAUGGAUUAGCAUGAACAUUACCACAUCAAAAACAAGUUUAUAAGUUCAAAAACAACUUGGGUUAAUGUUCCUAGUCCAUUUCUAGCCAAAAAAAACUCGAAAAUAUGCUGUCUGGGGGUCCAACUCGUCGAGUGCAUGAACCAACUCGACGAGUUGGAUCGAUUUGAUCACUUUUUAGGCAUGGACUCGCCGAGUCUCCUGAUGGACUCGCCGAGUCUGAUGACCAGACAGCACCAGAUUCGUUUUUUCAGCUUCUAUUGCAGGUAUAACAAGAAAACAAGCCUAGGCUCUGAUACCACUGUUGGGUUUUGAGCAUUCUAACACUCCUAAGUGUACAUGCAACCCUAAAUACCUUGGAUCUAUGUUUUCUCUAUUAUACAUGCAAAUAAGAACUUCCAAGGUAUUAUCCUAAUCUAGCAUACAAAACAAUGACUAUAACAAGAUAGAAUACAUACCUCUUUGAUGUAGAAAGUCUUCAUGAAGCUUGAGUGCCUAGUGCCCCAAGUGUGACACCUCAAAUGGAAUCACAAUCAUCAAAACACUUGGAAUGACUUGAGAGAAUUCUACACUCUUCAAAAUCGGCUAGCCCUUUCUUCACUAUCACUAGUGGCCGAUUUUUCCUCAAUAAUAAGAUGCUUAUAUAGUUACACAAUUAGGGUAAACUCUUAAUUGUCAUGGCUUUCCAUUUCCUUGGAUCCAUGGGUACAAAUACACCAUGGAGCAUCCAUGGACCAUCCUAUGGGUUUUAGCCCAACUUGAUUAUCCAUGGAGCAUUAGCCCACUAUACAAGUAUGGAUGAUUUACACAAUCAACCCAUAUAUUUAAUUAGUCUUCUUUUGAUCACUUAAUUAAUCCUAGAUUAAUUCUUGAUCAAUACUAAUUAAAUAAUCUUAUUAUUCUUAUUAUUAAUAUACUAGAACUUAUAAUAUAUUAAUAACCAUAAGUGUCUUAUUUCUCUCAUUAUAGUCUAUCCAAGUGCAUGAUGGUAUGCAACCCAAAUGGACCAUGCCGGGUCGGGUCAAGUCUUACCAAUUAUAGUUAUGGACUUAGACAUUAAUCCAACAGUCUCCCACUUGGAUAAGUCUAAAACUAUUAUUGCGUAUGACUUCAGGAACCAACUGGCAAUCGUAGCUCUCAAAAGCUUCUGUCGAACUCUGACCUUGUAGAUGAACUCUGACCUUUGUCAAUGACUUGUCCAUUAGAUAAGGGAUCAUAUAUUCCUCCAUUCUAGAUAUCAUAUGGACUGAGACAUGGAUUAUAAUCAUUCUCUCUGUCCAUUUGUUGUUUCCCGAUUUCCGAUUUAUGACGACUGACUAAUUGAACAAAUCAAAUCAGUCCUGGCCCGGCCGAGCACUUCCAUUUGUCAUCAUCAAAUCAUCGAGGGGCCCACAGAUAUCGCUUUUAUCCCGAAGGUAAAAGGAAUGGAUAAACUUCGACUCAUAUGGCUUGUUCUACUACUUGUUGAAUCAUACACAAAGGCACGUUUUAUAGCACCGAGUUACCAAAUGCGUUUUCGUGCAAUCAAUGUACUAUCAACUCAUAGUAACAACUCAUAUCUCUAGGUUUGAAGAAUAUAAGAUAUUAUCGUCUCAUGAUCACUCGUGAUAAAAUCCAUGAAGUGAUUCCAAUGAGCGCGGGUUGAAUCCAAUACUCAGAACUUAUGAGCACUCAUGAGUGUUGUAGCCCUUUGUCCAACACCUUAGACCUCUACAAGCCAACCCAUGACAGUCUUAAUUCAUAUCUACUUCCAACAUAUGACCGACUGUGGAUGGUUUGAAUAACUUAGUCAUUCCGGAAGAAUAACCCAGUUUAUUCGGGAAGUCAAAACAUGCAAAAUGAAACACAAUAAUAAUUGAAUCCAAUAUGGUAUCAACCCUUUGAACAUAAAUAAAACACCUUUUAUUUAUCACCAUAUGAUUACACAUUAUUCAUUGUAUACUGUUUCAGCUAUCAACUUUAUUCUUGAAUUUAAAACAAUAGUUGUCCCAUGCUCCAAGCAUGUACACUAUGUUUUCUUAAACACUAGUCAUGCCACACACCAAGUAUGCAUACUAUGUUUGUCUAUGAUCUUUACUUUGUGAACUAGAUCAAUUGAACAUAACUUCAAUGAUUCUCUUUUCACACUCCCAAAUCCUUACUGCAAAUGCAAGAAUUCCAAAUUCAUGCCAUUUACUGAAAUCUGUUAGAUUCUAAACUUAUAUGCAUUGAUCCUCUUGUAAUGAUUAUGCACAAAGUCACAAAGACUUGGCAACAAUCAUUACAGAGUAUUCCAAAGGAGAUCAACUCCUUGGAAAUAUCCUUCUUGCAUUAAGUUUCCUUAAUCUUACACAGAUUGAAAAUUCUAACUUUGAAACAUUUCCAGAUUCCAUUUUGACUAUCACUUCUGAACAAGAGUUGCCUCCUUACAGAUUAUGUCAAUAUGGUCCUUCCAGAAUUAUCACUAUACUUCCAAUUGUCCUUGAGUAACCAAUCUUUGGUAAACCUUAGAUUGUCCUCGACAAUUGUUUAAUCCUUUUAGUCAUAUCCAGUUCUAAACCUUUUCCCUUCUUAAUGCCCCAGGCAUUUGGAAAAUUUUAGAACGGAUGAAUAUAGCACAUGUAAUCGAUCCUAUAUCCGAAGCAUAUGGGACACGAUUCAUGAUGUCUUACAUAAAGACUAAACCAGUCUUUUGCUAUAAUAUUUCCAUUUCAAUUUGCCAAGUUCUCAUAAUUCAGAUUAUGAAAAGGGAUGCCGUAAUCAUAAUCGAAUUUUAGAACGCAAAUAAUGGACCCAUAUACAGAAUUUCCUUAUGUUGAGCCAUUCCAACAUGAAAUUCAUAUAUAUCCUUGACUAAAUGAUUAAAACCUCACGAUCUAAGCUUAUAGAUUUGAGAUGAAGCAUAAUUUCCUCUCCCUUAAUUAUAGCAAAACAACUUUUUCCCAAUUGAAACUUUUGUUUUCUAUAAUUAACAUUGCUAACUUGCAAUACUUAUCAUAAUUAUCAUGCUCCCACUAACAUGAUGAUUAUUAGCAUAACACUUAUGCUCCCACUAGCUUUGACAUGUACUCAGAAAUCAGCUGGACAGUCUGAAAUUUAGAUUCAUACACCCUUUCCGUAGAUAGCUCACCUGUGUGUCUAAGCAAUUUCAAGAACCAUGAAAAGGGAUACCGUAAUCAUGGUCUCAAUUGCUUAGGCAUUUGCCAUUUCUCACAAGUCCAUGUUAGUGUGCCGGUUAACCACACGCGCUCCACUAACGACUUUUGAAAAUGCAAAUAACACAAUUGAUAUCUUCGUAAAAUCUACUUAGUGAAAGCGUUUCCUCACCAUCAUUUUCAUGAAUCGGAGAGAAACCUUAUGACACUUAGAUUUAUAUGGUGUAUGAGUUCCUACCCAUAUGAAUUUGUCAAACCAUAAUCACAAGACAAAGAUAAUGACAAAUCCAAAACCAUAUGGAUUGAACUCAAUCUUAACUUCUUGCCACCUGGCAGCUCAAGGGCCUGCCAUUGCUUCCAAGUUGUUGUGCAACAAAUUGAGAACUCUAAGAACUCAUAUGCAAAACCAACUUUAACUGGAAUGGGCACAGAAUAUGUCAACACGAUAGGUUAUGAACCUCAAGUCGUGUGCUAGUGAAGAACUUUAGGUUUUAUUCUUGAUUAUUUCUUGAGACUUUCAAGACCUUUAAGACUCCCACUGUCCUCUUGACAUAUAAGACUCCCUUGUCAAACAUCCAAGAGAUAGUGCGGAUUCUAAUCAAGAAAAACACUUUACCCAAUUGGCCUAAGUUGGUCUUUGUUUUAUCCAAAACAUCACAACUUACCAAUUUCAAAUGUACAAGAGUAGAAAACUUUUACUCUUACAUUUGACAAGUGUUUUAAACCUUCUUUAAGACAUGUCACUCAAAUGACAAUCUUGGAGUAUGACUCUAAGACUUGUAUUGGAACGAAGUAUGACUCAUCUUCUUGAUUUAACCAUUUCAACAAUUCAAGUUCCUCUUCUUAGUCAUAAGAAUGCACUAAGAUUUCCUUAGAGAACUAAUUUUGAUAUGGUUUCUUAAUCAUUAAGAUGAUCACAAAACUGAUACUAAAGUACUCUCCCAUCUUUUCAGAUUUGAGAAACUUUUAUCCUUCUGCCUUAUUUGAUUCUUCUUAUCGAUCUUUAGUGGUGGACUUAAUCAGUGCACAAGAAUGUGUACUCGAUCCCUAAGUCCUUUACUUGACUCACACAUCCAUGUGAACAAGUAAUUAGUCUUAAUUUUCCAAAACUUGAAAGUUCUCAUUCAUCAUGCUAUACAACUUGCAUGAUUCCAAGUUCCGGUCCAAUUGAAACUUGGGUGAUGAGAAUCUUUCCUUAUUUGGUAAAUUUAGACAUUACCACAAAUGAAAGAAUCAAUUUCAUACUUCCACUCUUGCUACUAAUGGAAUCUUAUAAGCAACAAAAAUUUCCACAGAUGCCAUUGUAAGGAUAUUUUAAAAUAAAUAAAAUCAAAAAUUUCCUUUUAUUUUAAAACUUUGCGGAAAAACUAUCCUUACAAUCCAUAUGAAAACUUGUUGUUAUCUAUUCCUAAGCAAUAUCUCAUAACUCCUAAGAAGUAGCUCAAGAAUCCGAUUUUUCAAACUAUGCGAUAGAAAUCCAUCUAUGCGAUCAGAUUCAGCAUAUUCUUCCUUUAAGUUUCUUCACUUUCCUUUGAUUCUUAAACCAUCACCAUGCGACCCGGUCACAUCAUGUAUCAAGAAUCUCAGAAUAGAAACUUAACAGAGUUAGAUAGUGGAUUUUACCUGAAGUAGAGUCAAACUUAUUGACUUUAACAUCCUUAGGUAAAUUUGGCAGCUUCGCAACCAAUGCCCUUUCUUUGGCAAUACAAACAUAUGGACCCUUUGAUAAUGGUACACAGGACUAUCACAGACUUAGCUUUUCUCUUUACCAUUUGGUCAACCGAGUUGACUAUAGCCGAUCCCUUUCCAUUGGGAAGAGAAUGCUUUACUGGAUAUCCAAUGUCAUCAUUGUCAAUGUCCAUAAAGUUUUAGGAAGUUGAUCUUAGCAAAUAGAUAAGAUCAUUAAGGGUCUUGUCAUAGUCUGUUUCAUAGGUGUCCCAAAGGAACUCACUAUGUGACUUAGAAAGUGGUUGAACCACCAACUUUCUCAAGACUUUGACACCCAACUCUCCCGGCUUGUCAAUAUGUGACUACAUCUCCAAGAUGUGACCACACCUAGACCUUGCCUUGCCAAUAGGGCCUGAGUGACCUUAAACUUUUCAAGAACUUGUGGGUUAGGGAGAAUAAUUUGAAGAGGUGAAGAAGUAUGAUAUCCAUGGGACAUCAUCUUCAUUAGGAAACCUUGUUUCAAGAGAUUUGGGAAGAUCAUAGGUGUCUAAACCAGACAUCUUUUGGGAGAUAUUCAAGAUAGUUGAUUUAAAGUCCUUAAUAUGACACCCAAUAUGAAAUAUUAAGGCUAGGACCCAACAAACUAUUUUAUAACUUAGAAGAGGUAUGCCGUAAUCCAAGCUAUAAAAUAUUUGAAGGUAGGUGAAUGACGAUUCACCAAUUUCCACCAAGAUAAACGAAAUGUAUUAUUAGGUUUUAAUUGGUUUUGAAACUCCUAGAUCUUUGAGAUUCAUUGAACUUUUCAAAGGCAUGUUUCAAUCUCGAGUGUGCCCUUCAGGUUUUGUGACUGGGAUGCCGAGGAUCACAAAACAAGGUGUGAAGUAACCAUGCAAAUCACUUGGUACCCUUAAUAAAUUACCCCUCAAUCGAUGUGCCGGUUAACCACACACGCUCCAUCGAUACUAUGAUAAAUAUUAAGUCACCCUUUACCUACCUUGUUAAGUCCAAGUUAGUGUGCCGGUUAACCACACACGCUCCACUAACGACUUAGACAAAGUGUAAAGUGUAAUUUCAUGGAUUAGCACCUUAUUCACAUUUUUCCUAAGUAACUAAGAUUGGGUAUUAUUAAGAGUUUAGUUACUUAGUAUUAUCAUUAAUACUUUUAAUGAAGGGAGAAUUCUAGUCCUGUCAAACCCGUUCGGCUAACGACCCUCCACCAGUCAAGCAAGCGGUGGGUGAGAGUGGACACCCAUUAAGUUGCCAUUUUAUAGGCAACAACCUUAUACCCACCUUAUAGACCGGCUUCGUGAAUGAGGCGUACUAGCGGUAAGACUGACUUUACUCUUAUACAUAUAUAUAUUAUUAACUUAUAAUAUUAUAAAGUAUAAGGGUUGAAUUUUAACUUUUAAAAUUCUAAGGGCUAACUUGGAAUUAAAGUAUUCAUAAGUGAAAACUUUACAAAUUCCAAAACUUGAGGGCAAGUUUUGAAACUAUUCAAAACUAAUUAAUUCCAUAACUUAUGUGUUUAAAGUAGUUUUAAUCCAAAAACUCUUCAAGUUCCAUAACUUGAGGACAAGUUAUGGAAGACUUUAAACUAAUAAAAGAAUUAACUUUUCUUUAUUUUAUAACUUAUGGAAUUAAUUAAGGUUACACCUUUUUUUAUUUUAUUUUAUUUUAUUAAAUGAAGAGACUCUUGGUCCUCCAUAACUUGAGGACAAGUUAUGGAGUCAUAAAACCAUUUAAUUAGAACUAGACUCUUCAUUUUUGUAACCUUUGCCAAUUUUUAUGAGUUUUAUGAUUCUUAAAUGUGACUUUUCAUAUAACUUGAGGACAAGUUACAAAAACACAUUUUAGAAUCAAUUCUUAGAUUAAUUUGGAUUAAAACCAACUAUCACAUAAUUUUAUUCAUUAAUCUAAAUUCACUCAUAAAACAAGGUAACACAAAAAACUUUUGGUGAUCCAUAACUUAUUCUUAAGUUAUGGAAUCCUUUAAAACAUUAACACCAAAUUUUGUAACUCCAAAAAAACUUUGAAUCAAUUUUUUUUUUAAAACCUUUUCAUAUCCAUAACUUAUGGAGGUUUCAAAAAAUAAAACUCUUUAGAUCAAACUUUUAAAACUAAUAAAAUAAUCAUAUUAUUUUAUCUUUUAUUAAAUUUGACCUAAUUCAACUCAUAAAGCAAAUUAUUCAAAUUUUACAAAUAAUUAGUUUUUCACAAGAACAAGUAAUUAUCUUAAAAUUUGACAAACUUCAUGUUUUUUUUUUUUUUUUUUUUUCAACUUUGAAAAUAAAAUAUUUGCAUCAAUAUAACAGAAAACAACCCGUGGCUCUGAUACCACUGUUGGGUUUUGAGCAUUCUAACACUUCCUAAGUGUACAUGCAACCCUAAAUACCUUGGAUCUAUGUUUUCUCUAUUAUACAUGCAAAUAAGAACAUCCAAGGUAUUAUCCUAAUCUAGCAUACAAAAACUAUGAAUGUAACAAGAUAGAAUACAUACCUCUUGAUGUAGCUUGAUGUCUUCAAGCUUUAAGAGCUUAGCCCCAAUAGUGUGGAAGCCUCAAGUGGAAUCACAAAUCACCAAGACACCUUGGAAUACUUUAGAGAAUAUGAUUACUUGGUUCUCUCUAGUGAAAUUGGCUAGCCCUUCUUUAGUGUAUCCACACUAGUGCCAAUUUCACCAACCAAAGACAUCUUUAUAUAGUAUGGAGGAUUAGGGUUAAACCCUAAUACCCAUGACCUUUCAUUUCCUAGGAUCCAUGGGUUAAACACUCCAUGGACUAUCCAUGAAAGCUUAGCCCAACCUAAAUGAACUUGGCCCAUUCCAUAUAUAUAAGAGUCCAUAUUUAAUUAGUUCAUUUUGAUCACUUAAUUAAUUAUAAAUUAAUUCUUGAUCAAUACUAAUUAAAUAAUAUGAUUCCAUAUUAAUAUAUUAGAACUUAUAAUAUAUUAAUAUUAAUCAUAAACAUACUAUUCUCAAAAGAUUAUCCAUAUAAAUUGUGUCGGUGAAGUGCAACCCAAAUGGACCAUGCCGGGUCGGGUCAAGUACAUACCAAAUAUAGUUAUGGACUUAGACAUUAAUCCAACACUCAACACAUGCAUUCAAUGCAAAUAGCAAACAAUGUGGGCUGCCCUACAAGUGCCCUACUGUUGGUUGUUGAAGAGUAUGACCACUGGAAAGUUAGAAUGGAAAGAUUCAUACUUGGAAAACAGCGUCGCUGCUUGAUCGGCGGGGAGGAGCAUCUCAAAGUAUGGGGCAAAGGAUCAAAGGCUUUUACAUUGUCACCCGGGAUCCACCACAGGUUGGGUUUGAGAGCCGUGGCAGUCAAAGACCUUGCAACUAAGGGCUUCAAUUGAUGCCUUCAAGCUCACCUAGCUUGGUUCUAGUGUUGUGACUGGCACUCUACCAAAUCCAUCAAUUCUUGGAUUGGUUGAUUUCUGAGAGAGUUGCUCUUCCGACUGCUCGUAUUCAUCUCUUCCCCAUGAGGGCAAUCAGCCCCUUGUCACACUAAUAGAAUCUAAACACUUUCAAAGUGUGGUGGAUUUAUAAAGGUAGGUUGGUUGUGCUUGGGUCUCCUUCUCUUGUGUGCGUCUUAACUAUUAUUGAAAGGANAUUCCUUAGUAGCUUUGACAACAUUCGUCUCCGUGUGAGCCCUCAUCUCAUGCUCCUACUACCUCUUAACUUCAAAUGGGAGUGAUGGACGAGUGAAGAUCGCCAGCUCUUUCUUCCCCGUGAAUUGACUUCAACUGAAAUCGGGCGGACCGGCUUCUCCCUUUGAGCAUAGCAUGCUUUUGGGGAGUAAGUCACUUAAUAUAGUAUAUUAUGUGAGAAUCGAUUCUUACAUCACAUCAAAAUAGCAUGUCUAUAUACUUAUCUACAGGCAGUUCCUCUUUUUUACCUUCCAUUNUAAUAGAGAAAGCAGGCGUGGAGGAAUACCAAAGGUAGCUAAAGGCGUUGAAAAAGCCUAACUCUCUUCUUUAGCAACACUUCAAGCUUCUCUUCCGUCUACCGAUCCACGGUUUGCCAUAAAUAGCGCUUUCUUUUUUAACUUCGGGUAUAGAUAGUAUCGAAUUGCUAUAGGCAUGUGGGCUUUAAGAUCCUUGGGCGUCCCAGAAGACCAUCACUCAGGUUUCACUGAUCGAGCAACGUGGUUAUUUCGUGGACCUUUCUGUUCCUAGUUAAAGUGUAGGCCUUUUGGACUUAAGCUGGGAUUUGGUAUUUCGACCCAGGUGUUACUAUCAUUUCUAGGCAUCGUCUGUACUUAACAGUUCCCUUUAGUGUAGUUUCUCGGAGAUAUCUGGAUUAUUAAAAAAAACAAAAAACGGGGACGAAAGAGAAGAAAAAAGGUAGUUUACUUGCUUAGUGCUUGUGCGCUAAGGGAAGAAAGAUCGAAAAGUCGAAACUUUCGAAAGCGCACUCACUCUUCUCAAAAUAUCUUAAGAGAAGAAAGAUCUACGCUACGAAAAGGAGCGAGUUGAGCAUUGAAUUUUGAACACAGGCCAAACUACGCUCCUAGGCUCCCUUCUUCGAGGUUGAUUCCCCCAGAUCAAAUGACAAGGAGCCAAAAGCGAAGAUGGCAGCGGAGGAAUCUGAUGGCUAGGCGAAUGGGGGGUUGAAUACUCCGAGUCAACAGGGUUGGUUGGAAAGCCUCAGAAGAGCCGCUUAUGUUAUGAGCAGGGUUCUAAAUAAUCAGCCCUUUGAAUGAAUUGAAUAAUCAAGGCUUUCCCGAUAGAAAGAUUUGUCAGAUGGAUUCCAUAAGGAUGGACGUGGUGCAUUGAACACUAAGGCCUCUCCACUCGACGUAAUCAGUAUUUAGACUCAAACAAACCCAACUAAACCCUGAGGACACCUUCUGCUUGGAGGGCACAAUCCAGCAUUUCUUACAAAGUCUUACAACGGAUGUGAGCUUAACAACCCUCGUGCCAUGCCCAAGCCCUUACCUUCGCCCUAUACCGAAAGAUAUUAGUUCAUUGAUCAACUACCACUUGAUCCCCUAGGUAAAGGAAUUUAUCUAAGGUACCAAAGAGUCCCCUCCGAAUAAGUAGGGCUUUGCUGGUCUUGCAAGCAUUCGUCUACGCUUGCUCACAAAACUGCUAAGGUUAAGAUAGCCAAUCCCGUUUUGUUUCGGCAGAAACGAAGAAAUUUCGAACAGUGUAUUAUAGUCGACGGGCCUCUAGCGACGAUCGGACCCAGAUAAUCAAUGUAUUCAUCAUGCCCCCCUGGUUCGGUGAAAGAAUUUAGAUUUCCCGAUGAGGUAGCCUGCUGGGACUUUGCUAUAAAAGGGAUUAGCGGCUUAAUGCAUGGAUUUGAGCUGUGAAACUAGUGCUAUAACAGAAAUUGCCCUUAAUGCGCAAAUAAAAGCCCUCACAACACUCGAUACCUGCUCCCGCUUAUUGAUUAGGGUGAGUCACUCAAGUCCCUUGUCACUCGUCCCUCUUUUACGUUUACGAAAAUACCGGGCUUUAUGCUUUUUUCGGAAACUAAACUAAAGUAGCUCGUCAACCUAAAAACAGAGGACUUCCCUCACUAUGAAAGGUGUCCCGUGGAUGGGAAAUGCCAUAAAGCGCGAACCAAGAUCCGUGAGACGAAAACCAAAAUAAGAAUGAGGAAGAAAAAGAUAUUGUGAUGUAAGUCAAAAUAGAACACUAGAAAAUUUUGAAAUCGAUAACAACAUUUAUAGAGCUUUUGCUCUAUGAUAAUAAUGAAAAGACCCAGAAAUAACGAAUAAUGAAACAACCCCAAACCCUACCAGCUUUCCAGGCCAUUCAAUCCCCGUCAUUCCAUUUUAGCUCACCUCCAACCGGAAAGCUUUCGCGAUGAUGUUUUCCGAGAAUACAUCCUUCAAAAAUGGGAUUUGGUUGGAUGGAGUCUCGCAGAAGAAUAUCAUUUUUAUAAAGGGGCGCUACAACUAGCAGCCACUUUCUUAUUAGUAAGAUAGGUUGCUUGAGCCAAUCCUUAAAUCGUGGGAGGAAAAGNGGUUUAGAGUUAGAGGAAUAUCAAGAAUUGGAAUAUCAGUCAGAAAUUGAAUAAGAGAAGCAAAGACGGGUUAUAGUAUAGUAGAAUCAAUAAUCAUCUAGCGGGGACAGUUUCACUUAUAGGUCAAGGGUCUCGCCCAUCUCUAUUCGUCUAUCCUCUUCCUAGAUCGAAGCUUUCCUUGGCUUCGAAGCCUAUCUCCACCAUGACCUCUUUCUCCUAGCUCUAGCUGUCGAAAUAAACCGCCUCUCCCUCUGUCCUAGUCAAUUCAUUCUUUCUUGGCCUCUUCGUCAGUAGGGGUCUGNGAAUCUAACCUCAAACCUUUCCUUUAAGAUAAGAAAAGCGUAUCGCCCUUUCCUCUAUCAACUACCAUCAGAAACGCGGAAAGAGCCUAUCUCUUACUCUUAAAUCCAGUAAAGCUUAAGAGAGGUACUGAAAAAAAAGACUAAGUGACCCGAGAAGCCCACCCUUUAGGUCCCUUUUCAUAGACGAGAGAAUGAGGAUCGAUUUAGUGCUGAAAGCCUUAAAAGCAUCAAUACGAUUUCAGCUUGCCCCUAUACUCUAUGAGAUAGAAACUUUUGCCAUUGAAGGGUCCUCAUAGAAGGAAAGAGUGAAAGUCUCAUUUUGACACUAGCGAGAUACCUACUUUCUAAUGGAUCUCUCAGUCUACGAAGGAAAAAGUGAGAACGUUAAAAUGCCUUUCUAAUAGAAAGUUUCUACAUGCUAUCUGGAGCUAUAGGUAGAGGAAUUUGAUCGAUUGGCUUUCAAGCUGAACUAUGUAAUUAAGAAGUGUAAUGCCAAACUGAUUAGCUAAGAGAAGCCCUGGAGUAAGGCUUUAGCCUCAGCCUCCUAUUGCCCUGACCAAAGUUGCAUGAGAAUGCUAAAACAAUUAAACCGACUCUCUAAUGCAGCCACCUACUGCACUAUUUAAGUCAAUAGCAGAACCAUCCACAUUUAGUUUAAGGCCUGUAAUAUGAGGAAUCUGAGCCAUUUCCCUCUUUUGGGAAUGGCGGGCAGAAUGAUUAUCAAGGCUUGAAUGCAUGUCUGAUCAUGAAGACUGAGAGAGUAAGAAGCCUUAAGAGAUCUGAGCACCACUUCAAAACACUUAGGAUCAUUUUUGUUUUUCUUUGAAGGAUCUUCACACAGGGAAAGAGCUCCUAAGUGCUAAGUCCGACAGUGCUCUCCACCCUGGAUAAAGGUCUAUGAGGUGUGGGAUGUCUUCCCUUCCUGAGUUAGUGCCAAAAGAAUAGUAAGCAAUGAUCAUGUUGCCAGCAUGCUAUGCGACUAGUCGAUUAUCUUACUAAGCUAAGAACUGGAUCUCCAUCCAAGAAAGUCAAUAGAUAUUUUUUAUGGCUUUCAGUGCCCCUAGCACGAGAUCAUCGAACUGCACUUGAAUUAAGAGGUUCACUUCACUGCUGGUAUGCUUCUCCCAUGCAUCAACCAUGAAUCACUACUCUCUAAUGCUCUCUUCACUCCUUUAAGUCACUGACAUUUCCUAUUCUUAGCUCGGAUUAGCAAGCUUGAAUCAUUCAAUCAUAUAAUCAUGCCUCCAGAGUGACUUAAUUUCACAUUCUGAAUAUUGGAUUACCUGUUAGCUACAACUCACAUCUGCUGUUAGCUUCUUUAAGUCUUCUCUUUAAGUCUGAUUGCCUUCUCAAUCCUAAUAAAUGACGGGAUGAGUUAAAGCACUAUCAGACUGAAUACCUUUUCUUAUGAGUCUUCCAUGAACUCAAGACCAACUCUACUUAUCCUUAUCUGGUAUGCCUUCGGCUUCCUCAGGGGCUACAGAGAAAGGUGAAGAAAUUUGGAGGUCUGUGAAAGAUGGUCCACAUGUUACAUUUAUAUAAAUGGUGAAAGAUGAUGUUGCAACUCUCAUGGGCCAAGAACAUCAACGUCCAACACCUCUUACUGCAACAAACAUUGAAAAGCUGCAUGCUGACCGAAAUGGUGUUCCGAUUACCUCCCUUGCACUUUGAGCACAUUAAGUUGUGUAAAUCAGUAAAAGAGAUUUGGAAAACUUUUCAAGACUUGUUCGAAGGAUCAUAAAACAUGAAGGAUAAGCGUCUGACUUCAGUAGUCAACGGUUUUGAUAACUUCACCACUACUCUAUGUUAAUCCGUAGCAUCGGCUUCCAUUAGGUACAAAAUCGUUGUCAACAACAUGACAACUCAUGGGAUUGUACAAACUCCGCUAGAAUACAAUCUCAAGUUCAUCAAUAGUAUUGGUAAAGGAUGGGGAAAUAAAAAAUCUUGUCUUCAAAGAAAUGGAUCUCUGAAAAAGCUAAAGCUUUAUCAGCUGUUUGAUGAGCUUCAAGGUCAUGAAUCAAAUGUUGCAUAAACAGUAAGACAACUAUAAGGAGGCCCUCUUGCUCUUGUUAGCUCUUUUGAUCAACAAGUCUCAAAUUCCUCUGUUUUAGAUCCUUUCCAAGUUGUUAUCCUACCCAUUCCAUCUGCUCAACCCCCCUAACCAGUUUUACAUGUUCCUACAAAUUCCAACUAUCCGUUUGAUGGAGACCUUGAUCGUGAAGCCAUGGACUCCGAACUUUGUUUCCAAUAGGAGUUUGCACUAUUGUCCAUGAAAUACAAACGUCCAUGUAAUCACAACCAAAAACCCUAUCAAAAUCGUUUCCAAGCACCUCACCCAAUAAUUCCACAACCAUUUCCUAAACCCUUAGAGAACCCACCUUCUUACAAACCGAACAUCUCAUAAUGAAGUCAUCCCUCGGAAUUCCAUGGAAGUCCAAAAUCAGACAAACCGAAGAUAGUGUCUCACAAGUGUGUUCAUGGUAAUCAUUUUGCCAAAGAUUUUUUGGUUGAAACCAUUUAGAAACCAAAGGUCAAGGAUUCUGCAUACUAUGUCUGCAAAGCUCAAGAGAUCGAUGCAAGUGAGAAAGCCUGUGUUACCAUUGUGCCAAGAGAUGUUGAAGGGUAUUGGUCCUCUGGAGAUGAAGACGAUGUGAGCACUGGAAGGAAUAUGUGUCUUAGGGCUAGACAGACAAUUAAAUGUGAUGAAGGCUACUGGUCAUCUAGUUCAGAAGGAGAUAAUGAAGAUGUUGAGCAAAAAUUUUGCUACAUGGCGACCAAUGAUUCACCAGGCAGAAGCAUUGUUCAGCAGGUAAAAUUUAUGAUCACUAAAAAUAAUUUUGAUUUAUCUCUCUGUGAACCAUAUCUAACCCAGAUCCAAUCAGAUAUGACCAUCAUUCAUAAAGCCUAUAAGUCUGCCAUAUAAGUGAGUGAGGAGCUGGAAAGUGAACUGAAUCAUCUUAGAUUACGAUUCAAAGAUCGGAAGCUUAAGAUAGAAUCACCAGAAUGAGAACUUGUAAUGUCUCAAGAUGAAUGUAUCAUUUUAAAAGAAAAAUGUGAAAUCACUUAUUCUGAAAGGAAUGUUUUAAUUUCUGAUAACAAACGUCUGGAUGCAAAAAUUGAUGCUUUACAUCAUUCUAUAGAUAUUCUUGAAGAAAAUGAACGGAUGAUUCAUAAUUUUCAUCAUCCAUGGUCCAAAGCACUAAGUCUCGGUAGCAAGUUUACGAAAACUAUUGCUCGUCCCUUGAAGGAGUUACAAAAUCUAACAUUUAUGGGAGAUAUUCCAAACCACAAACAUUCAAAUACCUCUGUCUCACCGUUGUCUCCCCUUCCUGAGCCCUAAGACCAGUUUCAAUCUCUAGUUCCUGAGUUUCAAACCAUAGUUGUCAAAUGUCAUGAUUCCAUUCCUCUUCCGCCUCUGAUACCCCUGGACAUGAAUCAGAACUCGGAAUCAUUCCCUAGCAUCACCCAUACUAGAGUUUAAAUUUUGAACUUCAGUCGUCCUAACAAUUGUGUCGUUGAGGAAAUAAAUCCAAAGACAACUGGACCUGACUCUGAUAGAUCAGAUUUCGUUUGGGCAUCUUUAGAUAAUGACGUUGAUGAAGAAAUUUCAUGUGAUGAUUUAUCUGACUCUUGUGUUUCUAAUUCUCAAGUGAUUUCAAAAACAACCAUAGUGCCAAUCAAGCCUAAGUUUGACAAUCCAUCAGUUGGACAAACUUCCAAGUAACCAUCUGACUCUCGGAAGAAACCUUUGUUAAAUAAGAAAUAUGUUUUCGACCCUAAAAUUGAAGCCAAAAUGCCCUUAAAAAGGAAAUUAGGUCAAGGUAUGAUUCCAGAUUCAUUGAAAGUUGAAAAAAGAAAGUAUCUCAGAUUGUUAGCCCAUGCAUCCAUUAGGAACAACAACACAUUUACGCCUGUUAGGAUUCGCAAAAGGCCAUCCAAUUCUCCUAGUUUGGUAGAUCAAAACAAGGUUGUUAGUCCUAUUCCAAAAAAGACUAUUGUUGAUACUCAUCCCACCAACACCAACUCUCCUCGGAUAGUUUCUUAUGUGUUUAUUGCUAAAUCUGAUGGUAUGAUUUUCAAACCACAACAACUUCCAAAACCAAAUGUGCCAUCAAAAAUAGAAAACAAAGAAUGAGUUGUUAAGAACAAUGUUACUCAAAAAAUUCCAAUUGAAUCAAAACAAAAUUUUGAGUGGAAAGUAAAAAGUCUUGAAAAAAAAAGUAAAUUUAGGUGACAUUGUGAUUCCUACAACUCCAAAAAUUGUCGGUACGAGAAAAGUUGUUCCCAAAUAACCUUUUGUUGAAUAUGGUUUCUGGAUAAAUGAAAAUAACAUGGCAUUUUGUUUCUUUCUGAAAGAAUCUCGUAACAGAUCCUCUGAGAUGCUAGUUGCUCAAAAGUCACAACCAAAUCGAAAGCCCGUGCCAAAGUCCCAAAACCUAACUCGGAGCUUAAAAACCCCAAGACUCACUGAUUUUGAAGACAAUUUGUGCUUCAGAACAAGAUACAACAUGGUAUAUUCAUAGUUCUUGUUCCAAGCACAUGACGGGGCGAAAAGACUUUCUGUGUGAUCUCAAACUCUCUCCAAAUAUUGGAUAUGCGACGUAUUCCAACAACUCCAAUUCUCAGAUGCGAGUUUAUGGCAUCCUCACCAAUAAUAACUUCUUUAUCUCAAAUGUGGCAUAUGUAGCUAACCUGAAGCAUAACCUGAUUAGUGUGGCUCAACUCACUGAUGCAAAUCGCCAAGUUGAAUUCUACAACAAGCAUAUCUAUGUCAUGACAGAAGACCGGAAGGAAUGUUUGAUAAAAUCAAAUUGCAACAAGAACAUGUAUCCCUUAGACAUCAACAUGAUCAUUGGCAAGCAUCAACUCUGUCUUCUCUCAAAGGCUAUUCCUAACGUCAGUUGGUUAUGGCACAAGCGGCUUGCUCAUCUAAACAUUCAAUAUUUAAAUGAACUUGUUUCUAGUGAAAUAGUCAGAGGUCUGCCACUCUUCAAGUUCGAAAAUGAUCACUUAUGUGUUGCAUGUGAAUGUGGGAAGCAAUCCAAGAAGGGUUAUCCUGUUAUCAAUGAAAAGUCCAUUAUAGAACCAUUAAAACUUCUGCAUAUUAAUCUGUGUGGACCCUCCACUGUAAAAAGUCUACAUCACAAAAAGUACAUUCUUAUGAUUGUUGAUGAUUUUACUAUAUUCACCUGGGUCUUCUUCCUUAGGCUGAAAUCUAAGACAGCCUCGGAACUUAUCAACUUUAUCGAAGGAAUUGAAGUUCUUGUCAAACUACCUGUAAGAUGAAUCCGAAAUGAUAAUGGAUCAGAAUUUAUCAAUGUCACCAUUGAGAAAUUCCUCUCCGAUAAAGGCAUCGACCACAAUUUCUCUGCUCCCUAUACUCCUCAACAAACGAUGUUGUUGAAAGAAGAAACAGAACCCUUGUUGAAGUUUCUCGAUCGAUGUUCAACUUUGCAAAUCGUCUAUUUUAUCUUUGGGCUGAAGCUAUGUCCACUGCCUUCUUCACUCAAAACCAAAGUAUCAUUAAUCGACGCCUUAACAUGACACCGUAUGAAGCCAUGAAUGGUCUAAUGCUCGAUCGGUUCUCAUUUCUCCAUGUCUUUGGCUGUAGGUGCUUUAUAAAAAACAACCGUGAUCAACUAACGAAAUUUCAACCCAAAGUCGGUGAGCGAUCUUCUUUAGAUACUUAGCAAAAUCCAAAGCCUACCGAGUUUUGAAUCGUCAGACUCAUGUGAUUGAAGAAAGCUUUGAUGUCACCUUCGAUGACAACUAUGUUCAGAAUUCUGGCCCCACUCAUGUCACUACCCACAUCAUGGAGUCUGAUGAUCCAUCUCCAAGAUGUCUGAAUUCUCAAAUUAUUCAUGAAAUUGACUUCAAAACCCUAUCCAGACCAACAUAAACAACUCUUGAUUCGGAAUAUCGAUCAAGAUCAUCCUCAACAACUGCAACUCCAAUUUCCCAAAAUGUUUCCGGUUUGAAUCCCACUUUUUCUCCAUUUGAUUCCGAUUCGUUUCAACCUUCUUAUGUUGAGGGGGAGAAUGGUUAUCCCUCUCUUGAAUCAAAUGUUGAAUGUUUUCAAGAUGCAAUACAUCAAUUUGCUGAAUUCGAUCCUAUUCCAAAAAACAACGAAGACGAUGCCAACUUAGUUGACAUUCCGAUUGAAGAUGACAUAGAUAUAUCUGAUUUAGAAUUUCUGUAGGAGCAUCAUCCUCAAAUUUAAAAUGUUCAGGGGGAGCAACAUAACCCUAUUUUUUAUAUUGGGUCAUCCAUUGAACAAGAGCUUUUGAUAUUACAUAUAUGCACCAAGGAUCAUCCUCCAAAUCAAGUCAUCGGAAAUCUCAACACUGGUGUUCAAACUCUUUUUGCUACAAACAUCCAAAACGAAUGUCAUUUCUUGACAUUUAUCUCAAUGGUUGAACCAAAAUCCAUCAAGGAAGUAUUAGAACAUUCUGACUGCAUUACAGCCAUGCAAGAAGAGUUGGUAGAAUUUGAUAAAAUGAAGUGUGGGCUCUCAUCCCUCCUCCUUAAGAUCACCCUAUUGUUGGUAUGAGAUUGAUUUUCUGAAACAAGCUAGACGAAGCUGUAGUUAUUAUCCAAAACAAAGCAAGAUUGGUGGCCAAAGGAUUCACUCAGAUCGAAGGACUAGAUUACGACGAGACCUUUGCUCCCGUUGCUUGUCUUGAAGUCAUCAAAAUCUUUCUUGCUUAUGCAGCUCACAAAGGCUUUAAGGUUUACCAAAUAGACAUUAAAACUUCUUUUCUUAAUGGUGAACUGGAUAUUGAAGUGUAUCUACAAUAGCCCUUUGGUUUUGUCGAUCCUUCUUAUCCGAAAUAUUUCUAUAAACUCCGAAAACUUGUUUAUGGCUUCAAGCAAGCUCCUCACACCUGGUACGAGACUCUCACCAACUUUCUCAAGCGUUUCGGUUUUCAAAGAGGAACUCUCGAUCAAAUGGAAACAAUUUUAUGUUUGUCUAAAUCCAUGUUGACGACAUCAUUUUUGGAACUAUAGAUUCAACAAUGGCUGCUGAUUUUGAAAAAUUAUCGAUUAGCCGAUUCGAAAUGAGCAUGAAUCAUGAAUUAAGUUUCUUCCUCGGACUUCUAGUCAAGCAGUCCAAUAGAUGAAUUUUUAUUCAACAAAAAAGGUACAUUUCGGAGCUUCUGAAGAAAUAUUUGAUGGACACUUGUGCCUCUGCAAAGGUUCCUAUAGGUUUUGGACACUAGAUCUUCUCGGACCCAUCAAGUGUGGGUGUCUAUCAAAAGAAGUACAAAGGAAUGAUUGGAUCACUACUCUACCUUACAGCAAGUCCUCCAGACAUCAUGUUCUUCACAUGCUUUUGUGCCAGAUUUCAACUCAAUCUAAAUGUCUCUUAUCUCUUGGUGGUCAAGAAAAUAUUCUGAUACCUCAAAGGUACAAAGAGUCUUGGAAUCUGGUAUCCAGCAAAUGAGAGUUUCCUUCUUCAAGAAUACUCUGAUUCAAACUAUGGUGGCCUUUAAUUGGAAGCAUGUCUAGAGGUUGUCAAUUUUUGGGUGGAAGAUUGGUUAGCUGGUUAUCUAAGAAACAGAACUGCAUUGCUCUUUCAACAGGCGAAGCGAAAUACAUUAUUGCUGCUAGUUGCACUUCUCAAGUUCUUUGGAUGAAAUCUCAACUUUUGGACUAUGGUUAUCGAUUUCAACAAAUUCCAAACUAUAAGUNAUUUUGGUUUUGUUUUACGUAUUUAUGUUUUUUUAAAUUCAAGUUUCAAUGUAAGCUAACUAUUAGACAUUAUAAAUGAAAAGAAAAAACACUAGAGUACUUCAAAAUAAAUAUUUUUUAAAGAUGAUCCUUAGAAGUCAAUGUCAUUUUUACAAAUAAAUUCUUCAAUUUUUUUCUUUAAUACAAUUUAUAGAUGAACAAAAUUUAUGAAUAUUUAUUUAAAAGAAUUAGAAUUUAAUCAUUAAUUUUCCCAAAAUAAUGAGACUUUUUUGAAAAAAUUUCAUAAUAAUUAUAAAUUAUUUGUUGAUAUACUAAAAUAAAUUAUAAAAUAAGAAAGAUAGUUAUGUGUCACUUGUUAUGAUCAAAAUGAUUCACAAUAUUUAUAAUUUUACAGCUCCUAAGACCGAAGGGAGUGAGAGGGAAGUUUCUCUCACUUUUUGUGGGCUAUACCCCUCUUUCUCUUAUUUUUCGUUCCCUCGCCUAAAACCCAAGGAAUGGGUAGGAAGGGUUUUCCUCACUUUUUUUUUAAAUAUUUUUUUUUAUGAUUUAUAAUUUUUAAAUUAAUAGUAAACAUAAAAUUUAAUUAAAAAUAAAAAGCAUUUAAUUAAUUAUAAUUAAUUAAUUAAAAUAAAAUUACAUUAAACCUAAUAUUUAAAUUAGUAGAAAAUUAAAAGUGUAGGAUCUAUUUUGUAAUUUUUGAAAACUAUUUUUGUGAAGAGAAUUUAAAGCUGGACGUAUUCUGCCAUAAGACCAAAACAUAGAGGCCAAAUAUGUCAUUUCCAGAAGCUUUCAUCUUCUUUCUCUCGUUAAACCUGCAACUCAAAAAAAAAAAAAAAAAAAAAAAAAAAAAAAAAAAAAACAAAAAACAAAAAACAAAUUUCAGCCACUCACAAGAAGAGAGAAAGUGCGGGACUCCCUUCCCCCACCUUCGCCUUUCCUUUCCCGCAUCCCCGGUGCAGUGAUUCUUGGUGCAGGAUCGUUUUCCGUGGCUUCCCCGCUCACCACUCCGUCCGGCCUAAUUAACACAUGUAACAAUUGAUUUCUUAUAUAUUCAUACCAAUAACAUUCUAUUAGAGAUCAUUCAAAUAUUUAUGUCAAUAUAAAAGUAUAAAUAACAAUUCUUAAUAUUAAAUUGAUCACAACCUUUAGUAUUAUAUCUGUUUUCACUAUUUGUACUAUGUUUUUUUUUAUACCUUGGUUGCAUUAUUAGCUAUUGUGUUUUGCUUUCCUGCUUUUUGCUUUCCUACUUUUUCCUGUGCAACUGUAACUGUACUACAUUCUAAAAGAAGGGACGACCAAGAAAAACUAUGUGAUGCGCUUUCUCUCUACCUUAAGAGUUAAGUAUUCACAUUCACAGAAUUAACAUCCGAGGGGGGUGAAGCAAAAAUGAGAUGCUGCACCGACGCCGGAGAGGUGAAGCAGCGCCGUAGAGGAAUACAAAAGCGUCUUGUUUUUAUUCUAUAUAUAAUUUUAAUACAAAAAGUAGAUAUUUAUGACCAAAUUAAGCUUCGUAAAUGGGAUUAGCAAGAAAAUGGAAAGUCACAUUGGAAACUGCGAUCUCUCGUAAUUUUAUGGAGGGACUAGAAUCCCUUCGUCUUCUUCCCUUUUAAUCUCUGCUAAAAACACUCCGUAGCCAAGUUUUUAUAAAAUGGCCAACACAAGCAGCGCUUGGACUAUCAAGCCGAACCAGCAACAGUUGCAAAAACGAAAAUGUGAAAGCCUUUUAGACGUCGUCUUCUCUUGGUCUUUGUCGGAUAUACUCAACAAAGAUCUCUACAAGUUGCAGGUUUCUCUUAUUCUUCUGUUCAUUUUUUCUGGCAUCUGUUCGUGAAUCAUGCAUGACUUAUAAACACGGAGUUUCUGAUGAAGAUCUUAUGUUCUUCACAGGUGAAAGAAAUUCCGUUGAGGUUUUCAUCUACAAAUGACUAUGUGAAUUCAUUCGUCCUUCCGCUUCUCGAGGAAACACAUGCAGAUUUGCUAUCCCAACUUGCCGGAAUCUCUCAGGCACCGGCAAGUUGUAUUUCUGUUCUGCAAAGAAUACCAACGGACAAGGAGACAGAAUUUUUUUAUCGCAUGGUCUUAACUGGAAUGGAUUAUGAGCCACAAGUUGGAGAUCUUAUUGCCUUGACACAAGUUAUACCCAAAUGCAUCGAUGAUCUUGAUCGACCAAACAGCGGUUUUCUCAUUGCUUAUGUGACUCAGUUAGACGACCAAUGUUACCCAGUUACGAUACAUAUUUUCUCAUCAGACCUUAUCGAACCCAAUGAAGUUGAGACAAAGAAACCAUCAAAGGCUUUUGCUGUUCAUCUGACGAACUUGACUACAAAUAUGCGUAUAUGGAGAGCUCUUAAUUGGGAGGGCAACAUGGGUAUCAUUAAAAGAACAUUGUCUUCGAGUACCCCUGUAAGUCUUUUUUGGCAGAUAUAUAUAGAUCAUAAAUAAUGUAGAGUCACUUUUUACAUUGUGAAGUUGUUACUGAUUAUUAAUUAAAUUUUUUAGUUAGGUCCUUGGUUAUAAAAUUAUAUGGAAACUUCUAUAGUUUAUAGGAAGCUUAGAGGUAUUGUUAAGGAGUCUUCAUUAUUAGUGGUAGAUAUAGAUUACAACUCUUAUAAUUGUCCUAAAAGUAUUUCACGUGCACUGAUUAUUUUACAUCAUGGAAAGUAUGAAAAAGAUAAAUAAAUUUUAAUCUGUUCUUUUCUACGUGCCUUAUGCUAGUAUCACAAAGAUUUAUUUCAAGAUUAAGGUACAUUAUAAUUGUGAGUUAAAAUUUAUAAACAACUAUUAAAAAAAAUAAAUUAUAGUUUUAAUACUAAUUUUUAGAUUAAAAAAAAAACUUUUGAUAAGUACAUAUUAAAGUAUAAUAAAAUAUGAAACUUUCUAAUCUAUUACAAAAAUAAUUUACUAAAUAAUAUAAAAAUAAUUUAGUACAUAUUUGGGUUUUUGAGACUGCGAUUUUUAUUUUAUUAACUUAUAACAGUGAUAAUAAGGAUUUUUUUUUUCUGAUUUUAUUCGUGAUAUGGUACUUUCUAUCGCAUUGCAUGAUCCAUAGGUCCCUACGACUUCUCAACUAGCCGACGUUUUCAUUGCCCAUUCCUCGCUUUCAGUUACUACUCAACAAGCGUCACGUUACUCCUUCCGUUACACUUUCAGGAGGAUGAUAAAAUACAAUUAUAUAUAUGGAAACUUUGAUAGUUUAGGAAACUUAGAGGUUAAUUAAGGAGUCUUCAAUAUUUGGAAACUACCUCAGUUUAUUACUUUUUUUAAAACAUACGUAUAUAUACAGGUGGCUAUAAAUUGUAAGGAGUCAUAUUGUGAAGGAAGAAAGAAGGUUAUUGACUCUGAACUAAGACCAGCAUUUGAUUCAUUUAAUCUUGAUAGCUCACAAGAAGAAGCUGUGUUAAGUUGUCUUGCUACUAGUAGAUGUUGGCAUCAAAAGUGUAUCAAAAUGAUUUGGGGUCCUCCAGGAACUGGAAAGACAAAGACUAUGGCUUCAUUAUUGUUCAUGUUGUUAAGGACAAAACACAGAACGCUUACUUGUGCUCCCACAAAUGUUGCUGUGGUAGGAGUUGCAGAGAGGCUAUUGAGUAUAGUACGCGAUCAUGAUUUUGGAUGCCAUACUUAUGGAUUUGGAGACAUAGUUUUAUUUGGUAACAAAGAAAGAAUGAAGAUUCAUUAUGAUCAUCGAAAGCUUCUUGAUGUGUUUCUUGACAAUAGAAUCGGAGCUCUUUCUAGCAGUUUAUCGCAAUGGAAAUUUCGUGUGAAUGGUAUGAUUAAGUUUCUUGAAGAUCCCAUGAACGAAUACCACCGUUUGAUUGUUUCUCAAAAUUUGAAUAUAAUCAAGACUAAAAGCAAGAAGAAAAAGGAGAGAAAACCCCACGAGAAUAGUGAGGAAAAGCAAUUGACUUUCGAGGAGUUUGCCAUGAAAAGGGUUACUGUUUUUGGAAAGGAUCUUAUUUCUUGUAUCCGAAGCUUAUAUACUCAUUUGUCUACUACAACAGUUUCACUUGCUUAUGCAAAAAGUAUGUAUCAUUCAAUCAAUUUGAUUCAGAUGGUUGUGGAGUCUGUGAAAGAGAUAGUAACUAGUAACAAAAGCUUAAACGAAGCCUUCAAUGAAACAGCUGUUUCAAGCAUUGGUGAACCGCAUUUUAUGAAGUUAAGAUUAUAUAAAGCCGAAUGCCUUCUUGUGCUCAAAGAGCUUCGCGAUGCAUCUGUCAUUCCGAAACCUAUGAACAUAUUUAAACUUAAAAGAUUUUGUCUGAAUAGUGCUUGUUUGAUCUUCUGUACAGCGUCAAGCUCUAUAAAAUUGAAUAUGAACAAAAUGAUGCCUAUAGAAUUGGUUUUGAUCGAUGAAGCUGCACAGCUUAAAGAAUGUGAAUCCCUAAUCCCUUUGCGGCUUCCAGGUGUUCAACAUGUUGUGCUUGUUGGGGACGAAAGACAGCUGCCAUCCAUGGUUCAAAGCAAGGUCAUGACCAAAAAUGCAUCUUUUGUGAACGAAACUGUCGCUAAAACUGUACUUUUUCAAAGACACGUGGAAUCAAAAGAAAAUGCAACCACUGUUUUGGUUGAUAAUAAGUUAACAGUGUGAUUGUCUCAUUAGUUGCAAAGAGUUUCCAUUUGGAGUAUUCUUGUUACUGACAUUUUUUUGUGAUGAUUUGUUUUAAACUUGAUAGAUUAGCGAAGAGGCUAAUUUUGGAAGGAGCUUAUUCGAAAGACUGGUGUUACUUGGACAUGAAAAACACCUACUAAACAUUCAGUACAGGAUGGAUCCAUCAAUUAGCCAGUUUCCCAAUGCUGAAUUUUACGACAAUAAAAUAAUGGAUGGUCCUAAUGUCAUUAAUAAAGGUCGUGAAAAGCGUUUUUUGCGACAGAGUAUGUAUGGAUCGUACUUGUUCAUCGAUGUAGAUUCCGCAAAAGAGGAACUCGACAAUAACCAUAGCACUAGAAACAUGGUGGAAGUGUCAGUGAUAGAUGAGAUCAUUGCAAAUCUUUUCAAAGGUACAUCAUUUCUAGUUUUGUGUUCUUUUAGUCAUAGUAGGUUAUAAUCACAUUUUUAUUGACAGAAUGUGUUGCGAAGAAACAAAAGGUUACAGUUGGCUGUAUUUCUCCAUACAAGGCUCAGGUCAAUGCGAUUCAAGUAAAACUUGGCAAGAAGUAUAAUCGACAGGUGAAUGGUUCAACUUUUACUGUGAAUGUAAGAUCUGUUGAUGGGUUUCAAGGUAGCGAAGAAGAUGUCAUAAUAUUCUCGACAGUAAGAUGUAACUGGAAAGGAAGUGUCGGGUUUCUUUCAAAUCGUCAAAGGGCUAAUGUAGCCUUAACCAGAGCUAGACAUUGCUUGUGGAUUGUGGGAAAUAAAGAAACCAUGAUCAAGAGUGGUUCAGUAUGGACGGCUUUAGUUUCCGAUGCUGAAGACCGUGGUUGUGUCUAUAGUGCUAGCGAAAACAAGAAAUUGGCUCAAGCCAUGGUGCAAACCAUGGUUGAGUUAGCCCAGUUUGGCCCAUUGUUAAAAAAAGAUUCAAUACUUUUUAAAGAUGCAAAAUGGAAGGUAAAGUAUUCAAACUUAACUUUUUUAACGUCAAACAUACUAUUUUUUAAAGGAAGCUAGCGUUUAUUGCACGUGCUGAAUGGGACAAAACUAGACUUGACUAGACAAUACAAGCUGUCUAGUCAAUUUUUAUGAUGAUAGUAAGCCUACCACAUCAAAAAGAUAAGUUCUCAAAUAUAUAUGUUGGAGUAUCGUUUUUCUAGUCAAGACUCUUUUGUAGAUAGAAUCUAGGAGUCCACAUUGAAUUAAUAGCGUGUAGAUGAGAACAAUUAUGUUUUUUUACUAAGAUGAGAUAUCUAGUUUAAUGCAUGCCAAAUGCAAUACAGAGGCCAUAUUUUAUGUCAUAUGUCUUACUUAACAAACAGGCUUUCACCCUUAUAAAAGUAAAAUAUGUUGGAUUUACGGCAGGUGGACUUCACCAACACAUUUUUGGAAAGAUUGACUAGUAUUGAGAGCCUUCAUGCUCGUAACCAAGUUAUAUCACUUCUCGUUAAGCUCUCUAAUGGUUGGCGACAACUCCGGAAAACCAAUAAGAACACUCUUAACAACACCCAUGGAAUUUGUGACAUGUUAGAGGCAUAUAAUCUCGAUGGAGGUUUGUAUCUUGUUUGGAGUGUAGACAUUGUCUAUGAGAACUCACUUUGUGUUCAGGUCUUAAAGGUUUGGGACAUUUUGCCGUUGUCUCAGAUACAACAAUGUGCAAAAAGUUUGGAGCAGGUUUUUGGAAAUUAUACGUUGGAUAUGAUCAAACGUUGUCAAACAAAAGGUUCUGGAAGGUAUGUGUAAAACAUAAUGUUUCGUUCGUGCUAAAAUUUGUUUUUAUUUUAACCAUGUUAAGUUGAUUGUAGAAAUCAAGCUUUACCAAUGACUUGGCCUGAGGAUUUGAGAAAUGAUGUGAGUCGAGAUUUAGCAAGUCAAUUCGACAAACUGAGUUUAAGUGGUGAAACUUUACCUUGUCGGGAUAGAAGUGUGAGAACUCAAGGUCGAUGGAUGGAAGUAAAGAGAUGAACCAAUGGUUGUUGAUAUGGAUAUGCUUUUGGGUGUGAUGUCAAAGAAAAUGUGGAUAGUUUUGUUUACAUGUCAUUUUUUUGGGAACAAGAAAAGGAAUUUUCUUCUUAGCUGUACAUCCAUUAUGUAUGUGAAAUUUGACUUGAUUUGAAUCUAAUUUUAAAAGUUUGCUUAUAAUCACUCCUCACAGUUCAUUAGGCUAUAAACGACUGAAGGUUCGGUGGGAAAUUUUUUUAUGUUUGUUCAAUUAGUAAAUUAAUUAACAUGAACAAUAAUUUUUGUUCGUUUAGGUACACAAACAAACAUGAACAUUAGUAUCAAUCGUUCAUCUAUGCUUUUGCACGUUCGUUUACAUUUGUUCAUAUUUCGUUCUUUAUGUUCUUAUAUGUUUGGUUUUGCACGAGUUUAUAUUUGGUUAUUAUAUUAUACUAUUUGUAAUAUUAUAAAACUAGCUAGAGUGAAACUCUAUCAUGUGAACCAUGAGAUGCACGGUAUUUAUGACGCACAAAAGUAAGUGUCGUAAAACAAUGUCAUCUAUAAUAAACCAUGAGAUGCAUGCGAACCAUGAGAUGCACUGCAUUUCUUUCUCCUAUACUUCCGUUUCCAUCUAGGGAUUUUUGCUCCAGACCUCACAUAAGUAAACCAACAAGAUUGCCUUGUGUCUCAUUCUUACAUUUCUUAAUUAUCGAUCAACAUACCACAAACACCAAAAUCCACACCCUCCUCCCUUCAACCAAUCGCAAUUCCUUCUUCCUUCUUAUCACUUCGAUCGACAAACCCGGUCACCCAAAAUCACAGAUCCUUUUAUUCCUUUCUCGAAAUCGAUCACACCUCCAAAAACCACAAGUAUUAAUUAUUUUUCUUUCUCCAGGUUCGAUCACAACCCCUUCUUAUUAUUUUGUUUUUUUUUCUAUUUGCAAGUGAGGUUGUGAGGUGGUGUUUAAAGGUUGUGAAGGGGUUGUGAGGAGAUGAUGGUUGUUGAUUGUUUGGUGAAGGAGAAAUAAGUAUGUUACUACUACAAAACCGAUAACAGAGUAUUGUUAAAAUAGGUAUUAUAACACGGUUAUAUGGCCGUAUUCUAGGGGGUAGUUACCUUUUUGAAGCUUAAAUAGAGUACGGUUAUACAACCGUACUUUGAGUACAAUAGAAUACUACUCUUUAUAAACAACUGUAUUUUAUAACUAGAAUAUAUAUAUAUAUAUAUAUAACAUCCCCUUAGGGCAUCCACAAUCCAUUGAACUCUAUAGAGUUCAAUAGAUUGUCACAUCAUCCAUUAAACAUCUAUACAACAUCACCACGACUCAUUAAAUACUUAUUCAAUCCAAAACACCACUUUAUUCAUUUUUAUCAGACGUUACUUAUAUGUAUUUAUAUGGUCUCUGUAUUUGUGUUAUGUAAUCGCAGUGUAUAACAAACCGUAUUUGUAUACCUAGCCCAUUUGAUGUACGUGUAUGAUUUAUAUACAGUUUAAUGAAAUCAUUGUUUUUGAUGGGAAAAUAUAGAUUGUUACAUGGUAUCAAAUACCCUAGCCGAUCCUUUUUUUUCAUCGUCUUCUGCCUUUUCUCACACAUCUUUCCAGCAUCUUGUUCUUGAUUCUUCUCCUUCCAUACACGUACCAUGCCUCCUAAAGGAGACUCCACCUCCACCAACCCUUCUCCCACAGAUAAAAUAUACCGUAUUACAAACAUCAAAUCAUUUGUGNAAACUUCCCACUCUAAUUUUAUUAAAUUAAUAAUUGAUUCUUCAUUUUAAAUUUCAAAUGUUAAAAUUUUCCCUUUAAUUAUAUUAAAUUAAUAACAUGAGAUUAAAAAAUAAAAUAAAAUUAAUACAAAUUAUAAGAUGACUUUACGUAUUUAUUUAAAUCAAAUAUUAUAAUUUUAUAUAACUAAAAAAAUAUCUUUUAAGUACUAAUUUAUUUAAAAUAAUUGAUUAAUAAUUUUGAUUUGUUAAUAUUAAAGUUUAAUUAAUUUUAUAACCAUGAUUAUCACGGAUUAUAAACUAAUAUAUAUAUAUAUANNNNNNNNNNNNNNNNNNNNNNNNNNNNNNNNNNNNNNNNNNNNNNNNNNNNNNNNNNNNNNNNNNNNNNAUGGUUGCUUGCUUGUCGCAAAACAAAAUUUACACUUCAUUGCACUUCAUUGCAGCACAAUUAAGGUUGCAAAUUCAUCAAAUCAAUGUAAGCAACAAGGGUAACUAGAAAUGCUAGUCUAUCUAUGCUAGUCUACACCUUCAGGCAUUCCUUGGAAAAGAAUUUGUGAUUUCAGUGUUAUGUUAUGUUGAUCGCUCUCUUUAAGUCAGUCCAAUUUCCUUUCUGAGAUUAAGUCCCUUGCUUCAUCAUAAUAGAAAUCAUUAAUCAAACUACUAAAGUCACCCUAAAAAGACAACCAUAUCUGCCUCAUAUAUCUUUGACAAACUAUCAUCCACAUACUAUUAAAAAUCCUAAUUGCAAUGAUUUACGGCCUCUUGAUGUGUAGAAAAGUGAUAAUUCACAAACCACAUAAUCCAAAUUUAGCGAUGGUGGUCCACUAAAACUUAACAAAUCUCAUCCUGAACAUUAAAUUGAAACUAUCUGUCACGUUUUAAGUAAGCUAAAACAGAGAUUAGCUUUGUUUCCUCUCAUUUUUUAAUUGAUAAUGCAUACCUCCAUUACUUCCAACAAACACCGGAUUAGCUAUUACUUUUAGAGAAAAGACUUCCUGCAGCCAUAGUAAAGGAAACCAAUAAUAUAAUAAGAGAUACCAUCUCACAAAGUAGAAUUGAACAACAUUUCGAUCAGGCUUUUCUUCCUGUAAUAGUUGAUUUGCAACUAAACAACUACGCCAACUAAAAGCAUAUACAUACUUUAUAUCAAACGGUUGGUCUACAAUAAAGCAACUGCAAACGCUUUACACAUAAUAUCUUUGAUUUUUCCCAUAUCUUGGUUGACUAAUGAACUUGAAGUGAAUCAAAAGGAAACUAAGAACAAGUUCAGAAUUGAAAAAUGAGUACUAAUUCCAUGAAACAGUAUUUUAGAGUGUGGGUGUGGGUGUGGGCACUGGGCAGGGAGCGGUGGGAAACAGAAAAAUUCAUUUUAAACGCUAAUAAAAUAUGGUCAGUCUAACAAGUCAUUUUUAUGUAGUUUUUCUGGAUAAACACCAAAUAUAUUACUCUUGUUUGUUUCUCAACCAUACUCUAUGUCCUUCCCGAAACCCGUUUCUGAUUAUAUAAUACCGAAUCCAUUAUAACAGUAUUAUAUUUAGAGUUUUCAGUUUUCUAUUAGCUCUUUUGUAGUAGUGUGUGUUUGUGCAGGUGAUUAAGAGGGGUUCAUCGGUGUUAAAUGUUUUUUCAUAGUGGGUUUAUGGUGGAUUUCGUAUUCAGCAGUGAUAAAGGUGAUGACGAUGGUUGGUGGGGUUAUUUUCGAGAAAUAAAAGUGGAGUGAGGUUGUUGAGGAAAAUAGUUCGGAUUGUAUAUUUAUGAAAAAAAAACCUCUAAAUAGCUUUAUAUUGCUUGUUACUUGUGAGGAAAAUUUUCAUCAAAGUCUACUACAUAGGUAAAUGGUUGAUGUAUCUGAUCGAAAUAAGUGUAGUUUUUUUUUUUUGUCUAUAUCAUUUUGUACUUGAUAGAUCUAUUAUGUCCUAACAGGCUUAUUGCUAGUGAAAAUUAACUAAGUACUUGAUUUUGUCAGAUUUUCAAUAAACUACGUCUAUGUAUUCAUGGAUUUAAACCAUUUAUCAAAUUCUAAAUAUGAUACAACGUCUAGGUGGUAAACAAGCAUAUAGCAAACCUUUCGAUCCAAACUCUAUGAAUAGCAUAACGAAUGUGAAUUUCUUGGAGCUAUUUGAGGAAUCCCAACAUAAUUGUGCAUGUCUAAGUGUUUUUGUUAGAAAUUGUAGAAGAUAUCAUAUAAUGUGGGUUCUUGGAUUCUAAUAUCUUCAUGGCUCCUAGUUUGCUUCCUGUAAUAAGAUACUUCUCCCUAGGUACUCAACAUUCCAAGCAGCAAAUUCCUUUUAUUCAUGGUGGGUUUGUAAAAAAUAGUAUACUAUGAAAACUUUUGAUACUUUUAUAUUCAAGAUUUUAUAAAACGACAUGUGCAGGCUUUGUAAUUCAGAUUAUCAUUUGAGAUAACUUAGGAAGACUUUCCCUUUACAUAAGCAUUAUGGUUUCUCAGUCACAUUCGUUAGAUUGUAAUCAUUUGAAAAUGCAUUAUGCGUGAUCUAAGGAAUAACCUCAAAAGAUAGAGAUUAAGGCAACUUUGUAGUGUUUGGAUAUAGUUCUAGUACAUAUAUUUGUAUGUAUUAGUUUUAAUGUGACUUUGUUGGAAAUUAUGAAGGUAUAAUAGCAAGUUGGUUAUUUUCCUUUAUCUGACAUUGGUGGGGGAAGAAACCUUGUAUAGGUUUAUAAGUCUUUUUCUUCGAUAGACCUUCAAAGGAUUUAGUGGAUCAAACGAAUGGGCCAAGCCCAUAUAUGCGCGCCUAGCCUAGCCUCGCUUAGCACUAGCCGACGUCGUGAGUGCGUGAAAUGGCGCGAUUUAGGCACACUUGGCACUUCGCACGACGUGUCGGUCAUUAGGAGUUGAGGAGCUUUUAUUUUUGACAAGUUCGGGUCAAGUCUGUUUGACCGAUCCGGUCAAAUGGUUGACCGUCGUUGACUUCAUGGAGGUCAAGUCGGAAUAUUCUAGAAGGCCCAAAAAUAGCUUGCUUGGAGAGCAAGUCGUUGCCCUAGGGUUUCUAGGGGGCUGGCCCAUGAGUGGCCCCUUUAUUACCUUCUAGGUUUUCGACACCUAUAAAUACAACCCUCUGGGAGCCGUAUUCAACUUACGAAAAUUGAAAGCUCUCUCAUUCUCUUUGCGAUUUCUUCCCGGUUUCUUAGUAUUCAAUUUGCGUUUAUCAUUCUCCAUUCUUGUUGGAAAAUUGAAAAUUUUGCAUUAAAUCAUGGGGUUUUAUUCUGUUGCGUACAACCAAUAGAAGCGAAGUAAAAACCUUUAAGGACAAGAGUCUGAUCCGUGCAAUUAUUCUACGAUCAAGAGCAGUCGUCAACAAGUUGGUUUUAUAUUAUUGUUUUGUCUUUACUUUCGUCUAACAACAGGACAAUCUGCUUCUACUCCUUUCGUAUAAUCAGAUUAGGUUGAGAAGGAUUGAUCGGAUUUCUAGACGAAACUUGGUAAUUAUAAUAAUAAUAAUUGAAUUUAUUUAUCGCAAUUAAUCGACAUAUAAUUCUCAAUAUUAUUUGUUGGUUUCUUUGCGUGUCUAUUAGUUUGUUUUACAACAACCUUAAACGUUUUUCAUAAUUUGUGUUUAUAAAUCCACAGACUAAUGGACACCCAAAUCCCAACUGCUAGUCUCCACUACAUGAAUCAAGAGUUUGCUAAGCUUGACCGAUUCGAUGGUUAGAACUACACUCGCUGGGCUAACAAGGUCAAGUUCAUGCUUCAUGUGCUAAAUCUCGCCUAUGUUUUGGACUCAAAAUUGGCCCAAUUCAUGCUGAUCCAAUUCCUGAGGCGGGGAAAGCUGUGGAUCCAACGAUCAUCUCUCAUCGGGAAAAGAAAAGGGGUCUAUGUAGAGAGUAUGAGGAACUAUGUGUGGGUCACAUCAAGAACUCAAUCUGAUCGGCUCUAUGAUCUUUACGUGUAGGUAAAAGAUCAAAGAGAGUUAUGGAGUGCUUUGGAACUCAACUACAAGGCACAUGAGGAAGGUACCAACAAGUAGUGUCAAUGUGCCUAGAGUUUCAAAAUGGAUGAUGACAAACCUAUCAUGGAGCAAGUGCAUGAACUUCAGGUCAUGGUCAACAAGCUGAAUGUGCUCUCCAUCUCGAUACCAUAACUCUUUCAGGUUGGUGCGAUCAUCGCAAAACUGCCACCCUCGUGGAAAGACUUCUUUAAGAGAAUGAUACACAAAUAUGAGGUCUACUCCUUGGAUGAUCUGAUGAAACACCUUCGCAUUGAGGAGGAAACUCAUAUACAAGCAUGGUAAAGUCAGAUCGAGUGUGCACCAUGUAUCAGUUGGGGGUUGUGGUCAUAAGACCAAGUUUGGAGGACAAAACAAAAGAAACUUGGGACCCACGAAACAAAGCUUCAAGAAACCAAGUCAUCAGAAUCCUAACUCAAAGCUGAAGAGGAACGAAACUUGCCAAGUCUACAGAGAUAUUGGGUAUUAUGGGAGAGAAUGCAAAGAUUGCAAAUCAGGACCGGUUGCACAUGCAGUUGAGCAAGUGACUAAUAUGGUGGCAAGUGUGAACCUUGGAGGUAUUUUUAUGAUCUCUUUGCUUACCCGAGCAAUCUGUGCUCGAGGAUGGUCCGUAGACACUGGAGCUAUUGUGCAUGUUUGUGGGCAACGAGAGAACUUCCGCACUUACCGUCCAAUGCCACCAGGAAUGUUAGUUGUCUAUGUUGAUGGUCACAUAGCUGAAGUUCAAGGAAUAGGUGAUGCUUGUAUGAAGUUCACUCGUGAUGAGUGGGUUACCCUUCGAGAUGUUCUUAAUGUUCCUACUAUCCCGAAGGGGUUGGUUUCUGCGGACAAGUUUGAAAAGGGUGGGUUCAAGAUGGUGCUUGAGAAUGGAAAAAUUGUGAUCACUAAGGGCGGAAGAUAUGUUGGGAGGGAGAAAAAUUGUUCUAGGAUGUAUCGUUAGUGCCUUAGUGAUGAGGGUAGUGCGAGUAGGCCAAGUGUUGAGAGUAAUGGUGCUAGUGCGAGUGUUGCGAGUGUGUCUUGUGUUCUAGUAAUGAUGUAAUUAAUGGAUUGGUUGCUAAUGUGAAUGAAGUGCUAAUUAUUUUGUUUGUUCAAUUUCUUUAUGGCAUAAACGUUUAGCACAUACUAAUGUUAAAAACAUUGAAAAAAUGUAAACUAAAGGAAUGUUAAAAUAUGAGUCAAAAGAUUUUGAAAAUGUGAAACUUGUGUGAAAUCAAAGUUUACAAAGAAACAAUUUCCAUUAGUUAAGAGAAAUACAACAUUACUCAAGUUGAUUCAUUCUGAUAUAUGUGAAUUAAAUGGAAUACUUACUCAAGGAGGAAAGAGGUAUGUCAUCACAUUCUGUGAUGAAUCCAGUCGAUAUCUAUAUAUUUAUUUUCUAAGAUCAAAAGAUGAAACUUUUGAUGCAUUUAAACUAUAUAAUGUUGAAGAUGAAAAUCAACUAGAAAGACACAUCAAAAUUCUUCGUUCAGACAGAGGCGAAGAAUACUUUAACUAAGAGUUUGACACAUUCUGUAAAGAGAAUGGAAUCAAACAUGAGAUAACUUCACCAUAUACUCCCUAAUAGAAUGGUUUGGCCGAAAGAAAGAACUAAACCCUUUGUGAGAUGGCCAACUGUAUGCAGAACCAAUCGGGUAAGUCAAACAAUCUGUGGGGAGAAGCCUUAAUUAUUGACUGCUUGUUAUGAUCAUAAUAGGAUCACUAGUCGUCUGAUUCCUAAAAGCCCUUAUGAGUUGUGGAAAGGUAGAAAGCCUAACCUAGACUAUUUGAAAGUGUAGGGAUGUGUUGCUUAUUAUCGAACUCUCGAUCCUAAGUGAACCAAAUUAGGAGCACGAACUAAUAAGAGUAUAUUUAUUGGAUAUGCUCACAAUAGCAAGGCUUGCCGAUUAUUAGAUAUUGAAUCAUGUGUUGUUAUGGAAUCCAUAGAUGUGGAAUUCUUUGAGGACAAGUUUUCUAGGGAUGAUGAAAACUCCAGUCAUAUGACAUCUUCAAGUACUUCUCAAGAAACACUGCCACCUCCUCCUAUAGUGGAGGAACCUAAGAGAAGUACUAGGGCUAGAAUAGAGAAAAGUUUUGGAGGCGAUUUCAAUUCUUAUUUGGUCAAAGGAACACAAAAGAAAGUGACAAUAAAGGUCAUAUUCGCCAUUAACUUGGAUGAUGAUACUAAGACCUUUAUUGAAGCCAUGACGUCUAGAGAUGCUCAUUUGUGGGAGGAAGUCAUCAAUGAUGAAAUUGACUCAAUUAUGGGUAAUGGAACUUGGGAGUACGUUGAUCUAUCCUAAGGGAAGAGACCUAUAGGAUCCAAAUGGAUAUUCAAGAUAAAAUAUCAUCCAAAUGGAUCCAUAUCAACGAGAAGGGAUCGAUUUUUUUGAUACCUAUGCCCCAAUUGCUAUGAGCAGUUCUAUUAGAACUUUCAUAUCAAUAUCAUCUUUGAAAGGAUUGUAUAGUCAUCAAAUGGAUGUUAAGACAUCCUUUCUUAAUGGUUAUCUCAAAGAGGAGAUCUACUUAGAGCAACCUAAAGGUUUCGUGAUACCUGGACAGGAAAAUAAAGUGUGUAGACUUAUUAAAUCCUUGUACGGGUUGAAGAAAGCUCCCAAACAGUGACAUAAGAGAUUUGAUACCACUGUGAAUACUUUUGGUCUUCAACACAACAGUGCUAACAGAUGUAUUUAUUCCAAAUACACAUCCGAUUACAUAGUAGUAAUAUAUAUUUAUGUUGAUGAUAUGUUGAUCGUUGACACUCACCUAAAAGGUAUUCUUAAGACGAGGAAAUACCUAUCCUUUAACUUUAAGAGGAAAGAUCUUGGUGAAGUUGAUACAAUUCGUGGUAUCAAGGUGAAAAGGACAGGCGGUCAGAUUUCUCUGAGUCAAUCUCUUUAUAUAGAGAAAAUUCGGACAAAGUUUCAACGUUUGAAUGUUAAGGAAUUCAACACUCCUUUGAGUCAAGUAUGAAACUAAAUGUGAAUUCUGGUCGGGCAGUGGCUCAACUGGAAUAUGCAAGGGCAAUUGGGAGCAUGAUGUAUGCAAUGCAUUGCAAUCGACCUGAAAUUGCAUUCGUUGUAAGCAAAUUGUGUUAGUAUACUGUCAAUCCAGGGACAGAGCAUUGAAAGGCAGUGUUUAUAGUAUUGAAUACCUAAAAUGGAUAAGUACUUUUGAGUUGACGUAUUCGUCAUCAAAUAGAAUACUAGAAAGGUAUUUUUGAUGCUAGCUGGAUAGAUCACACCAGUGACUUGAAAUCCACAAUUGGCUGGAUUUAUACUCUAGUUGGCGGUGCUAUUUCUUGGGCGAGCAAGAAACAGACAUGCAUAGCUCAUUCAAUGAUGGAAGCAGAGAUAAUUGCCUUAGCAGCAGUGGGCAAAGAGGCAAACUGGAUUCAAUAUCUACUUAUGGAUAUCCGUCUAUGGUAUAUUCCAAUGGCUUCAAUACCCAUGUAUUGUGACAAUGAAGCCACACUGUCUAAAUUAUAUAAUGUGGUAUAUAAUAGGAAGUCGAGACAUGUAGGUCUGGGACACAAUUUUGUGAGACAUCUAAUUGAAAGUGAUAUCAUCAAGGUUGUCUAUGUCAAGACAAGUAGGAACUUGGCAGAUCCGUUUACCAAACCUCUGACGAGACAUUUGGUUACAUCUACCACGAGAGCCAUGGGUCUAAAACCACAAUAUAAUCGCUUAGUGAUGGAAACCCAACUUAAAGACUGCCUCAAAUCAUCCAAGUCACUUCCCUACUAUCAAUUACUUCACUUGCACUAUAAAGUGUCCUAUGCGCUAAAACAUCUCUUAGGCUUUCCUAUGGUUCCUUUCCCCAUCACACUCCACCAUCAAGUGCAGAAGAGACUCCCUCCAAUACCUUCUCACUACCUUACGAAUAUAAUUAUAUGUCAAUGACACCAGAUUAUUCUUCGACUGCUAGAUCCCUCCCAUAAUGGUUGGACUCAAACAAGAGUUGUGCAAUAGGGUUGAACCCAACCUUCUAAAAUUAUCUAAUCCCGACAACAUGUAAUUUAACGUGUUCACUUAAUAGUUAGCUGACACUAGCAGAGUCCCUAAAAGCACAAAGCAAGCAGCAUUCGAGCAUUGAGUAGUCCAAUCCAGUGCAUCACCUAAAUAGGCCAUUUUAUCAAAUAUCCAAAAUCCAUACUAGAAUGCAGUUCUACGAGCUCAAACAAUAGGCAUAUAAAGGUAUCUCUCCUAGCAUUCUAUCAUGCAAACCUGAGCAGAUCCUUAGCCCUAAUCUAGUAAGUAAUUUUCAUAUACUCAUAUCAAAUCAAUAGCAUAACACAUGCAUGAGUAUUUUGUGAAAUACUUACUUGAGCUCGGCUGAUUGUACACAUCGCACCCAUUUUCUUUAUAAUUUUUUUUUUGAAAAUUCAUUCUUUCAAAAAGAUUAUCUAUUCCUCAGUUUGAGUUCAAACACACCCGAGAGUGUGCCCAAAUCCCUCAAACCAAGGCUCUGACACCAACUUGUAACGUCCCAAAAAUACUAAGUAAAAGUUUUUAUUUCAAGUCAACCAAAAUAGUCAUUCAUUCAUUCCAAACACUAGUGGAUGUUAUGUGAUCAUCUCGGACCCUUUCCCUUCGAACCAGAGGUAGCUGAAACCAUAAACAUAAACUAUAAGCACAAAUUUUAGUGAGUUUCCCCCAAAAUACCCCAUACAAGACAUAUAUAACAUCACGAAGCUAAACUGAGUCUAUUUCAUCCUUGAGUUUAUUCCAACUCCUUCGGUAUCUUUCAACCGGUAUGAGUCUAUUUUACCCUUGAGUCUAUUUCAACUCCUUUAGUAUCUUUCAACUAGUGUAGGUCUAUUUCACCCCCCGAAUCUAUUUCAACUCCUUCGGUAUCUUUCAACCGGUACUGGUCUAUUUCACCCCUACAUCUAAGUAUACAGUCAUAUCAGCAACACUCACAAAGACAACAAGCACAUACAUACACAUUAACAAGUGUCACAAAGACAACUGUCAUCCUACAAACAUAAUCCAGUGAGCCGACUUUGGUGCCUUCGACCCCCGAGUACAGUGAAAAAACUCACCUCUCAGUCGAUACUCGGCUAUUGCUGCUUUUACUGGUAGAAAUACCAAUGCUACGCACCACCUAUACCAUUACACAAGGUAACCCUUAGCUCUUCUCCCCAAAUACGAUGAAAUCGACGAUUUCCGGGUGAAAUCAAUGUUUUCUUGCAGAAAUUGAUAAUGAAUUUGUAAUUGUUGUUUGGCAUUUGGUAUUUUUUUGCUGAAAUCUCCAUUGUUAAAUGUGUCGUUCACACAAAUUGCUCCACUGUUAUGUUUUACUCAAAUUGUUUUCAGGAGGCAUGUUUUUAUUAAAAGUGACACUUUGACAUAAAGAUUGAUGAAUUCAAUUUGGAAUUGAGGAAUUUUGAUUACAUAUCCUUUGCAAGGUUGUAGAACUCGUUACUCGGUACCUGUUCGGUCGACUACCGAGUAGCGAGUACUCGGGAGUACUCGGAUUUGGAAAUUUGUGUAGAAAUAUUUUUAGGGAAAUUAUAUAUGUCAAAAUCAUAAGAUAAAAUCAUAAGUUGAUUGAUAUAUAUAACAAAAUUGGAUACAUGUGAAUACACAAAAAAUGAAAAAUACAUAAUGGUCUCACUUCGUGAAUAAUUACUGAAAAUUUAAGACAUAUAUGUAGUAAUAAUCACAUGUGUGUGUGUUAAAUAAUAAAUCAUUAAGUAUAUUAUAUAUAUUAAUCACCAAGUUGACCGAAUUUCACAACACUACUCAGUUCAUAAGGGGUCGAUCGGGGAGUACUCGGGAUUAUGUAACUCGCCUUGGCAAGGGGGGAGUAACGAGUACUCGGAGGAGUAAUCAGCCAACUCGGCGAGUUUUACAACACUGAUCCUUUGAGCAGAGAUGGAAAAUGCAAUAUCAAGGCUGUUUUGGUCAUUUUUUUUCUGAAAUACCUUUUCUUGAUGUAUUAAUGUUGAAAUCUGAUGUGGUAAUGUAUGGACACGAAAAUCUGAUCUGAUGCUUUUUUUUUUCCUAAAAUCACAGCUCAUAUGAUAUAUGAUGAUGUGCUUGUAGGGUUUAUUUGGAUUUAAUAUAAUUUUUAGGAUUUGAAAAUAUUUAUGUUUUAUUUAGAUUUGUGUUCAUUUUGAUGUAUGUUCAAUUUGGAUUUUAUAUGAUGUUUAGGUUUUUUUAAUAAUUAUUUAAGAAAUUGUUUUGGUUUUUUAUAUAAACAAGCAUUUGAAUUCACUGAAAAAUAAUACAGAAUGGUAAUUUGGUUGGUUAAUAUUGUGGUUUAUACAAGUGAUAACAAUUGGAAAUUUUGAUAAAUUAUCGAUUCUAGCAGCAUACUUUGAAAAGUUGGUGAUGGAUUUAAUAUGCAGUUUUUAUAUAUAUAUGUUUAAAGUGUUUAUUUGUUUCCUUGUUGAAUUUGGAUUUGUAGCUUGCAACAUACUUUGAAAAGUCGGUUGCAAGUUUGUUGUCAAUUAUAUCUCAACAUUCAAUGUCAAAUAUUUUGUUUAUUAACUUUGAAAUCAUUUGGAUGUAAAAAAUGAUGUUAUUUUUGUAAAUAUAUCUCAAAAAAAUCAUUAUAAACUAUUGAAGAUAAAUUUUAAUUUAUGUUAAUUUGGAUUUUAUAUAUAUAUAUAUAUAUACACNNNNNNNNNNNNNNNNNNNNNNNNNNNNNNNNNNNNNNNNNNNNNNNNNNNNNNNNNNNNNNNNNNNNNNNNNNNNNNNNNNNNNNNNNNNNNNNNNNNNNNNNNNNNNNNNNNNNNNNNNNNNNNNNNNNNNNNNNNNNNNNNNNNNNNAAAAAAAAAAAAAAAAAAAGUUUACAACAUCUCUUUAUUGUUUUAAUUAUUGUAGGGGCAGAAUAUAUUUCUUUGUGUAAGUAAGAGGAGCUAAAUGACAUAACUUCCAUUUUCCAAACAAUUCUUCUCUUAAAUUACUUUUGCCCUUACCCUCGGGGUACUCUUUCAGGGCAACAAGAGUGCGAGACGAUCAUCGUUUCCCAAAUUCGAGCACAGGGUACUUACUUGAGGAGAAGCAAGAGGGGACAUCGGUUUCUCUCCAAAAUCAACGAGGUAAGUACAACGCAACUAAUCUCUAGGCGCAAAACCCCUUCUAAUAUGUAUAAUGUAUGCUACCUGUUUGAUGAAAAUCCCCGAUGAAUGAAAUCGAAUGUACUACUUUCCUAUUUCAUGACUUGAAUCUGCUGCAACAAAAAUUGAAUGCGAGCUCCAAUAUAUCCUGAUCUUAAGUUAUUUCUGUCAUACGCUGUUCGAUAUUUCGAACCAAUUUCAUAAAAAUUCCGAUUGUAAGUUAUUUGCCAUGUUUCUUGCCCUAAAACUCUCUUCUUUCAGCUUAGACCUACUCUAUAUUUCCAGCAGAUUAUAGAGAAUUCACAGAUAAUAUGAAUAAAGCUUCAGCAGGGUCCUCCUCCAAAGUGAAAGAGGGUUCAUCCCAUCCAUCAGAAACCUCAUUCAAGCGCAAAAGAGGAGUUUUUCAGAAAGAUUGUGAGUGAGUCUGACUUUCUCACAAAAAGCUUUAUCUUUCAUUUUCUGUUUAUAAACCUAACUUUGUUUUCAUCAGACCAUCUCUCUGAUAUCUUUAUUCUUGCUAAUGUUCUUGUGCAACAAAAUGUAAAUUGAAGUUUGAUUCUUGUUAAUGGUUUCUUCAAUAAUUUUGAUGAAGUCUCUCAGUAUGAAUGGGGUUUUAAUCAUGUUUUUGAUUUAUAUAUUUUGCCCUUUAUCACUUGUCUGUUAUUGUUUGAAACAGUGCAGCAUAUGAUGUAUGGUUUUGGAGACGAUUCUAAUGUAAGCAUCAUCUUUCAUAUCACAUCAUUUUAUCUUUAGUAUUAAUUUAGUACAAAUUUGAUUCAAUCAAUAAAAAAGAAGCAUACGUUUUCUUACAUAAGUUAUUGGUUCAAGAUCAACUUUUUGUUGACAAAGUAAUACUAUUCCUAACCAUUAAAAUGAUAACAACAAAUAGAUAACGUUUCUUUUCAAAUACCUUGAAACAAUUUCCAAGUUUUCUUUUCUGUGUUUUCACUUUUCAGCCAUUACCAGAGACUGUUGCUUUAAUGGAGGACAUUGUGAUGGAGUAUGUGACAGACAUGGUAACACACCUCAUCUACUUUACAUUUUCUUCUUUCUUUUUUCUUCUUCAUCAUAUUUUUAAUCUUUUAAUAUACAUAGUUGAUAUAUGAUUGUUUGUAAUUGUAGGUGCAUAAAGCUCAAGAUAUUGCAUCAAAGAGGGGAAAGCUAUUGACCGAAGAUUUCUUGUUCUUGAUUCGAAAAGUACUUUUUUUUUUACUAAAAUUAAAAAUAAAUUUGACCCAUGUAGAGAUGACAGAUUACUAAUAGUUUUGUAUUCAUAAAUGUGUUGAUAGGAUCUGCCGAAGCUAAACCGUUGUACAGAGUUGUUGUCGAUGAAUGAAGAAUUAAAACAAGCGAGGAAAGCUUUUGAUGUGGAUGAAGAGAAGUUGGCACAGCCAGAUUGAUAUAACAGGAUGUACUGUGUUUGGAAUGUGUUUGGAAUAUACUGUGCUUGUGUUUGGCGUAUACAGAAUGUACCUACUUUUGGCAAUUGCUAUAAAGAUUUCGAAAUGAAGAUUUUUUUUUAUUAAAUUUUAGUAUUUGAUUAAAAUUUUAGUUAUGGACGAGUUUGAGGAUGGAUUCUAGGAACAUAGGUACAAAUUUGAGGGAAGUGUGAUGGGUUCUAGAUAUCAAUUCACAAAUCACAAGCCUAAAGUCCCAAAUCGACGUUUAUUGUACCAUGUUUGAUACAAAUGAAUGUAAUUAUUAAGGAUGUUAUUUGGGUUGGAACCUGACCGAAUAGAUCCGAAUCUGAAUAACCCGAAAAUCGAAUAACGGUAAUUGCAUGAACUGAAAAUCGAACCGAUUAACCAAUUUGGGUUCGAUUCAGUUCGGGUAUUAAUCGGUUUGGGUAUUAUCCAAAUUGAUUAAUCGGUUCGGUUUUCAGUUCAGGUAUUAAUCGGUUUGGGUAUUACUCAAAUAACAUGUACAAGAUAAUUAAUGAUUUAAUAUAACCGGAAAAAAAAAAAACAAAUAAACCGUAUUAGGAAUAUAUAACCCGAAUAAUAGAAUAACAAUGUAUUUUUAUACAUCAACGUAAAACAUUCAAACACUAACAUAACAUAAUAACAUAUUGAAAGAAUAACAUUUACAUAGUAGAUUAACAUAAUGAGAAUUAAUUUCUUACCUGAGUUUCUUGAGUUGGAGCCUAAUUUUUCAUGACUAGACAAAGUAGAAAUUUGUGAAUCCUUAGAGAUAAUAGGAAUGGUCGAUUUUUGAAAGUCUAAAACAAAAUGAUGGAUCUACAGAAGUGAUUUGGAGUUUAGAAAUAGUUGAGACGAUUGGUCGAUUUUGAAACGAUGAGAACGAGCGUAGGGUUUUUUUUUCUGUUAUGAACGACGAGUACAAAAGUGUGAAUCGUGAUUUUGGUUGGCUUUUCUAAGAGUUUAUGUUUUUCGUAAUAUUUUCAAAAUGAUUCCCGGUUUCAAAUUUUUCGAAACAGAAAUCUCCGACAAAGUCCCAAAAUUUUGGUUUAAUUUACGGUUUAAUUCCAAAUUAAUUUUUUUUUUACAAAAAUCCUAAAAACUGGCAAAAUGCUGCAUUUUGACUGGCUAGAACCACAAACAAAUUAAUUUGAAACUAUUUCGUAAACUACCUAACAUAUUGGGACUUUUCUGCAAAAAAAGACUUUAUUGAUUUUAUUAUUAUUAUUAUUAUUAUUAUUAUUAUUAUUAUUAUUAUUAUUAUUAUUAUUAUUAUCAUCAUCAUCAUUAUCAUUAAAAUUUUAAAUAAGUAUAUUAUUUUUUAAAUUCUUUAUUAUUAAAAUUAUUAAGUAAAUACAUUAUAUAUAUAAUAUAUAUGUGUGUGUAUUUAUAUAAUUAUUUAUUUAUUAAUAUUAAAAAGAAUAAAUUUAAAAAAGUGAAAUUAAAUAAUCUAACAACUUUUUAAUAUGAUUUUAAGAAAAUAAUAAUUUUUUUAGCCCAAUAACCACUUGGUACGAAAUGGAGUUCCGGACAAAAAAAAACAUUUUUUUGAUCGAUUCAUGACUAAAACUUCGGAUUUCAGAAAGUAAAUACAAGUUGAUUGAACGUGACAUGAUAUGUUACGUUACGACCUGAAAAUAAAACAUAAAUAAAGAGGACCAAUUUAAUUCGAACUCGAUAUCCCCAACUUAUAUUGGGCUAAACACUAUUCAUGAUUACACAAUCAUCCACCAAACCCUCUUGUCAGUUUCAAAUUGACUCCACCCAAUCUCAAGAGUAAUUUCCUGUUAUUUUUAAGUUAACUCCCCUAAGGCCAAACGGUAUACGUUCGACGAAGAGUUUUGUGGUCGAGCUGGCCACGAACAACGGGCGUGCACACCACCCCGUUGUCUCAUGGUGGCUCGUUUUCGUGGUGGCUCGUUAUCGGGGCAACGAAGUCGCACGGCCAAUGAGAUUAAGAUGCAAAAAUUUGACCGUUGUCUAGCCGUUGAACGGUUAGUUUUGUAAAAAAAAUAAAAUAAAUAAAUAAACAAUUUAUUUACCUAUAAAUACCACAUUUUUACUCCUUAUUUUUUACACCAUUCUUUUCUUUCUCUAUACACAAACUACACACUACAUCUUCACAAUCAAAAAUCAUGGAUCCCAACCAAAAUACCCCUCUAAACUACCGAAAUCGCAAACCCGAUAACGCUUUUGCGUUAGAUACAACACCUCGACAAUUCCCGACUAUGGAGUCACCUCAAGGCGGUUUUAUCAAUUUACUUCAAAGUGGUUCCCCUAUCCAACAAACACCACUUUUCCAACAACAAUAUCAACCUUUUCCGGCUUUCCAACAACAACAAAUGCAACAACAAUACCAACAAUUUCAACAAUUCCAACAACUACAACAACUCCAACAACAAUCGUCACAACAACAACAACCACCAANNNNNNNNNNNNNNNNNNNNNNNNNNNNNNNNNNNNNNNNNNNNNNNNNNNNNNNNNNNNNNNNNNNNNNNNNNNNNNNNNNNNNNNNNNNNNNNNNNNNNNNNNNNNNNNNNNNNNNNNNNNNNNNNNNNNNNNNNNNNNNNNNNNNNNNNNNNNNNNNNNNNNNNNNNNNNNNNNNNNNNNNNNNNNNNNNNNNNNNNNNNNNNNNNNNNNNNNNNNNNNNNNNNNNNNNNNNNNNNNNNNNNNNNNNNNNNNNNNNNNNNNNNNNNNNNNNNNNNNNNNNNNNNNNNNNNNNNNNNNNNNNNNNNNNNNNNNNNNNNNNNNNNNNNNNNNNNNNNNNNNNNNNNNNNNNNNNNNNNNNNNNNNNNNNNNNNNNNNNNNNNNNNNNNNNNNNNNNNNNNNNNNNNNNNNNNNNNNNNNNNNNNNNNNNNNNNNNNNNNNNNNNNNNNNNNNNNNNNNNNNNNNNNNNNNNNNNNNNNNNNNNNNNNNNNNNNNNNNNNNNNNNNNNNNNNNNNNNNNNNNNNNNNNNNNNNNNNNNNNNNNNNNNNNNNNNNNNNNNNNNNNNNNNNNNNNNNNNNNNNNNNNNNNNNNNNNNNNNNNNNNNNNNNNNNNNNNNNNNNNNNNNNNNNNNNNNNNNNNNNNNNNNNNNNNNNNNNNNNNNNNNNNNNNNNNNNNNNNNNNNNNNNNNNNNNNNNNNNNNNNNNNNNNNNNNNNNNNNNNNNNNNNNNNNNNNNNNNNNNNNNNNNNNNNNNNNNNNNNNNNNNNNNNNNNNNNNNNNNNNNNNNNNNNNNNNNNNNNNNNNNNNNNNNNNNNNNNNNNNNNNNNNNNNNNNNNNNNNNNNNNNNNNNNNNNNNNNNNNNNNNNNNNNNNNNNNNNNNNNNNNNNNNNNNNNNNNNNNNNNNNNNNNNNNNNNNNNNNNNNNNNNNNNNNNNNNNNNNNUUAACUAAUGUAAUUUUUAUUUUGAUUGUUAUUUUUAUUUUAUUUUUUAAUUUCAAUUAAUUUAGUUUUUAUUUAAUGUAAUUUGGUAUUUUAAUUUAAUGGAAAAACUAGUAUUAAAAAAAUGUUUUUAAUGUAUUUUUGAAUUAACUUUAAAUAAAAAAAAUGAGGUGGAGUGGUGUGUUUAGUGGUAAGUAUCCCAUGUUAGUGGUAGUGAAAUGUGGUGCUGAUGUAGCACCCACCACAUAUGUGGUAUGUGGUGGGUAUAACGGAUGGUCUAAUAUUGAAAAUGCGACAACAAAAAUGAUCCAUAAAGUAUUGUUGAUGGAGAGUAUGUAACUAAAUUAAAAGGGAUAUCUUCAAAAGGCUGCAGCUUGAAAACUAUUCAUUUAAGCAACUAUUUGUCGAAACAAAACUAAUCGCUACUUGGAAAAUAUUCACGAACUAUUUAAAAUGUAUUUAUACAAGUAUUUAUUUAAUAAUAUUAAUAAUAAAGAUUUAAAAAAUAAUAUACUUAUUUAAACUUUUAAUAAAAUAAUAAUGAUAAAAAUAAUCAAAGUUAUUUUAUAUUAUUUUUGGGUAGAAAAGUCCCAAUAUAUUAUGUUAGUUUACAAAAUAAUCCCAAAUUAAUUUGUUUCCGAUUCUAACGGGUCAAAAUGCAACAUUUUGCCGGUUUUUAAGAUUUUUUUGUAAAAAAAAAAAUAAAAAAACUUGUUUGGAACUAAACCGUAAACUGAGCCAAAAUUUUAGUACAUUAUUGGAGAUAUCCCUUUUCAAAAUGCUACUUCUUUUCAUUUUUUUUUUAAAUGUUGCUUCCUUGUAAAUUUUUUGAAAAACUUAUUAUAUUUUGGUAAAUCUACAGAAAAGUCUCAACUUCUGGGAAAAGUUUUAAAAAAGUCUUAAUGUUUUUUUGAACAGAAAAAUCUCAUUAUUUUGAGAAAAUCACAUAAUUCGUCAUUUGUUGUUCAAAUAUAAAAAAUGGUUUUUUUUUUGUUAAUUUGGGAAAAAUGUUGAAUAAUCAGAAUUUUUCUGUUUAAAAUUUUUUUAAGACUUUAUUAAAAAAUUUCCCAAGAUAAUGAGACUUUUCUAUAGUAAUCCAUUAUAUUUUCGAAAUGCUUCUUAUAUUAUCGACCUACUUUCGCUAAUCCAAACUACUUUCUGUAAUAAUUUUAAAGUAUUUAUGUUUUUUCGGGGAGACUUUCGUGUUAAAUUUUCAAACUGCAUCUUCAAUUUUCUAACUAACCCCCCCUAAUUUAGUAUUUGGGAAAUAAAACAAUUUUCUAAAAUGUCUUUUUUACAAACUUUGAGGUUAUACCCUAAUAUUGCAUUUCAUGUGUUCAUUAUAUAAUACUUAUUUUCUAAUAGUCAUUGAGAUUACUAUCUACCGGAUGAUAUUUCCACUUAAGAAAUUAAUCCAUCCAUAUAAAAUAUAUGUUUUAACGACUUGUAUGAUAAUUGUAAUUGUAUUGUACCUUAUACAGAUGAAUCGAUUUCUGAAGUGAAAACAUCACUUCCCAAAAAGAUCACAAUGUGUAAGGGAGCUAAAAACACAUUUUUCCAUUAUUUUUGAUUUUUUAUAAUUAACCUAAAAGUUAAGGGGGUUUUAGGUCUUACUUUAAACAGUCGGGGACCAAAGUUUGUUUAUGUCAAAGUAAAAGGAGCUAAAAACACAUUUUCCGUUCCUAAACCCGUGACUUAACUCGUGACCUUGGGGCAGUCUUCUCGAGCAAUAAGAGUGCGACGAUCGUCCUUUCCUUGCGAUUAACCUCCAUCUCCAAAUUCCAUCACAGAAUACGUGAAGUGAGGCAAGCGACAACAACAAAUCUUCGAGUUUUUUUGCGUUGUUUCUGUAAAAUUAACGAGGUAUGUACAAAGCAUUUAUCAUUCUCGAGUGGAAUCUCUUAAACUAUAUAUGCAUUCUACCUGUUUGAUGAAAGUCCUCAGUGAAUACAAAGUUUUGUUUUAGUAUGGAACUGUAUUAAGCUUUUAUCCAAGAAAUCAGGUAGAAAUUUUCAUUCAAACUUCUAAUAAACUGCCACUAAUUUAUUUCCUCCUUCACCCCACAACUUUCUACUCUCAGAUUUCUUCAAUUGAAGGCAUUGAAUCACAACUGGUAUUGUCAAAAUGCUAGGUGGCCCUGGGCUUGAAUCUGUUGUUGAUCGUAAGUACAAUUCCAUUCCUUUUCAUUAAAUUUUGUUGUGAAAGAUUCGUUUAAAUGCUUUCUUCUUACAUUACGCACUCUUUCAGAGAAUUCUAUACUCAAUAUACUUGAUUUACUAAAGAACUUCUUUUCAUCUCUCUACAGAAAUCAUUUCAGUUAUCACAAAUGAUGGAAGAAACAUAGUGGUAAGUUUCAGUUUUUUUAACCCACAACACAUGAAUUCUUGUACUAAUUACAAUUAUUUGCAUUCAGGGAGUUCUAAAAGGUUUUGACCAAGCAACAAAUAUAAUUCUGGAUGAAUCUCACGAACGAGUUUAUUCCACCAAGGUAGGAAACUAUCAUUAAUCUUUCAAAAUUUGAUCUUUACAUAUGUUUUGUUAAUAGGCUGAUUCAAAUGUAAAAUAUUCUCCAUUUCUAUUAUUAAAUCCUGUUUUAACUUGCAGGAAGGAGUUCAACAACUUGUAUUAGGCCUCUACAUCAUAAGGGGUGAUAACAUGUAUGUUUAUACUUUAUACUUUCUAAGUUUCUUUUAAUCACACCCAUUUUAAUGAGUUUACUUUUAUUCAUUUAGAACACAAACCACCUAAAUAUUAAUACUAAUACUAAUGAUUGUUGUGCAGAAGCAUAAUUGGGGAACUGGAUGAGGAGCUUGAUGCAAGCUUGGAUUUGGCUGAACUGAGAGCUCAUCCUCUAAGGCCUGUUAUUCACUAAUUAUGAUGAUCUUAUUUUAUUAAAUCAUGUGUUUUAGGGGGAGUAAAUGUGAUACAUGAAAACUGAAGUGGUUGCUAUUUGUUAAUGCUAUGUAUUUGUUUUAGCUUUUGGUUGAAACUUGUUUGAAACAUGUUAAUUAUGUUGAUGGCAUUGUGUCUAUUCAUAAAACAAAAUUGAAAAAUUAAACUUGUGUAUCAAAAUGAAUGUGAUGGAUAAUUGUUAAUAGGAAAACGAGUAAAUUUGGAUUAGAAAAACGCUCUUGUGUUAAACAACUCAAAAUACAAAGUGUUUGAUGGACAUUGAGAUUUAUCAAAUAUACACUUUCUCACUCAUACUACAUAUUCAACUCUCAAGCCACAAGUGCCACAAAGAAGGAUAUGAAUGUCAAUAUCUCCUUUGUCAAGAUUCACUUUGACCAGUCAUCCGCUACUAGAGUAUAUUUAUCAAUUAAUUGUCUUGCAUAUGUUAAAUUACAUUUAUGAGUUGUAUUGCGUAUGUUAAAAGUAGAUACACACGCUUGUGACAUAAAGAUAUGUAUAGGAGUGGGUAUUGGUGAUGCUAUAAUAUUGAAUUAGUCGCAAUUAGUGAUGGAUGGAUCUCUAAUAUAAUAGUGGCUGCCCGAUCUUUAUGGUAUGCAUAGGAGUUGUUGAGAUUAUGAUAUUCCCUCUUGCAUCCUGAGUCUUGCCUCACAAUAAACAACCAUUUUCAUUUGUAUCUAGAAUUAGAUCGAGUCUAAAGUAAUCUGCUCUAAAUUUAUUUUUUUGUAUCCAUGAUAAUACCACAAAAUUACAUGGUUGGUCGGUAUAAUUUGUAUAAUUUACCAAAACUAACAUAGUUAUGUUAGGACAACUAUCAAAAUGUAUGUAUUUGUUCGUAUAUUUUUAAUUUCUUACAUCAUUGGUUCUUAUGUUUUCAUUUUUUUUUUUCAAAAUUGAGCUGAAAUUAUUCUUUUAACCAUACUUUGACUUUUUUUAAUUAAUUUUAUUUCUUUUUUUAUAUUAAAAUAAUUUUUUUUAUUAAAAAGUUACCCCACCUCACCCUAACCAUAAAUCCAACAACCUUUUUCAUAUUUCUCUCUAAAAAACUACUCUCUUCCUUCUCUCAAGACUUCAGCCGCCACCACUUUCAGUCGUUGCCUUCAACCUGUACCACCACUACCUCAGCUACCAUCGGCUAUUCACCGCUUUAAACAUGCACAUUGUCGACGAAAGAACUAGUCGUCGCCACUAACCCCACCUUAAUCCUACCACUACAUUUCCCCGUUUGCUUUAAGCCCAUUUCACAUAGUCCCUAUCUACUCUUCUUCUUUAUCUCUCAGUGGUAAAUUCGGCUACCAUCAUUAAUAAAUCUCGUUGCUACCGUUGGACUCACAUCACAGCCAUACCAUUUCCCUUUAACCACCACGCCGACAAUACUUCCUUUUAACCUUAUAGAACAAUCAACAAAACCCACCAACCAUUGGCCAGCCAAAAUCGAUAUAAGGCACCACCAUAUGUCACCACUGAUCUAUGCAAGCUAAACACGAUCUUGCUUCCUCCACCAUCGCUCAAGCUGAUCGUCACUCUUUCCAUCCUAAGCCCUAGGUUUUAAUGGGUAUAGCCAUCACCGACACAUUCAUUAACUCACCAUCCUCCAUCAUCAUCAUCAAUCCUCAUCAUCUCUCUCUCUCUCUCUCUCUCUCUCUCUCUCUCUCAUCAUGUGCUUUUCUUGAAGAUUUUUUUGCCACAGAUCCAAGGCUCCACCAUGCAAAAUCUCUGGUAACUGUUGCCUCCCACUUGGAAAAUCUUCAGCGACUGAUCCUUCACUUGGUACUCUUCAGGAUGAAGGGAAUAAGGGUGGUGGGCUGGUGGGGGGUCAAGGGUGUUAGCUUAAUAAGAUUAUGGGUUUUACUUUGUAUUGGGUCUUAUGUUGGCCCAUUAGCUAGAAAACCCUAAUUAGCUAGUCUAUAUAUUCUGUCUUUUCCUUUCAUUGUAUCUUGUGCUUCUCAUUUGAUAAUAAUAUGAAACCCUAGAUGUUCUAUAUCUUCUUAGUUUUCAUGGACCAUGGUAUCAGAGCUCGGUUGAUCAUCUAUACUUUUGUUUUGGGGGCGAGUUGUAGCAGGCACGACACUAUUCACAUUACUGUUCAUCGAUAUUGUUCACAUGUACUGUUCAUCUACACUUUUCACGUACUGUUUGCAAUUUUGGGUAUGGUUUUGUUGCUCGUUUUUGUAUUCAGUUUAAUUUGAUUAGUUCGUUUCGUCGAUUUCGAGGGUUUCAUUUCCUCUGUUGGUUUUGUUGAUUUCGAGAUCUUGAUUGUUGUUGCUAUUCAUAUUUAUUGUUAUUUUCCUUUUAUUGAUGUUGAGAUAUGGCCCCAAGAGAUGAUUCUCUUUAGUCCAUUAGUAUUCAACUCGAUGGCAAAAACUAUACCUAUUGGAGGUAUGUUAUGAAAAAUUUAUUACGAGGCAAGACUAUGUAUGUGGGGGAUUGUUAUAGGUUACAAGAACAAACCAACACACGAGAAGGUUGUUGAUUAUGCAACCUUAUUGGAUUCAUGGGAGACUGAUAACUCCAAGAUCAUUACUUAGAUUAAUAAUUUUGUUAUCCAGUCCAUUGGUACUCAGUUGGCGAAGUAUGAUACAUAAAAGGAGGUUUGGGAUCAUUUGGCUAGGUUGUAUACUCAGUCUAACUUUGCAAAGCAGUAUCAGUUAGAGUUUGAUAUUCGAGCCCUCCAACAAAACAAUCUUAGUGUUCAAGAAUUUUAUGUAGCUAUAUCAGAUUUGUGGGAUCGGUUGGCUCUACAAAACCUGAUGUGUUGAAAGCUUUUAAGCCUUAUAUUGAUAGAAGGGAAGAACAAUGCUUGGUUUAGUUCUUGAUGGCAUUACGUUCAGAUUUUGAAGGCUUGCAUGGAUCAAUCUUGCAUCACAUACCUCUUUCCACUAUUGAUUCGGUUGUUCACGAGUUGAUUGCUGAAGAAACUCGUAUCAAGUCCCAUGCUAACAAAUGUACAAAGACAGCCACUCCUGUUGUCUUUGUUGUUCCACAACGACCUCAGUCUUCAAAUCAAAAUCGUCCCAAAGUUGCAUUUGAUGAGUGUGCUUUCUGUAAGAAGAAGAACCAUUGGAAGGCAAAUUGUCCUUCGCUGAUAGGCAUUGGAAAUUAGCAACAACAACAAACGAGAUCAACUGCACAGUCUCAGCCUUCACAACAGAACAAAUCUUCUGGACAGUUACGUCCCUCGUUUCCAUUCUUUAGGCCACCACAGUACACUGCUUCUGCAACUUCAGUUGAGAAUGAACUAAAUUUUACAUCACCAUUAGCCUUGGAUCUCCAAAUUGUUGAACAGUCCAAACAGUUCAUUGCUAUUAAUAAGAUUAUAAACUUUAUUUUGUAUUGGGUCUUAUGUUGGCCCAUUAGCUAGAAAAUCUUAAUUAGCUAAUCUAUAUAUUCUAUCUUUUCUUUUCAUUGUAUCUUCUACUUCUCAUUUGAUAAUAAUAUAUAAUCUUAGACGUUCUAUAUAUUGUUAGUUUUCGAAGGGCAAGGUAUACUAGGGUCCAACUUUUAUUUUCUAUUUUUAAUUGAAAUAGUUAAAUAAUAUGAAAGAAAAUUUAAAAGGGUAAAAAAAACAAUAACUAUUUUUAUAUGGGUUAAUGACUAGUUAACAUUGACCGGCCAAACUAGAAACUAAAACAACAUAGACAAACACAUCGUUUUGAUUGUUGUCACAGAGAUUUUUUUUUUUUAUAAUAAUAAUAAUAAUAAUAAUAAUAAUAAUAAUAAUAGUCGUAAUAAAAGAAAAUAGGAAUCCAUGUACAAUCUUAAUUUAGUUAACAUUGACCGGCCAAUCAUAUACCACGAGUCCACCUUUCUUUUGAAUUAAAAUUAACAUAUUUAUUUCUAAGACAUACCAAAGAAAGUCUACUUGAAUCUAAAGAACUCAUAAAUGGAGACGACUUAAAUAAAAAAUGAUCUUUAUUAUCUCAAAUAUACAUAUGUAUAGUAAUAAUAAUGUAAACAAAAUACGAGUAUACAUAUAGAGAGAGAAGGGAGGAAAAAACCGAUCUACGAUCCUCCACUUUCUCAUGAAUAUCGAAUCAAGAACUACAAAAUAACACAAUAAUAAUAAUCAAUACAAUAAAUAAUAAAUGGAAAGAAUCAUAGCUUAAACCUGAAACUGCAGCUACUAUCCCUGAUCCUGAUAACAUUAUCAGUAGCCAAAGUAUUCACAUUCACUCUACACCUCACAAUCGGCUUCCACUUCGGCAACUUCAGCUUCCCAAGCUUAAUCCUCACCGGAACUUUAGCUCUCAAAACCAGCGGCACAACUCCGGUCUGUAUCUGCGCCUGCAACGAAUUCAACAACCCGGUGGCGUCCUGAGCUUGUCCCGUCAUCGGAAUGUUCAGCACCGUCGUGUUCCGGUGACCCUGAUAGAACUUCGGAAAUGAACCUUGACAUAGAGUCGUUCCCAUGUAAAUCACCGUCAACCUUGAUCCACCUUCGUAUGAGAUUCCGAUCUUCGUGUUAGGGUUUCUCGCUGUAAUGUUGACGUUAAACUGAGCGGAUAAGGUGUUGUCGUUGUUCGGAUUGAACUGGGUGAUGGUCAUCCCGUCGACGGAGUAUUUCGGGAGUUUUGGAUCGAAUCCGAAGUAGAUGAUUGCUGCUAGGAUUCCGACGAUCAUGAUUAAGAUGAAGAAGAAGCAAAGUAUGCAGCAUAGGAAGCGGCGGCAGCAGUGUCGUUUCUUUGGUGGUUUGGAGUAUUGGAUCGGGAUUGUACGCUGGUAUGGUGGUUGUGGCUCCGCCGGAUUGCCGUGGUCGGACCUGGAUGAGCCUCUGGGCACCAAUGGCGCGGUGGGUUUCUGUUGGGAUUCCAAGUCGGUCGCCGGCGUGACCGGGUCCGGGUGGAUUCUCUGGUGAUCGGACAUUGGAAUGUGAAGAAGAAGAUGAAGUGAAUGUGAAUGGGUUCGAGAAUGAAGCAAAGUCGGACACUUUUUUUCUUCUAAAAUGACGGAAACUUUCGUAUUAUAUAAGACUUGUGAAUGAACAAGAGUAGAUAAAGUCAUAUGGAAGUAGACUUUUCUAAAAUUGACCUUUCACUAUGCAUCGAUUGACAUUUUGUACCUUUUACUUUGAAUUUCGUUUUUGUUGUCUAAAAUACCCAAGUUAUGUCGUAAUAAUGUUCAAAAUAAGGGAACAAGUGUUUUGAAAAUGGUUUGGAUUUUUAUUUUUAAAUUAACUAAAUAUUAGGAUUGGUUUGCUUCUUAUAAAAAACCAUAUAAAAAACCUAAACGUAUAGAAUACCAAAAUGACUCUUUAUGUAUAUUUGUGAUUAAUUAAAUAUUCUAAAAAUUAAAUUGAUUUACAUAUAUCUAUGAUUUUCAUUGCAAAUUAACAUAUAGUGAAUAUCUUUUGUAUUAUUUUUGUAUACUUUUAGUUAUUUGUUAAAUUUUAUUACCAUGGUUUAUGCAUAAUAAAAAAUAGUCAUAAAAAACCAAAAAUAACAAAUAAAAAAUUUGGAAAGACAAAACAUUACGGUUUUUCAAUGUCAAAAACUAAAAUCCAUGUCAAGAUAUCAUGUAGAUCUUUUCAAGCUGUUUGUCGUAGAUAUAGACCUCUUAUUAAAUACAUUUGUAAUGAUACCCUUAUUUAAAUGAUUAUUUCAAAUAACAAUAACAAAUACAAUAUUAAGAAUUUAUAUAUCCAAAUUUAAUUCAAGUUAUCGUGUUAAAAUAAUUUGACACGUUUGCCCCAAUGUACGUGUCAUCCAUAGACUUGUUUCAAUGGUUAAUAAUUUCAGAUGAACAAAAUGAAUUAUGAAGGUGUAAUUUUGGUAGUUUGGACCAUAAGUAAGAAAUGCAUACCACGUGACUAAACGCGUUUGUUGUUUGAAAAUGAAGGGAUAAGUUUUGUAAUUCACUCAAAGUAAAAGGGUCGGAAGCUUCCUUGUUUGACUAUAUAAUAUAUACGAAUUUGUUGGGCGAUCUCUUUCCUGGUAGAUUUCUAUACACGGCUUGGUUAAAUAGUGUUUACAUGUAUCAAUGUUUCGGUUGGCUGAUUCCACCAUUUUAAGUAUUGCAUCGAUGGGUUGUACUGUACAAUUUUAGAAGGCACUCGUACAACACAGUAAUGCGUGAAAUCUUUGUAUGUAGGUACAAAUGAAUGUUUUUUUUGGGUUAGCUACCCUAAAGACUUGGUGCCUUUUUUUGUGCAUUUAAUUUCAAAUAUUGACGCGUGCGUUUACUUUUUUAUUUUUUAUUUUUAUGAAUAUGAAAAAUAUCUUAGUGUGACAUGUUUUUACGGUUUUAUGACAACAAAAUCGUAUAUUAUUGUAUACAUAACAUUAAAUCAGUGAUAAAUUGAAACACAUAUUUAAAAGGUGAUUCAUAUACAAAAAUUUUGUGUCAUACAGAACAAAAAUAUGUUUUUUUUUUUUCUUUUUGCAUAUCGUACGACUCUUUAAAAGAUAAAUUUUUGUGUACAACAAGUACGAAUCAGUAAUUAAUAGAAAACCUUUUUUAUUACGUUUUUUUUAAUUGUAUAAGUUUGUUAAAUAAAUAAGUCAUAAACUUUAUUGCGAAACAUACAAACAACACCUAGACAUCAUGGCAACAAAAUCACAAGUCAAAAUUAUCAUUUAGAAGUUAUUAAAAAGUGAUUUGAGUGUAACGUUAUCUAUAAAUAAUAUUAUUUAGUAUAUACAAAAAGAAAUAAGGUAACCUACAUAAGUACAAUAAAAACAACACUUCAUAAUUUAUCGCCUCAAACCUUAAUAACUUUUAAAUUCCAUAAAUAGUCCAUUGCAUGUUUCUAGAACUCUUAACAAUAAACAAUGGUGUCACUUGGGUUCCUUUUUUUUUUUUUCUCAGAAAGCAUUUCGGCGUCCUUUUUUUAAUGAUGGUUUCGCACCUAGAACUUAGAAAUUCCCUUUCGUGAAAAAAAAAAAUCGUAUUAGCAAUUUAAAACUACUUGGGAUUAUUAAUUUUAAAUUGGUCAACACGUUUUUUCGUAUGUUGUUUAUCAAAAGACGAUUUAAAUAUUCUAUUUUUAAAUAAUUUUGUAAGAAGUUUUAGAAAGAAAAAGUAAUGUUGACACUUGAUAAAUAUAUACCCAUACAAAAAUUAUUAAUUUAAAAAAAUGAUGUAAUACUACAAGUAGCAGCCUCAUGUAUGCAGUAUGCUUUGUCCAGAUAUGUUUUGAAUUAUUCAAGUUUAACCUGGGAAGCUUUAACUUCCUCUCGUUUUCUCUUGAUAGAUAGCAUCUUAAAAAACCUUAAUUUAGAAUAACAAACACCCAAUUAAUAAUUUUUCUUUUUUACAUGCAAANAUGUUAACCAUCAUAUCACACAACAUAAGAUGGGCCGACCUUGGUGCCUUAGACCCAUUGGUAUGGUGAGAAGACUCACCUGCACCUAUCGGCUGAAGAAAUAAGAUCACGCUGCUCCAACCACCGUCACAAACUCCUCCACUGGUCAACACCAAAAUAACUGAAGGUCAAUAAAUACCAAUAAUUACCAAAAUACCCCUAGAAGUCAACUGGUCAACUCUUGGUCAAAGUCAAAGUUCGUAGUCAAAGUCAAACUUCCUGACUGACUCUACUCGCCAAGUCAACCCGCUGACUCGUCGAGUCCAAGAAUCUUCGAGUUCCAUCCUACUCAACUCACCGAGUUGUCCCUCAACUCACCGAUUCAUGACUUAACCAGAAAAGGUUAGGGUUCCAUCACCAGACUCGCCAAGUCCAAGGCAAUCUUCAACAGACUCGCUGAGUUGUUCUUCCAACUCGCCGAGUUCAUGCACAUAUUCAUACAACUCGUCGAGUACAAUCAUGUGACUCGCCGAGUAUCUUUAGUUCUCAAUCCAUUCAGAGGCUUUUCAAGCCAUGCAGGGGCUCCAAUCCAUUCGUCCAGCUGUUACAAGUGCGGCAAGUUAGGGCACUUCAACAGGGAUUGUACCGCCCCUACACCUGUGAUGCAGACAUCGAAGUUGUUGUGUUUCCACUGCAACCAGAGGGGCUACAAGAAGGCCAAUUGCCCCCAGUUGACAGCAUCAACGUCGGUUAAGGCGCCAGCUCCAGCUACCCUGCGGAUUACAGAUGGCCAGCAGGUCAAGGCAGAGGCUCCAAUGGUGAGGAGUCGGGUGUUUCAGCUGACUACCGAGGAGGCACGCGCCGCACCCGAUGUGGUGACGGGAUCGUUCCAUGUGAACGGUAUCCCAGUUCAGGUGUGGUUUGAAUCGGGUGCCACCCAAUCAUUUGUUUCCCUUGCGCUUAGCAAGAGGUUUACUGAGUCUUCGGGCAUGUUAGAUUGCCCUUUAGAGGUAGAGAUUAUCGAUGAUCGAUCGGUGCGAGCGUCAGCAGUAUUCAGGGAUUGUGUUCUAAGGUUAUUUGAGGAGCGCUAUUUGGUAGAUUUGGUUCCCAUACCAUUGCGGGGGAACAAGGUGAUUAUCGGCAUGGAUUGGCAGAGCCCUAAUGGGGCGGUGAUAGAUUGCGCACAUCAGCUAGUGCGGAUCAGGAUCCCAAGUGGGGGAGAGUUGGUGAUCCACGACGAGAGACCACAGCGUGGACCCGCAGUAUGUUCAGCAGCGAGAGCUAGGCUCUACCUUCAGCAGGGUUGCGCGGGAUAUGUCGCGUACGUUAUGGAUACCCGGGAUACGGGUAAGGUGACGGUGAGCGAGGUUCCAGUGGUGCGAGACUACACUGAUGUGUUCCCGGAGGAGCUUCCUGGAAUACCUCCGGAGCGUCAGGUAGAGUUCAGGAUCGACCUAGUUCCUGGUGCGGCUCCGAUAGCCAAGGCACCCUAUCGGUUGGCUCCUCCUGAGAUGCAGGAGUUGUCUACGCAGCUACAGGAGCUGCUAGAUCAGGGAUUCAUUCGUCCGAGNNNNNNNNNNNNNNNNNNNNNNNNNNNNNNNNNNNNNNNNNNNNNNNNNNNNNNNNNNNNNNNNNNNNNNNNNNNNNNNNNNNNNNNNNNNNNNNNNNNNNNNNNNNNNNNNNNNNNNNNNNNNNNNNNNNNNNNNNNNNNNNNNNNNNNNNNNNNNNNNNNNNNNNNNNNNNNNNNNNNNNNNNNNNNNNNNNNNNNNNNNNNNNNNNNNNNNNNNNNNNNNNNNNNNNNNNNNNNNNNNNNNNNNNNNNNNNNNNNNNNNNNNNNNNNNNNNNNNNNNNNNNNNNNNNNNNNNNNNNNNNNNNNNNNNNNNNNNNNNNNNNNNNNNNNNNNNNNNNNNNNNNNNNNNNNNNNNNNNNNNNNNNNNNNNNNNNNNNNNNNNNNNNNNNNNNNNNNNNNNNNNNNNNNNNNNNNNNNNNNNNNNNNNNNNNNNNNNNNNNNNNNNNNNNNGACGCGUUAUGGCCAUUAUGAGUUCGUGGUGAUGCCGUUUGGGCUCACCAAUGCUCCUGCCACGUUCAUGGACCUCAUGAACCGCGUGUGUAGACCGAUGUUGGAUCGGUCUGUGAUAGUUUUCAUUGAUGACAUCUUGGUUUAUUCCAAGACGCAGGAGGAGCACGAGGAGCAUCUGAGAGAGGUUUUGGAGACCUUGAGGAGGGAGAGCUUGUACGCCAAGUUCUCCAAAUGUGAGUUUUGGUAGCGCGAGCUGCAGUUUCUUGGGCACCUCGUCAACCAGAACGGGAUUUUAGUAGACCCAGCUAAGGUGGAGGUCGUGAUGAGAUGGGAGGUUCCGAAGUCUCCAGCCGAGAUUCGGAGUUUUCUAGGAUUAGCAGGCUACUAUCGUAGAUUCAUUCAGGAUUUCUCCAAGAUAGCCAUACCCAUGACACGGUUGACUAGGAAAGCCAUGGUCUUUCGAUGGGGGCCUGAGCAGCAGGCAGCGUUCGAGAUUCUGAGGCAGAGAUUGUGCGAGGCGCCAAUCUUAGCUCUGCUCGAGGGCGUAGAGGAUUUUGUGGUAUACUGUGAUGCGUCUAUCUUGGGCUUAGGCGUAGUAUUGAUGUAGAGGGGACAUGUCAUUGCUUAUGCCUCGAGGCAGCUGAAGCCUCACGAGGCGAACUACCCGACGCAUGAUUUAGAGUUGGGGGCGGUGGUCUUCGCCCUCAAGAUUUGGCGGCAUUACCUCUACGGGGUUCGAUGUACCAUUUUCACGGAUCACAAGAGUUUGAGGUACCUCAUGGAUCAGCCGAAUCUGAACAUGAGGCAGCGUCGGUGGUUGGACGUGGUGAAGGAUUAUAAUUGCGAGAUCCUUUAUCACCCGGGGAAAGCCAAUGUGGUGGCCGAUUCACUUAGCCGUAAGGCGGCACCGAUCGGGGAUGUGUGUAUAAGGAUGACGGUGGUGACUCCACUGUUAGAGCAGAUUCAGAAAGCUCAGCAGGAGGCUAUGAAGGAGGAACAUCGGAAGAGUGAGCGAAUAGUGGGUCAAGUCACCUCCUUCGAUUAUGAUAGCCGAGGAUUAUUGACACUACACCGUAGGGUGUGGGUGCCGUAUCACGGAGGCGUGCGCCAGAUCUUGAUGGAGGAGGCGCACAAAUCCCGAUUCUCUAUUCAUCCAGGGGCGACGAAGAUGUAUAGGGAUCUUCGUCUAGACUAUUGGUGGCCCUGCAUGAAGCGGGAUGUGGCCUAGUACGUCGAGCGAUGUUUGACCUGCAGGAAGGUCAAAGCCGAGCAUCAGAGACCGCAUGACAAGAUGCAGCCGUUGGAUAUCCCGUUGUGGAAAUGGGAGGAUAUUAUGAUGGAUUUUAUCACAAAGCUUUCCCGGACGGUGCGAGGAGUAGAUUCGAUUUGGGUCAUCGUGGAUCGGUUGACCAAGAGCGUCCAUUUUAAUCUGAUUCAGGAGAGUAUCUCGGCCGAAAAGUUAGCCGAUAUCUAUAUCAGGGAGAUAUUGGCGUGACACGGGGUGCCAGUGUCAGUGAUAUCAGACCGAGAUGUGCGGUUCACUUCCAGGUUUUGGAAGAGGUUUCNCAUGAUGAGUUGGGCACUCGUCUGCACUUUAGCACCGCCUUUCACCCGUAGACGGAUGGUCAGAGCGAGCGGACCAUCCAGACGUUGGAAGAUAUGUUGCGGGAAUGUGUGCUAGACUUCAGUGGUAGUUGGGAUACCUAUCUUCCCUUGGCUGAGUUCUCAUACAACAAUAGCUACCACGCGAGUAUCGACUGCCCUCCAUUCGAGAUGUUGUACGGACGGAGGUGCAGGACCCCGAUAUGUUGGGGUGAAGUUGGCCAGAGGAUCAUGGGGAGCACCGAGGUGGUGCUCAAGACGACCGAGAGAAUUCAGCAGGCUUCAGACUGCGCAGAGUCGACAGAAAAGUUACGUCAACAAGCAUCGAUCAGACCUGGAGUUCCAGGUCGGGGAUAUGGUUCUCCUGAAAGUGUCACCUUGGAAAGGCGUCAUUCGAUUCAGGAAGCGGGGCAAGUUGGGCCCGAGAUACAUUGGUCCGUUCAGGGUUGUAGCCCGGGUGGGCAAGGUGGCAUAUAGGCUGGAUCUGCCAGCCGAGCUCAGUCAGAUCCACAACACCUUCCAUGUCUCCCAGCUGCGGAAGUGCCUAGUGGAUGAUUCAGCGGUGGUGCCGCUAGAGGAUAUACAGGUUGAUGACAGCCUGAAUUACAUUGAGCGCCCAGUCGCAAUCCUCGACCGGAAGUCGAAGGAUCUGAGGAACAAGAGGGUGGAAUUAGUAAAGGUGCAAUGGUAGCACCGAAAGGGGUCGGAAUGGACUUGGGAGCCGAUGGAAGAAAUGAUGGAGCAUUACCCCGAGUUGUUUCAGGAUCGAGCAGCAGACUUUGAGGAAGAAGUCUAAAAUAAGUGGGGGCGAUUUGUAGCACCUUGUUCCUGGUAUGUAAAAAUUUAUCUAAGUGUUUUGCAUUUUUAGCCUUGGACCCGGCGAGUUGUAGGCCCGACUCGCCGAGUAGAGACGGGAGAUGGAGCACGUUUAAGUUGGCAACUCGGCGAGUCCCCGCUGUCUGAUGAAACCCUAAUUUCAAGGGUUUGCACCCUAUUUAAACCAACCUUAUGCACCCCAAACUCGCCCCCUUCACCCUCAGAGCUCCCUAUAUCGUCCAACCCUUGUCCCUUGUGAGAUUGAAGUGCUUUGGUGUGUUUUCUUGAAGAUUUUGAGAGAAAAGAAGAGGUAGAUCAAGAAGAGAAGAAGGAGGCCAGACAUCUUGGUGUUAUUUCAGUGAUUUCCUUGAGGUAAAACUCAGUUUCCCUCUGUUUCCAUGCUUAUAGUCCCUUAUAGCUCCAUUAAAGUCCUUCUUGAGCCAUUUCCAGGAUUGGGUAUGAUUUAGGGUCUGUCAUAAGUUGAUUAAACUUUAGAUCUAGGCAUGAUUGAGCUCUAGGAGCUCGGAUCCACUGCCUUUAUGAAGCCAUAUUGCAUGAAAUCCCUAGAUAUACUCUUUUAGUGCAUUUUGAGCCCUAAAACCUUCAUUGGUGUUUAUUUGCACGUAAAAUUGGAAACUUUACGUGUUAAUCAAGCCCUAGAAACCUAGAUCUUCGUAUGGAAUGAGCUGGAUCCAAGCAAAAUCGAGUAUAUAGUAUUUACAUGUGACAGACUCGGCGAGUCGUUCAUCAGACUCGGCGAGUCGAGUCGCGAGUCCCCUGAAGUUGUUUAGCAGUUUUUGACUGAGUGUUUUGUGGGAAUUAUAGCCAAAGGAUUUCCGAGGCAGCAGCAACAGAAGACAGUCAGUUCCCAAGCGGAUCAGCAGCUACUUUAAGGUGAGUUACCUUCCAGUAGCGGUGGGUCUACGGCCACAAUGCCGGCCCAUCAGUAGGAGUUGUAUGAUUAGAUGAUUGUCUCUGUGAUAUUCAUAUAGGUUUGCUACUACCUUAUAUGUUUAUGUGCUAGUAUGAUAUGAUGCUAUGUGCUAGUGACAGUAGGGGAGAUAGUCCCCAGAUUACCGGUCGAUAGGGCCGAAGGGGUAGUCAUGCCCAUCCAUGCUAGAUAGAUUAUGUGAUAUGUGUUAUGUGGUAGUAGUAGGGGGUGAAAUAGUCCCCAGUAUCCGGUCGAGAGGACCGAAGGGGAGACCAGCACCCAGAUAUGCUAUUCAGUAUCCGGUCGAGAGGACCGAAGGGGAGGCCGGCUCCUAGAUAGACUAGUCUGUAUCCGGUCGAGAGGACCGAAGGGGUAGGUCGGGCACCCAGAUAUGCCUGACAAUAUAUGUAGGAUAUUUGAUUGUAUGGUAUGUGGUAUGUUGGGGGAACUCACUAAGCUUCGUGCUUACGGUUUAUAGUUCUGGUUUCAGGUACCUCUUCUCCGAAGGGGAAGGAGCUGGCACGGUAGCGACACAUCACAUACAUGCUUUGUAUUCCGCACUAUGAGAUAUUCUUGGGGAUUUGUACUCUGACAUUAUUAUGUUUUAUAAAAUGGUUUCCAGACACGCAACAUCUUUUAUGAAAUGAUAUGACCGGUGAAUGUUUUAUUUAUAAUGUUUUGCAAAGUGUAUGUUUUAAAAAUGAAAUUUUUGGCUCGUAUUUUUGGGAUGUUACAUUACUGAUAGAACCAAUUCGAGUCACACUGUGAUGGCUUGAGCUACCAUCAACCACACCCAUUCAUUACCCUGGUAUCCUGCAUUUGAUACGCUUGGCAUAUUAUGCUACCAAUCUCAUCUUACUGAAACAAAAUCCUGUACUGAACAUGCACGAACCCUGAUUCGGAAUCCUUUCCGAAACAAGUCGACACCCCGCUACUACCUCGAGGUUCAUAAUACACCAUAACUUCUGACGUCCCCUUCGUGUCCAAUAGACAAUCACCCUUAGCCGAUCCCUGAGACUACCAAUCUCUCAUCUGGUCCAACCACCAGGUUUCCAGGUGAUCAAAAACCAAGACUACCCAGCCGUAGCCAUACUGCAUCACGUGCCACUUAUCCACAAGAUCCUGCAACUCGAGAUCCAACCCUUGACUCAAUAGUCUCUACCAUUUCCAUUCUGAAAUCCCAUACCCAUCCGGGCUCGUCCAUGAAUAAUCCCUCCGAUCCUGAUUCUACCUAAGUUGUGGCUUUCCCACGACUUUGCGAACUAAUCUACCAUAGACCCAAUCACUCAAAGAACUCAUGAAUGCUACGACUACCCCGUAGUCUUACAACACUUCCCAUGCCAUCCGAUUAUUAGUGAAUGCUACAGCCCCCUAUAGUCUGACAACACUCCCACCCUGAUUGUACAUUAGUGAACGCUACGGCUCCCCCGUAGUCUUACAACACUUUCACAGUGAAUGCUAUGGCUCCCCCGUAGUCUUACAACACUUUCAUAGUGAAUGCUACGGCUCCCCCGUAGUCUUACAACACUUCCACAGUGAAUGCUACGACUCCCCCGUAGUCUUACAACACUCUCACAGUGAAUGCUACGCCUCCCCCAUAGUCUUAAAACACUUUCAUACCACAUAAUCGUUGCCCAUGGCCCUACUGCUCACCUAUCAAUCCGAACGCAUCUCACUGUUUAGCACCCACGUAGUCUAUUCUCCCAAACUGAACUCAAUUACCGACUGGGACACUACCAGGUUCCCUUCCCCGAAGCCUGCAAUAUGACGUCAGAAGGACGCGAUCCAAUUUCCGGGGAGUUUCCCGAACUCCCAUCCCACGAUAUCCGAUACUCAAUUGGCCCCUAAGGCCGCAUUUCCUCCCCAAAAGGAAAAUUUGAGACGCAUCCAUGUCUCACACUCGCUUUUCUCUGGGAUAUCUGAAUAAUUCUCCCCCACUUAGAUUCGACUAAGUCCGCUUGGCACAUGAAAAUUGAAGGAUACCCACAUCCUCUCUCUUGUUCUAAUGGUUAAUUUGCUGACUGGCGGCGCUUAACAAAGCUAGAACACCAAGAAUAACCCUUUCCAAAACAACACAACUUCUGAAAACCCGCUAGCAUCUCUGAAUCCCAACCAUAUCAACGGAUUUAGAUGCUUUAAAUACUGUUAUACUCGGUUCUUGCUGACCGAAGGUCAGAUGGUCUAACCAAAUCUUCAGCAACAAUUCUCUCUUUCCUUGAAAACCUCGGGAGCCUUUCCAAACAUGAUAGCUAAGGUUACUGGAACCUACUCAUAAUUUCCCUCAUAUAAGCCCUGGAGCCAAUCCAGGCCAUACCCAAAAUGACACGUGCGUACUGAAAAUUCUUAGAUAACUGGAGUCGGUGCCCUCACUGCUACUCGCUGAUCGUCAAGUGGUUGACUUCCUUGUCCCUCAUCUGCCUUCAACGACAAUAUGACGGACUUGCCCCCUAUGGGCAUUCCCUGCUGACAUGGCCAAACCUACUACUCCUAUAGCUACCCAGAUCACCAGAUAGCCUCCGACAAUGACUCGGAGCGAUCCCGAUAUGUGUGGAAUCCACUCCGCAAGAUACGUCCACCUGAAAGCUCCUUAAAGAUUCCUCGGCGCGUUGGCUGGCACCUGAUACUCUUGCUAACUCGAACAAUAGCAGAAAUCCGACCCGAGGUAUAACUAUCACACUCCCCAAGUAAUAUAAAUUACCGGUACCACCGGAAAUGACCGAAGAUAGUAUAUCCGCAAACAUCUGGAGGACUCCUGACCAUCUCCUCUUGAGUUACCUCGACCAUCCAGAAAACAUGAUGCAACACUUCCUCCCGAUCCCAAUGGCAAUCCAAUCCCUUGAAACGAGCUCCAUCUCGUAGUUUUCGCAAGUGCUACAACGAAUCCGGCCCUUUGGCCUCUCAAAAGCUGAUCCAAACUCCUGGAUCUCCCUCCCGAGAUCCUCCACUAUAGGCACCCGGGCUGGUCCCCUUUUCCAAAGGUGACCCUAGUUAAUCCCUGCUUUCGAACUCUAGAAAUCAUAACAUUCAAAGUCUCGCACCCUGACGCACUCACCUGCUCAAUCGUCCACGGCCGAUAUGCAAUAGAUGGAGCAACCUAUGCUCCCAACUAGUUACAAACUAUCCCCAAGACAAAGUCUUUAACUCCGAAAGUGCAAUAGAUCGCACCAUCAAUCCUUGCCGCCUGAUGCAAGAGGUCCAAUGCGAACUCCCAAUCCUGGCAGUCCUUCUGCUAACUGGCUCUCUACCGGAGCCAGGACCAAACCCUGGUCCUUCCCCUUGCGUGCUCAUCCGCAUUCUGCACUGCAGCUAUCCCCACAAUCCACUUGUAACCACGAAUUCCUUUCCCAGGUUUCUUGGAUUCUUCGAAACUUUCCCCGAUUCGAGUAUAAAUCCUGUGCUUUCAGUAGUACGGGCCCAAUACUACCUUCCACACCUAUCCAUACUUUCCUUCGGAAUCAUCCCAAAUCCUCUAAGUCACCUACUUCCCUGAUGUACUAAAUGUCUGCUAGACAGCAGCACAAUAUCCACCUAAGCACCUCCUAGGUCUCCCCCUAGGCUCCUAAUCACACCGAACCACCUCACUACUCACUGGAGCAUAUCCUAGGCUUUCAUAGGUUCCCGACCUCGCCCUUCCAUCAGCUGCUGAGGAACUCCUCACGAUGCCAGUCAUUUACCUCCUGGAUAUCGUCACAUCCACUUAGUAGCUGACUCCCAUCACUAAAGAGUUCCACAAAGCACAAAGCAAGCAACAUUCGUGCAGACACACUCCUGACACUAAUCUUGUCCUAGGCUCAUCCUAGGGUAAUCUCCGACCCACAAACGAUCAUAGAAUAUCCGGCCCACGUGCCACAACCCAAGUUGUCCACAUCCAUCCUCGCUGACGGCUGCCUUAUGCAUGCAAAUUGUACAUAGAACAAGAAACGAACCGCACCAAUUAUUCUAUGGCCAUGAGAUCCUAACCGUAUACAAUUUUAAAACAUACACGUAGCAAUUACCAAUAUCAAUAAUCAUUCUCAUUCUAGCAUGGCAUCCAGCAUCCCAAGGCUACAAACAUCACAUAUCAGGCCAAUCUAUCGCUGUCUACUCAGCACUAUCAUGCAAGUCUAAGAGCUCAUAUAGCAUACAAAGGCAUCCCUCCCAACCCUAACUAGCAUGCGAUAUUCAGAUUCAUAACCAAAUCAUAACAGAUAAUAGAUGUGGGUAUUCUGAGGAAACUUACUUGAGCUCGGCCGAUUGCAUGCACCACACCCGUUCUUUUCUUAGAAAACUUUUCCUUGAAAACAUUUUCCUUUAAAAAAAACCUUCCAGAUCCUCAGUCUGAGUUCAGACACACCUGAAAGUAUGUUUGAAUCCCUCAAACCAAGGCUCUGAUACCAACUUGUAACGUCCCAAAAAUCAGGGGUAAAAUUUUCGUUUUUAAUAUAACUAAAACAUUGAUACCAUUUAAUUCAAAGAAUCAAAUCAUAGUCAAUCAAAUCGUUUAUCAGAGUUUAUCCCAAAAUCAUUCAUUGCGGAAAUCAUAGGUGUGUGCACUGCGAUCAACCCGAGCUCUUCCUUUCCAAAACGAUGAUACCUGAAACCAUAAACAAACCUGUAAGCACGAAGCUUAGUGAGUUUCCCAGAGUAUACCAUUCACACAAACCACAUAUCACAUAUCCUGUUAGCUAUAAAAGCUACACACAUAUCAUAUAUACUGUUAGCUAUAAAAGCUACCAUAUAUCACAUAAGCCCUGCAUACAUAAAACCUGUAAUAGUGCCAUGGGCUACCCCACAUGGUCUUUACCUAGGACUGCCAUGGGCUUCCCCCACAUGGUCUUACAUCCAAUGCCAUGGGCUACCCCACAUGGUCUUUACCUAGGACUGCCAUGGGCUACCCCACAUGGUCUUACAUCCAAUGUCACGGGCUUCCCCCGGGGUCUUCCCUGCAAAUACCAUAUAUAACCAAAUAGCAUAUCAUGCAGCACAUAAAUAUCUACACAUAACACAUACAUAAAUCUGUAAGGAUGUCGUGGCUACCCCCAGGGUCCUAUACCAUUGUGUCAUGGGCUACCCCACAUGGUCUUCCAUGCAAUUAUCAUAAAGACAACUACCAUAUCACAGAAUUACCAGCAUACCACCUAGCAUAAUGUUAACCAUCAUAUCACACAACAUAAGAUGGGCCGACCUUGGUGCCUUAGACCCAUUGGUAUGGUGAGAAGACUCACCUGCACCUAUCGGCUGAAGAAAUAAGAUCACGCUGCUCCAACCACCGUCACAAACUCCUCCACUGGUCAACACCAAAAUAACCGAAGUCAAUAAAUACCAAUAAUUACCAAAAUACCCCUAGAAGUCAACUGGUCAACUCUUGGUCAAAGUCAAAGUCCUUAGUCAAAGUCAAACUUCCUGACUGACUCUACUCGCCAAGUCAACCCGCUGACUCGUCGAGUCCCAUCAUGCUCAACUCACCGAGUUGUCCCUCGACUCACCGAUUCAUGAAUUAACCAGAAAAGGUUAGGGUUCCAUGACCAAACUCGCCAAGUCCAAGGCAAUCUUCAACAGACUCGUUGAGUCGCCGAGUUCAUGCACAUAUUCAUACAACUCGUCGAGUACAAUCAUGUGACUCGUCGGGUAUCUUCAGUUCUCAAUCCAUUCAGAGGCUUUUCAAGCCAUGCAGGGGCUCCAAUCCAUAGAUCUACCCUUCUACAAGCUAUCCCUCAUGUAAAGUUGCAAACUUUACGUGAUACCAAGUAGAUAUAAGCCCAAAACACACUAGGGCUUGGGUUUUAGACAAAGGGACUUUACCAACAACCCAAGAACUGAAGCUUUAUGACAUUCUAAGACAUCAUGAGUCUAGAUCUGGAGCAGCAACCCCAGAUCUAACUCCCAAAUCUGAGAUAGGUCUCAAAACAAGCUAAGGGACUCCCAAAACAACCACCAAGGAUAAACCAAAAAGGAAAAUAGCUUAAGAUAAGGCUCCUUACCUCAUAGAUGUGCCCAAAACUGAUGUAGAUCACAGAUCUAUACAAGCCCUUGAUGCUAACUUCUAAUUUCUCAAGCUCCUUCCACCAAUUUCCUCUUCUAAUCCCCCAAUCUCCUCAACAAUGAAGCCUCACACGAAUUUUGGGGGUUUCUGGAACUCAAAGGGAAGGUAAAGAGGCUGAAGGAGGAACAUAACAUUCUUUAUAUAGGGCACAACCCUGGGAUUAGGGUUUNUCAGCACCAACGUCGAGUCCAACUACCGACUCGACGAGUUGGUCACUUAACUCGCGACCAAAAUCCCGCUCCAACUCGGCGAGUCAGAAUACUUACUUGUCGAGUCCCCUUCUUUAUUUACACUUUACCCCCUGAGCUCUUGAUUCUGACUUGGGAUGUUAGAUUUCCUUUCUUGGCCUUUCUGAUUUCGGGUGUUACAUAUGUGUAUUCCUUAUCCAUUUCCGCUGGUACAACAAAGGCUUUUGCGACAAAAAUAAAUGAGUGGCUGAGAACGAUUCCCCAAUUCUCAACCUUUUUUAUUUUCUCAAUUGAACUUACCCCUCUCUCUCUCUCUCUCUAUAUAUCUCUNNNNNNNNNNNNNNNNNNNNNNACGAGAUUUGAACCUUCAAUCUCACAAAAUCAUGACAAACCUGAUACCGUUAGACUAAAAGCUAUUUGAUUUUUUUUUAAUAGUUACCUUUCCACUUUUUUAAAUAUUUAUAGAGGACAAAAUAAUUAAGUGGCUGUUUGGCAGGAUUUAAAUUUUUAAGAUCUGAAUAUUUAAGAGGUCUGAAUUUCUAAGAGGGUCUGAAUUUUUAAGAUCUGAAUUUUUAACAUGCUGUUUGGUUAGAACCUCUGAAUUCUUGUGCUGAAUUAUAAAAAUAACCAUUUUACCCUUCUGUCUUAUUUUUUGUUGAAUUCAAUGUUUCUAUUUAUAAAAUAACUGAACCAAAAUCCUUAAAUAAUUAUAAAAAAAUAUAAACACCAUACAAAAUGUUAUGCUCUAAUAGGAAGAGGUGAAAGUAUGAUCCUAUAAUAAAUAAAUAUAUAAAAGUACAUUGUUAUUUCAUGUCUUCACCCUUACAUAAACAAGCUUACAAUAGGCUAUGAAAACAAACUAAAAUGUAUGCUUAUCUGGAUCACAUUAAAAAAAGCCUUUUUAUAUAAAAUUCCAAAAGAAGACCAAAAUACCCCUUAAAAAUUUUCUUGCACCCAACCUUUAAACCAUCAACGAACUCGUUUCUUCCGUCCAUUCAAAGUCUCGAUGCUUCAUGUAAUCUAGAAUAACCUAGUCCCACUUGAUAAUAACAAGGAAAAGACCAUUAUGUCCUUUAUUCUUAUUUUUGCAGCAAGUCAUUCAAUAUCUUUUUAUCUUCAAUUCAGAAACAUUAAUACCCAUCAAACUGCAACCAAGGGUAUGAUUACAGAAUAUACAAUCUAAACAUUAAUACCCAUCAAACACAACUUUGUGAUUUGAUUAAAAAACCAUUCUGUAAAACAUAUAUUGAUAGAACCUCACAGGACUUUUCACAAACAGUUGGUGUGCUUAAGAGCUUCAAUGACAAAUCUGAUUUCAACAUUUCAGCAUAACCUAAUUUUAGCAAAACUAUCACAAAAUCAGAAAAAAAAAUCUGAUUUAAACCCAUAAUAAUCGAGCAUAAAAAACAGAAAACGGACUUGAACAUAAAAAAAAUCACAAAAUCAGAAAAAAAAAAUCUGAUUUGAACAUAAAAGAGCUAAAUUUUCGAUUUGAACUCAAGUUUGAAGAGAAAUCGAUUUUCAGAUGAAGAAGAGAAAGAUGAUUUCGUUUAUUUCAAACCAAAUCAUUCAUAAAAACAGAACAAAUAUCGAGUUUGGGGGAAAAGCAAGAAACAAACCUAUUGUCGGAGACGGAGGACGAAGUCUCGUUCCACACGGCGGUGGCGGCGGCGUUUCAAGCGGCGGUCGUCGGGGAGCAGCGUCAUCAGCGAAUCGGGGGUGAAGGGAAGAAGAACGCACAGAGGGAGGAGAAGAGGAUGUGUUGUUUUGGUGAAGGAUCGAUGUCUAGGGCAUAAUAGGAACACUUCUUUUUCUUAAAAAUUCAGAUUUUGUUUAAUAUCUGAAAAAUUAAGAGGUAUUUACAAUUUGAAGAGGUAAAAAAUAAGAGGCAAACAAACAAUCUUAAUCUUAAUUUUUAAGACAUUGCCUCUUAAUUUUACAAUUAAGAGAUAAACAAACAACCCCUAAAUGGUUCUUACAUUUUAUUAACAAAAUUAAUAUUAAUGAUAGUUAGGUAUGAUUAAAUUAAAGGGUAAAUGACACAAAAGUCACUAGCUUUUUAUUAUUAUUUUUUUCGAUUUUGACACUGUGUUUUUUCAUGUUACAAUUAAAUUACUAUGUUUUAAAUUUGUUGCAAUUAUGACCAGUUAACCAGUUUGUAAGGUCAUCCGGUUGCCACUGUUGACGUGUCGGAAAAAAAAAAGUGGAAUAAAAGACACUAUGUUUUCAUUUUUUUUAUUUUGACACUAUUUUUUUAAUACUUUCCAAUUUAAAAACUAAGUUUUCGAUGCUCUCCAAUUUGCAACAUAAAUGAAAUAAACAUAUCCAAUUUCCAUCCCUAUCAAUGAAAAUAUUUGUUUGUAUAUAGUUUUUGUUUAUUUUAUAUUUGUAAAUAAAAUUUGAACUAUAGACCCUUAAUUUUUCACAUUAUAUACCCUUUAGGUUUCACUUAUUCCUUGAUACAAUGCUUUUACUGACUUUUUCGUCCCUCCUCCCUCGUUUCUCCAACCUUGCAUUGUGUAUGUAAAUAACUUGUUUUCAUAGCUCAAAACAUUGUUCGCGUUUUGGUCAUAGAAACAUUCCUAGUGCAUGUUUCUUGACUUAAAAUUAAAUUAUAUAUGCCUUCAAUUUGAUCUUAAAACAGAAAAAGAGAACCAUGAAUUGAAUUAAAAAGAAAGAAAGAGACCAUUAAUGGCUAACUUACGCUUUGCUGGCAACAUAGAUCGCAUACAGAGGAUGCAAAGGUAUAACAAUGGUAGCACCCGAACCAAUGUUAAAAAUGCCAUAUCUUUUCCCCUCAACCAUUCCUUCAAUCACAUAUGUUAUUACCAAAAUCGUACCUAUCACAAUCACUUUCAUCACAUUCAUCCAAAAUACCCACGCUCAGUUGUUCACCAUAAAUCAUAUUUUGCGUCUCCUAACUCCGACCACCAUAUUCUCACUGAAAAAAAUUCACAGUGAAAAUAUUGAUCUUAGUGGUUGGGUGCACCGAUACAAUCUCAUUAAAAACGUCUUUUAGCUUGGAUAGGUUUCUGCUAACCAAGAUUAGGUAAAGACCCUUUUAAGCUAGUUGGAAGGUAAAGGUUUUGCUGAUUGUUAGGUGCGUUUCAUGCACCCAUUUUGUAGUUUUACUCCAUAAAAGUGCAUUGCAUUUAGGAUUAAACUCAUGCAUUUUGCAUAUUUUUCGGGAUUUUUCAUGAUGCAAUUCCAUUCACACACUUUUGUGAUAUUUCAGGGACUUUUGGAGGAAGGAUCUUAUUUGAGGUGAUAAAUAAGAGAUAUGGAUAAAGUUUCGGGACUUCUGGAGCAUCGAGGAGAAAGAUAUCAAAGAAAUGAAGAUUUUGGCUUUUUAGAGGUUUAUACGGCCAUGUAAAUGUUUACACGGGCCGUGUAAACGAAGUCUCUCGAGCAUUGUACUUUGAAAGCCUGACCAAUUUUCACAGUUUACUUUUUGCAUUUACACGCCAUGUAAAUGUUUACACGGCCGUGUAAACGUGGUCACGGGUUUAAAACAGUUUUUCUUCUUUCUAAAAAGGAGCAACCGGUUCCAGAAAAAAAGGGGGGCAAUUNCAAUUUUGUGAGUUCUAGAGGCGAUUUUGGGGAGCAUUUUGAAGACAAUUGUUGCUUGAAAACACUUGGGAACAUUUGAUUUUCAUUUUGGAAGAACUUUAAAUUCAUUUUCUAGAUUUGUGAUAUUUUUCUAGUUAUGAGUGGCUAGAACCCUAGAUUCCUCCAACUUUAUGUCUUGACUUCUAGUUGUGAUUUCAAUCAUAUGACUUGAUGCUUGCUUUCAAUUUUCUAUCUAAUGAAUUUGAUUUUGUUUCAAUUGAAUGUUUGAUUUUAAUUGUGAUUCUUAUUGGCCAUUUUAAUUAGGGUUAGAUCAUUCAAGUUAUCUAAUUACCAAAUCUGUAAUUGUUUUGUGAAUUGGAGUAAGUAACAAGCACUAAACUGAUUUCCACUGAAUGAAUUUAGUGUAAAUCUUAUUCACACACUCUUACGCUCCCGAGCUUGUGAGGAGUAUUGGGUGUUGAUGGGAACAAUCACAUAAAGUUUAAUGCAAUCUUUCAAUCUAAUUCUAAGAGCUUGUUUAGAUUAGGUUAGUAAGGUUAGGGUUAAUCAAAGAGCUUGUUUUGGUUAAUUAAUGUGGUGAAUGGAAAGUGUGGAGCUUGUUAACACUUUCAAGUACCAACUUAGAUAGAAUUGGGCAAAUAUCAUGUCAUCUUGGAAUUGCAUUGCUAAGUUGUUAUACAUAAAGUUGGAGUCCUUACAAAUUCUAAAUUUAAUUCACUUAUUUAGUUGAUUACUUGUGUUUUUAAUUGUUUGUUUUAAUCAUUGCAUUCUAACCCCCCCCCCCCCCCCCCCUUCUUNACUGUUGGUGACCAUAGUACCUUACGCAAAAAGGGUAUAAGCACUUGCCCCGUGUCUCUGUGGAUCGACCCUACUUACCUUGUAUUACAUUUUUAGUGUAAAGUAGUAGUGUUUUUGGAGUCAUUUGUACCCCUUUAUUUGUUGGGUUUGACACACCUAACACUGAUGUUAGGUGGUGAUAACCCAUGAACCUUAGUUUUUUAAGUUCUUGGGUGGUUGGAAGAAAGUGAUGAAAACUCAUUUUAGGAGAGUGGUAAUGAGUUUGAAAAGAGAAAGAAAAUCAAGUAAUGAAAAUGCAGCAAUUAUCUAUUUGGAUAUGUUUUAUAUUCUUUUUUAAUCUAUUGUACAUAUAUUUUAUUAUAUUAAAGGGUAAAUAGAGCAAUUAUAUAUUUUCCUAUGUUUAUUUCAUUUAUGUUGCAAAUUGGAGAAAAUCGAAAACUUAGUGUCAAAAUUGGAAAAAAAUUUAAAAAUUUAGUGUCAAAAUCACCAAAAAGAAAAAAAAAUGAUAUGAAAACAUUGUGUCUUUCGCACCACUUUUUUUCCGCUUCUAACACGUUAUCAUGUCACGCGAUAAAUAUGUCAACUAGUCAGAACUGCGGUAAAUUGAAAACAUAAUAACUUAAUUGUAACUAAAAAAUGAUGUAAAAAAAGUGAAAAGUUAAUGACUUUUGUAUCAUUUACACUAAAUUAAAUUAUGAAUGAAUAAUAUGAACAAUGUAAUAAAAUGAAUUAAUGACUUUUGUAUCAUUUACCCUAAAUUAAAUUAUGAAUGAAUAAUAUGAACAAUGUAAUAAAAUGAACUAUUAUAUUCUAUCGACAUAUUUUGUCAUCUCGAAAAUUGUCAUCUCGAAAAAAAUGAAAUAAGUCAAUUAAAAUUAUAGUUUGUUAUGUAUAAGUAGAAAAGUUAGAUUGUUAUGUAAACAUAUAAAGUUAAAUACAUGUAAAACUAUAAAUAAAAAUAUUAUAUUUAAUAAAAAAAAAUAGUCUAUUACUAAGUAUUUUUGCCUAGAGGCAUCAUUGCCCUUGUAUUGUUAGAUCUAACAUUUAGUUUAGAAAGAUAUACCCAUUGCCCUUGUAUUGUUAGAUCUAACAUUUAGUUUAGAAAGAUAUACCCAUUGCCCUUGUAUUGUUAGAUCUAACAUUUAGUUUAGAAAGAUAUACCCAUUGCCCUUGUAUUGUUAGAUCUAACAUUUAGUUUAGAAAGAUAUACCCUUAAGCUCUUUUUUUUGGCGAAGGUAGAAAAUUUUCACGUAUACCUCUGCAUCAACAUGUUCCUCAUAUUUCAUUUCAUCACGUAUGAUAACCGUGUACUAUAUUAGUUGAUUAAAAAAAUUAUAUAUAAAUAUUCAAAUAUUAAGUAUUUUCUUAAAGAAAAUGUUAAAUAUCAAAGGUAUAAAUAUUAAACUUUUUUUAAAAAUAAAAUUUUAAAAUAUAUACAAACGAAAUAAUAAAUAAAUAAAUAACUCAAUUUAUACUAAUAAAACAAACUAUCGAAAAAUAAUUAUAUUUUGGCCUUAUGUGUGAUUUAACCACUUUUUUUUUUUUUUUUAGUUUUAUCAAUGAAAAUAAUACACAAUGAAUUUUGUAAUUUUAGCAAUAUAUAAGUCAUAGUACAAUUAAUUAAGAAAUCUAGUGGUAAACGAGACGAGACAGCUCACGAGAAACUCGAGUCCGACUCAGAAAAUAUUCGAAAUCGACUCGACUUUAAUCGAACCGAGUACGAUCUCGAGCUACAUGAGUACCUUAUCGAGUCGAGCUCGAGUAGUAAAAUAACCGGCUCAUAAAAGCCCGUGAACUUAAUCGAGUAUUAUAAAAUUAUAUUUUUACCCUUUAUAUAUUUUAAAUUACGAAAACAUUUCAAUACUUUUAACUUUUAAGCGCAGGUUAAGAAGUAAGGACUUAAAUUGCAUUUCAAAACUUCGAAGAUUGUUUCUUUUUUUGUAUUUUGGAUGUAUGUAAAAUGAAAUAACAUAGAUGGUUGAUGGUAUAUUGACAUUAGUGGUUUAUUGUGAUUUUUUUGUUAUUUUGAACAAUGUAAAAGUUGUGGAAUGUUUUUAACAUUUGAUGAUAUUAUUUUUUAAUUUUAAUUGAGCCGAACCGAGCUCACGAGCCGAACUCCAUAGUAUCGAGUAUUAAAGGAGUUGAGUUUGAGCUAGCUUCAAAUUUAGGCUUGAGGCGAGUUCGAUUCGAGCAUUGAGUUUGGGUAUUUUAGGCGAGUCGAGCGUUGAGGUUAAGACUACUCGGCUUGACCCGACUCAUUUACACACAUAUGGCAAGGUUACAAUAAAGUGUCUGGGUUGCAAAUUGACUUUCAAAAUUACCUGUAUUGUUUCCUAAGUUAUUAUUAGUAAAUUAAAGAUUAAUAGUAUGCCACUCAAAAGACAGAUAUUACCUCAAUGGAACUAAGUUAUAACCUCAAUGAUAAAAGAGAAAAACCAACCAUCUUAUCAUAGAGACAAAUUUAAAUGAAGAAAGUCUCUUUUGACUCUUUUGUAUGCAUAAUAAGAUCAUGCGAAAAAAGAUUUGAAUAUAAUUUGAUGAAAAAAUUGUAUUAAUAAUGUAUUACAAAAUAAUAACAGUACAGUUAUGUUAUCUUUAGUCAGCUGUCUAUCGAGUCAUGCAACAUUUUGUAUUACAAAUAAAAAUAAAUUUCACACUUUUCAUUUAAUCAAUGUAGAUUUUAAAAGUUAAAGUCGUGUUUUUUUGUUAUUUAGUGUGCAUAAAUUGCAAAAAGAAGUAAUCCAUUUAUCAUGAUGAAAACAUACUUCUUGAAUCUUUUAAGAAAAAUAACUUUCACACGAUUUAGAAAAUAGCCAAACACGUUAUAUUAUCUCUAUAAGUUAUAAUAUGGAUGAAUAAAAUCAAAUAUAUUGUAUUUAACACUAAAAGUUUAAAAAUAUUUACGUACCUUAAAUAAUUAAUUAUUUUUAAUUUUCGAGUGAUUUGGUGUCCAACUCUUUCUUUAGAUUUAGCCGUUUGGUAAUCGGGUCUCCAACAUGUAUCGAUAAUUGUUUAAAAACACAUUACUUUUGGAUUUUUAUAUUUGGACAUAACCUUUGCUUUAAUAAUUAUAUAUUUAUAUCUGUUUUGGCUAAUUUUAAUGUAAUAAAAUUAACAAGUAUUGUUGAUAUUGAGCUUAAAUUCACAAUUUCUUUUUAUUAUUUAAAACUAGCUUCGACAUCUAAUAGAUAAUCAAACAUUUUAGUAAAUCAAAAACAUGAAGAAAAAAAAACUUAAUCUUACAAAAACCUUUCAGCAUUUUCAAUAAUUUUACACUUUGUUCCUAAACAACCAACAUACAAUGCCUACAUCAUCUUCGAUUAAAUAGCCCCUGAAUAAUACCAGCUGCUCCUCGCUUCUUGGCCUAAAACAUUCCUCGAAAUAAAUAAAUAAAAUAAAUAACUAUAUAUCAUUGUAUGUGUUAUCUUAUCUCACAGGCACACUGUGCAAUGUGUCUGAUAUGUAUUAUAUCAGACACAUUUGUGCUUGAUACAGAUUAUAUCCGACACAAUGUGUCUAGACACAUUGUUGUCGGACAAAUUAUUGUAUCAAGCACAACGUGCCUGAUGCAUACAAUAUGCAUCAGGCACAUAGGUAAAAAAAUACCUUAGCGUUGUUGAAUAAAUCAUCUGCAAUAGCCUCACUUUGUUUACGCUUUUUUUCUUCCUUCACAGACUCCGCUACUCCCUCAUUCUCAUAUUCAGACCCUCUGCCACAUAUUUCAGUAUAUAAAUAAAUAAAUAAAUCAUUCCAAUUUUUUUUCAUUUUAUAUACACAAAUAAAACCAAAAUCAAAUGUAUGUCAUCAUACUUGUAAGGAUUCUUUGAAAAAGGCACAAGAUUGUAGAAACUAUUUCCUGAUUGAGUUUCCAUCUGCAUAUAAAUUUAACCUUUAAAAACAAAAACAACGUAAAACAAAUAAUGAUAAUAUAAAUAAUUUACCUUUUUAAAUCGUUUAAAGUCCAAAACUUGGUUUUUAGUAGGAGAAGGCAGAGAAGAUGGUAAAUUUGUAUCUCGAAUGAUCAAAUCUUGGCUAAAAAUAACAUCUGAAAUCCCAUUUACAGGUGUAAUUUCAUCAUCUUUUGUAUCAUUUGUGGCUAUAUUUAUGUAUUCAUCGGCUUUUAUUGGAUCUAUUGGAUCAUGAACAAUAGUUUCCACUUCAUGUUGAACAGAUUCCACAUUAUGAACAAAGGAUAUUUUCCCUUUUUCAUCUUCAAAAGAUUCUAAUUUUUGACUUUUACAAGAUGUUGAAACUGAUAUGACUUCUAUUUCUGGCUCUGAAUCUGCUACAAUUGUCUCAUCUGUGGAGCAUGAAGAUGUGACAUGUUCUGCAAUCGGAAAUUAAAGAUAUUUUUAUUUUUUAUAAACUUUAAACAUUUGUGUACUUUCUAAUUUUUUUUAAAUUAUUAUAUAAUUGUAUUUUAAAAUUAUUCCUUAUUAGGGAAUUGUACUUUUAUAAAAUUCACCCAUUGUAACAAUGUUGGAUUAUGAUGACAUGGCACAAGGUAACAAGUUUUCAUGCCAUGUCAUCGUCCACAUAGGAUGUCCACAUGUAAUAUGAAGAUACUGCUUACAUGGCAAAUGCCAUGUCAGCGGUAUAUUAAACGUGGACAUCCUAUCUGGACGAUAACAUGGCAUGAAAACUUGUUACCUUGUGCCAUGUCAUCAUAAUCCAACAUUGUUACAAUGGGUGAAUUUUAUAAAAGUACAAUUCCCUAAUAAGGAAUAAUUUUAAAAUACAAUUAUAUAAUAAUUUAAAAAAAAUUAGAAAGUACAUUGCUAUUUUGUAUAUAAAAAAGAAAUAUUACCAGGUGGUGAUACAAAAACAAGAGGAUCCAGGUGUCCAGAUAAAGUAGCACAAAUCAAAUUAAUUUCACUCACUUUUGGUAAAGAUGUAAUAAUAUGUGUACACUCAAAACCCUCUUCAACAGAGAUGACAUGUACAACAUGAUUGUUUUCAUCUUCUUCUACACCCUGAAAAAAAAAAGAUUUUUUUUUUAAAUUUAAUUGGAACAUAAUUUAAUACAGAAAGAACGACUUAAUAGAGAAACCUGGCUUUGGGGAAUGAAUUCUUCAACAGGAAUAACUUUUGCACCAAAUGUUUCAAGUAAUGGUUGCAACUUUUCCUUAACUUUAUACUGUGAAAAAGUUUAUAAACAUAAGAUUUUAUAAAUUAAAAUGAAAAAUAGAAUGCAUCAUAAAAAAAAAAAAAAACAAAAAAGAGAAUAUACCUUUUCUGAUGAUUCCAGAAGAAAAGUGUAUCCAUUUAAACAAUUUUCUCUAGAUUCAAUGUUAGCAAUUUUAACAGAAACUCCUUGCAAUAUCAAGGUAUGAGGAUCACUGUAGGGAAAAGAGUAAAUAUAUUUUUAUGAUUAUAUAAAAAAUAAUAAUAUAAAUAUUCAAAAGUGAAUCAAUUAAAUGUUUUCUUACGAAUUGCAGAUGGGAAUUUUGGUGUCAAUACGUUUGUCUGCAAGUGACUGAAUGCAAUCAAACAUGUUAUUUAAUAUUUAGUAUUUACAUACAUAAAAUUAAACAUUGUUCAUAUGAGUUAUUAAAUUUUUUUAAUGAUUUUGAUCACUGAAUAAAAAAAAAAUAAUGUUACCUCUAUCCAUUUAUAACUGACAAAAUGUUUUUUAGACAUAAUAGCAUCAAUAAGAACACCAUUUACUGAAGCAUUAUCAUCAAGAACAACAUGUGUGCACUUUGGGCUCCAUGUAUUACUCAUAGAAGCACCUGUACACCAUUUUGUAAAUUGUAAUAUUAUUCAUUGAAUAUAUUUAAAAAAAAAAUCAAAUAAUAUAAUUCAAUUCUUGAUAUGAUGAAGCCUACUAACCAAUUGAUGAUAUCUUUUCUUUAAGUUGUUUUAAUCGCGAAGAGUCAAAUCCACAAAGAAAAAACACAAUGGAAAUAAAACUAAACCUGCAGUAAUAAAUUAGCAAUCUUUUGUCAAGAUUUUAAAGAAAAAAAAUAUAAAAAAUUGUUUAUAAAAUUGGUAUACCUGUAAGUGGCACUACCAGUUCCAAAUGAAACAAGGUCUUCAUCAUCUAAUGUUGUUUCCUUAUUUGGAAACUCAUGAACUUUUUCUUUUUGAGACCCAAGAGGCUUUGUAAUAAAAGUUCCAUACUUUGAGCAAUCUUUAAUCCUAAUUUUGGAUGAUUUCUUUUUAAUAUUGUCAAUGGAAAUCAUGGCAUCAAUGAUUAUUUCUGCAUGAACCCUAGAAACCCCUUUAUCUUUAUUAACGAUUAUAUCACAUCCUAUAUAACAAAGAAUCCAAGAUUAGUAAACUUCUAUGAUACAAAAAUGAAAGAGUAAAUGAGAGCAAAUGGAAUUGAUAAUUUGGAUUUUUACCUUUUCGCCCCACUUUAUAUGUCCCUUUGCUAAAGAAGUAAUAAGUUUCUUCGCCUGAAAAUGAAUUCAAUUUCAGUAGAAAUAAUAAGAGUAAGUCGUUUGAUCGUUUCCCACUAAUUUAAACUUUCAUCUUCACAAUGUUCAGUUUCCUACUAUUGUCGUUUGAUGAUCUGAUUUGUCUCAAAACUCAAAACAAUACAAUUCCCCUUUUCUCUGAUCAUUUUUCCUUCGAAAGCCCUCAUUUACAGUUAGUUCAAGUGUAAACGAGUAAUAUGCCUUACAUAAAUGAAAAUUUCGUUCUAUUUUUCCUGCAUCAUCAUCAUCAACAUUAUUUUUUACUUUACUUUUUGCUAUAAAGAGAACACCUGGUUAAACAAAAAGGUACCCACUAAGAUUGUUGGCAUAAUCUUGCAUUCUACUAAAUGCACUGAAGCUAUUCGACGAAAUUCCAGAAAGAAAUACACAUGUUGAGUUCCUGUGUUUCAGAUGAACUGGAAAUACGAAGAAAAAAGAUGAAGAGGGAAAGGUUAACCUGGAAGGGGGUCGGCGGGAAAGAGGCCCCAAACCAUUGAUGCCGUCGUUCGCCGGAGAUUCUUCGCACGUCGAAGGGGGUUUCGAGUCGAUUUUGGAGAAUAAUAUGUGACUUUUGGCCCUACUUCAAAAAAAAAGUUUAAAGUUUAAACCGAAAAAAUUAUUUUCGAUUUUCAACUAUUUAAAAGUUAUAUUAAAAAAUUCGGUGAAGAAUUAUAUGAUAGAUUAAAAAAUAAUAGUAAUUUGGUUAAUAAAUUCUUAUAACUAUUAAUAACUUCAAGAAACAUAUUUCUAAUUUUCAUAAUAAUUAGUCUGAAAAUACUAACUUUGCAAUAAUAUGAUUUAUGUGGGCACCAAUUCUACAAGAUAAUCUUUGCAAUAAAAGGAGUUUUUAACAUGAUGAAAUGAGAGUCGGACAAAAGGUUUUUGUGAUCUAGUCCAUCAUGGACCAAAUUUAAAAUUAAUAUGUUAGAUUGAGGUUUUCAAUCAAUUUUAAUUAAAUAUAUUUUUUUAAUUAAUUGGUUUGGAUUGAAGUUGAAAUUUUCACCAAAAUUUGGACAUGUAAAUCCGUUGUACUUUAAAUCCUAAACUUAUGCGUCACUCUAUAUUAUGUGAUUUCAAAUUGAUUUGUUUUUAAUCGUAAAGGAAUAUUUAUAAAAAAUGUUUGGUUUUACUAUAAAAUAUGUCUUUAUAUUUAUCAAAAAAAAAUAUUUUCCUUUUAUAACAAGUAUUUAGGUUAUCAUGAUAUUAAAUUCGUAAAAAAAACUUCAACUUUAUAAUAUUUGAUGUUUUUAUACUAAGGUUUUUUUUCAUUAUGUAUUUAUACAGAAAAACAUAUUUAUAUAAAAAAAUAUUUAAUUAAAUAUUAUAUUUAUAUAAAAAACAUAUUUAUAUAAAAAAUAUGUUUAAUUAAAUAUUGUAUUUAUGUUGCUUUUAAAUGUUAUUUUUUUAUAUAUGAUUUUUUUUAUUUGAUUAUACCGUUUAAAAUUUGAAAAUAUGUUUUUAAACACAUAAAUACAAAAUAUUUUUUAGAUAUAGUAUACAUAAAAUAGUUUUUUUUUAUAACUAACCUAAAAGUCAGAGGGUUAUCUUAGCCUUAAACAAAAGAGCGAGGGGCCAACUUGAGGUUCGUGUAAAAGUAAAAGGAGACACACUCUCGUGUGACCUUGAUGGUUCAUGAGCAGUAGUAGACUCCGAUUACCCUCGAAUACUCCUUUGUUCGAUUCGAUUACAGAAUACGCAAGGAACAACAAGCGGCAACAAUGUCGUCUUAGAGCCACUUUGCCAUUCCCUUCCAAAGUUAUCGAGGUAUGGACAAAGAAAUUGACGUUCUUGUGCGAAAACCCUAACUUAUACAUAUCGCAUGCUACCUGUUUGAUUAAAGUCCUCAAUGAGUAAACUGUGUGUGAUGUACUACCACUCUUUCCUUCCCACGAUUGUAUUCUGCUUAAAAAAAGGAAUUGCAAGUUCCAAAUGUAGUGUCAAAUGAUGCAAUGCCAUCAAUUUCAGGGCUCACAGUGGCGUAUGCUCUUGAUUAUAGUUCUCGGAAGGUGGAACUCAUUUUGUUGGUGUAUUUGAUGAAGUAAUCACUAACCUUGUAAUUCUUCUUAACUUGUUUCAGUUAUUAAGAAAUCAUCCCAAACAGUUAAUCUCUUCAGUUUAGAACUUUAUCCAUCAUACACACUACACAAAAACCAAGUAUGACCCCUGUUUCAUCUAAGCAGUACACAGGUAAAUUUAUCCUUUCAUUCUGUCUACAAUCAUUUUAUAUCUAAAUCAAUUUAACUAUCUUCAUUCAUAUAAUCAAUAAUUUAAUCAUAGAUGAUGUAAGCUUGUUAAUGGUGUUAAUUGACACAAAUCCAUUGUUCUGGAGCUCAACUGCUACCCCUUUCUCAUUCUCCAAGUUCCUAUCUCAAGUAAACACAAUCUUUUCAUAACACUCUUUACAUAAAACUACAAAAACACAUGUGAAAAACAAUUAAUUUAUGAAAAUGAUGUAGGUUCUUUCAUUCUUGAACUCAAUUAUUCUACUAAAUCAACUGAAUCAAGUGGUGGUGAUAGCAACUGGAUUCAACUCUUGUGAUUACAUAUAUGAUUCUUCAUUGGGGCAUGGAAACCUGAGAGCUGAAACAUUGUUGCAAAAGUUAGAAGAGUUUGUGAUUAAAGAUGAAGAGCUUAAUAAGCAAGAAUCAGUUGAUGGAAUUGGAUCUUCUUUGCUUUCAGGAUCUCUUUCAAUGGCACUUUGUUGUAUCCUUUUUCAUAAUUUCCACCAUUUUGUGUUUAUCUUAUGUUUUUACUACUUUCAUUUAUUUUUAUGACAACAUUUUAGUAUUUUUAAUAUAUAAAAAGAUUGUUUAAAAUAACAACAGUUAUUAGACAUACAAAGAGUAUUUCGUUCUGGAUCAAUUCAUCCACAACCUCGGGUAAUUCUUCUGAAUUCAUCAAUUAGUUUAUAAAUUAUAAUUUAAAUAUUACCUAUUAAUUUAAUUAAUCUGAUAAAUAAUGACAGAUUUUGUGUUUACAUGGAUCACAAGAUGGACCUGGACAGUAUGUCUCUCAACUUACUUUUUUAUUUUUUAAUUUCUUUUUCCUUUUAUUCUAACAAAAAGAUUUUAUAUUUUUCAGAUAUGUUGCUAUUAUGAAUUCAAUUUUUUCUGCUCAAAGAUCAAUGGUGCCUAUAGAUUCAUGUGUUAUUGGGUCACAACAUUCUGCAUUCCUGCAACAGGUGAGUAAAUUACAAAUUUGUCCCUCUGCUUAUCUGUUAAGUUUAUGAAAAUGACCAUUUUGCCCUUACUUGAAUAUAUAUUGAUGUUAUAUGAUUUGCAGGCUUCUUAUAUAACUGGAGGUGUAUAUCUGAAGCCACAACAGCUAGAUGGAUUGUUCCAGUAUCUAACAGUAUGUUGAAAUAUUCCACCCUGGCAUAUAUUUUAAAUAUAUAUAUUUUUCUUUUAAGAAAACUAAAUUAAAGAUUAUAUAUAUUUUUUCAUAUGCAGACAGUAUUUGCAACAGAUUUGCAUUCACGAAACUUCUUACAACUUCCUAAGCCUGUUGGUGUAGAUUUUCGUGCUUCGUAAGUUUUUUUUUUUUUUUUUNUAUAUAUAUAUAAAUGCCAAAAGUUAAGUUUUUUUAUUUUAUUUAUUUAUUUUUUAAAAUGCAGGUGUUUUUGUCACAAAAAUACGAUUGAUAUGGGGUAUAUUUGCUCUGUUUGUCUAUCUAUUUUUUGUAAGCAUCACAAGAAAUGUUCAACUUGUGGGUGAGUAUUUAUUUUAAUGUUAAUUAUUCUCAAUUCAUAUUUGUUAAUUAUUAUUAAUUAUAAAUUGAAAUUUAUGGGUUUUUAUAAAUGGGAAUACAGGUCAGCUUUUGGUCAACCCCAAACAAGUGUCUCCACAUCAAAUCAGAAGAGAAAAGCUCCUGAUAGUUAAACUUAAAGCUUUCUUUGUAUGAAAAAAGAGGUGGUUUGCUGAAUUUUGUAGGCAAUUGUUAUAAUUACUAAAACUUACUUUUUGAUGAGUUUUUAUAAAACUUUGAUUAUUUGAUUCCUAUAAACUCAUUAAACACUUUAGUUUCUAGUUUUAAUCUUUUUAUUUUGAGCAAGUUAUGAAUUUCGUUCAUGUGGUUUGUCAAAAAAUUAUGUAGGCAAAUUACGGUGUAAAUAUUAAUUUUUGUGAUCUCUUUUAGGAAUUCUCACAUCAUUACAUGUAGGCCAUUUAUCUAGUUUAAACUCAAAUUGCUUGAUGUUGAUAAGAACUAAUUGGAUACAUAUAACAAUAUUGAUACUUACAAAUAUAUCAUCCAACGAGAAAUUAAAAGAUUGUUUUAUUAAAUUACAAGAAUCAUCCUUGUGGUUUGGUUCAAUCUACAUGUUUUGUCCCUUCAUAAAUGUGUGUGUUCUUGUGUAUGUUUGUGUGGCUGUUUUUAUGUGAAAAAAAUAAAAUAAUCUAUAUUCCGAAUUAUAACAUUGUUUUUCAAAGCACAUUGCUAUAAUUAGGAACUGUUCAUAAAUGUGUGCAAAAGGUUGCAUAUAAUUCAUGGAUGUAGCAUGUGUUGCAUUUCAUAUACAUUGUAUCUCAUUGCAUAACAUGUGAUUGCAUUUGCAUCAUGAGUGUAUUGUUUAUACUUAAUGUGGUAUUGAUGAGUUGAGAUUUCCUUGUGAGAUAUCAUUAUUACACAUUAAGCUAUAUGUUUAUUUUUUUUUUAUUUUUUUUUCAAGAGAGAGCUAUUUGUUUAUCGUUACUAUGUUGAAAUGUGUUUUAGGAAUGGAGUUGGUAAAAAGGGAAAGGGGUCCACUUUGACCAAGAUUAAAAGAUCUAGAAGAUUGCUUAGCUUUUAUGUUCAUGUUGGAAACCCUACUCAUGGUCUUAUUCAUGUUUUUAUAUGUGUGUGUUGUGUAUGUGGUGCAAAUGUGUAGUCCUUUGAGCCAAAGUUACAUUUAUUUGUGAAUGAUUUAAAGGGUUGUUUGAUAUACAACUUAUAUGUUUGGGUUUGAUUCGGUCAGAUUCAGACUGUUUGAUACUACAAUUAAAAAAAUCUUUGUUUCGGUCCUAUAACCUUUGAUAUUCUUGUUAUUGUGUCUGAUGAGCAGUGACAGACACAUGACCUAGAUGUUGCCGAUGCUACACCGGACACCUAGGUAAAACCACCCUUGCUGAUGAGAAGCUGAGUAUGACUCAAUCAGACAUUGACUCAUUCAAUCGUUGUCAAACAACUCUUUAUAGUAUAUUGUAAACCAUUUUAAAGGAAAAUUUCAUUGUGCUUUUCAUCGGGUCUUGGUGUUACAUUAUUAUGCAACAAGUCUCAAAAUUCAUUUUAUAAAGUUUAUUAUUUAUAUUUUAUUUUAAAUUUUUAACUAAUAUAUUUAACCUCAAUCAACUGUAUUUGUGUUGAUUAUUGUACAACAAAUGAUAUUUAUAUAUAUUUAAGAACCUCCAAUUCUCAACAAAAAUUAUAUAAUCAUAUAACAUAAUUUUGUAAAAUUUGUAGACCAUUGAACAUAACAUUAGAUUGUAUACGUAUUCAUCAAACUCACUCAAUUUUCUUGGUUCAUUUCCCCCCAUUAAAUUAUGAAAGCAGGUCUCAACAAAUUGCAAAUAUUAGACCACCUCUAUUAUAUUUUAGUAGUUUAGACUAUACAAUUUCCCCAAAAUUCUCAUUAGUAUGAACAUUUUGCUAUGGUAAAAAUGGGUGUCUAUGUUAAAGAUGGGUGUCUUUUUAGCUUAGCCAAUCUUUUUGCUAUUCAAUGCAAUCUAACUCCUACGUCAUCUCCCUAAUUGACUCAACAAUCAAUUUUACCAAUCCUAUCAAUCAAUCUAUAUUAAUAAAUAACUUUCAUUUUUUAGAAAAUGUUUAGGUAAAUAUUACAUAACUGAAAUUAAAAGGACCAAAGAGUAGUAUCAAAAAUACAUCACUAAAUUUCAUACAUCAACUGUUUUUCUAUUUCAAACACCAGAGUGGUCCAAUAUAUCACUGUCUACCUUUUUCAAACACCAAAAGUCCAAAAGUGGCAUAAACCCCAUCAAAAAAACAUGCACCAAAAUCCACAUUCAUAUGUAUCUAUGGUUGAUUAUCCAUUAGAAGACCUAAAAAGAGACUUUAAAGCUUCGAUCUUUCGAAGACAUGCUUCAGCUUUCUGAAUGGCGCCACUUCUUCCUUCUUCUGCUCUUCUUCUUCUCCCUCUUUUCGUCUUCCCUUCUUCCCUCUCUACCUUCAUCCUCUCCCGUUUCCUACUUGACGACUCUAUAAUUUGCCAAAAUCAAGAAUCAUUAACAACAGAUACGAUGUUUGAAAGAGUAAUUAAAUCAUCAAAAUGAAAUUGAAGAUCCAACCUUGAGUGAGGAUAGAUAGAUGAAACUGCUGCUGCUGCUGCUGUUUUCGUUCGAAAGAUUGUUGUUGUUCUUCUUCAUCGAAAAGUUGUAUGAAUGCUUUGAGCUCGAGCUUCAGAAGUUGAAAUCGAGUCGGGUGUUGAGCUUCGAGGAUCUUGAGUUCUUGCUCGGCGAGCUCUUUCAUCUUCUUGUGGGUGCAGAGCAGAGUGUGACGGAGUGGUGAGUGGUUUAAAUGAAAAUGGCGGACACAGGUUUUUAGGAGACCUGCCGUUGUAGCCCACUGUACGAAAAGGAAUAGCUUUUUUGUUUUGUUACAUAUCCCCAUAUUUAUUUCCUUCUUUUUUGUUUUAUCUCUAUAAACAAUAACUUCAACGUUUUAAAGUAUAUUUUUUUAAAAUCUCUUCUUUCUAACUAGACUUGUCAAUCGGGUGAGUUUGGAACGAAUCAAACUUGAUCCAAACAUUUUUAACAAAUUUCAAAAUCCGAUCCAAACCUGUUCCGUAACCCGCAUGUUUUGAAUAAUCAAAUUCAUACCUUUAUCCAUCGAAUAAGGAGAUAUCCAAACCCGUCCCAUAACCCGUAGUUUUUUGAAUAAUCAAACACAUUUUACUUAAAUCAUAAAAUCACAUUUAUUAAAUAAAACUAAGUGUUGAUUUAGAAAACACAUUAUGUACUCGAUGACUUUCUAUUGGAAUUAAAAUCAUUCUUUUAGUUACUUCCGAUUAGUUUUUGACCGUCGAUUACAUUGAUAGAGAAUAACAAUUACAAACUUUCUUCCGAUUGAUAAAUGACCUUAUUGAUUUAUAAAUGAAAUUGAUAAUUACAUGAUUAAAUAUAAAUGAAAUGAAAUCAUGACUCUUAGGAGAAGACUGAAAUUAUAGAAGUUGAGUCGUCGAGUCCUAUGUAAAAACAGUUUAGUCUUUUGUCUUUUCUCUUUGGGCUUCUGAUUGGAAUUUAAUGUAAACUUUAGACAAUAUAAAAUAUAAAUGUAUAAUUCUAAAAUUUAUAUGAGGCGGUUAUAAACGGAGCAGAUCAGUGAUAAUCCAUACCCGACCCUUUUAAUAAAAUGGUUAGCGGGUACGGGUCGUUAACGAGUAAAUAGAUCAAAAACUAUGCUCCAAACCCGUAUAAUUGUUAAGGGUUUGGAUCGGAUCAGGGUCAAAACCCGUCCCAUUUUCUCAUUUGUCAUAUUUUUAUUUAAUUUGUCAAAUGUGAUUUUGUGAUUAUUUUGAAUUAAUAUUUUUUUUAUAUGUCAUUUUAUUAGUUUUUUUCUAUUUUUUUAAAUCCACAUAAUAUUUUAAUGUAAUAAUUACAAUAAAUAUAGUAAUAAAUAGAUAUCAAUGUCAUUAGUGAACUUAACUUUAAAUUUCAAAAAAUUCUCAAAAUUAAAGCUUAUUAGUUUUUUUUGUUUAUUUAUUUAAAUUAUUUGUUUAAAUUUAAAAGAUAAAAAACAUUUCCAUUAUAAUAAUUUUUUAUUUUUCUUAUUUUCUUAUAAAUUCAAANUAUAUAUAUAUAUAUAUAUUAAAUUAACUCAUGUAAUACAUGAGUCUCACAACUAGUAUUUUAUUAUUUACUAUUUAGGUAACAUAAAUAGAGAGCAACAAAAUAUUAUUACUUUUUGCACGAGCAAAUAUAGUAUUCAAUUUCAUAAGUAAUUCUAUAUGUUAUUAAUGCAUAUUUGGUCACACUUUACUUUGCAUGCUCCUUGAAAUUAUGUUUCUUUCAAGUGACAUGAUUUGUGUGGUUGAGAACAUUUGGAAAAAUUCUACAACUUCAGAAAUUAUCGGUUGUCUUGUCGAAUUGAGUUUGAUUAAAAUUGAUUUUUUAAUGCUUAGGAACGGGGGCACAGUUUGUCAUGUGGUUUAACAUGGUGGCAGUGGGGAACAUCGUCCCCACCCUACAAUCUUGAAUACAUUUUGGCCACAUUCAACAAGAAACAAGAGUGGUUUCUCUUUCUGUCUCCUCUCUAAUGCAUCUCUCUUUUCUCUUACCAUCUCUCAUCUAUCUAUUUUCUUCUUUCUUUUCCACCACACACCCUAUGGUUUUACCACACCAAAACCACACUUAAAUCCUAUGUGGAGUGUCUUUGCCAUGGUAAAAACAUGGCAUGACACCCUCCAACCUAAUUCAAACAACGAGCAACGAUGUUCCUUUCUUUUCACACACGAUUAUAAAUUCUUGCAGUGAACGGUACCAUGUCUCGUUCUAUUUGCAUAAUCAUUAAUCUGAGGAAACUACAAUACCUUGACUCAUUCAAAUAUUCCUGGUUCUUAACAUCAGGAUUAAUAGGAAAGCAUCAAGAUUAAUAUAAAAAUGUUUUGUUAACAUAUAAUCAAAGAAACUAUUAGGCAAUUUUAGAGUCACCGGUUAUUGUUGGGUUUUAUAGGAAACAAAAUUAUACAAUACAGAAAACAACCAACAUUUAAUAGAGUACAUGCAUCUUAUAAAAGAUCUAUAGCAUACACCUUGAUAAUAACAUACAAUGAACAUCUAAACCUAGCAUAAUCGUGGGGAAAUUUCGAAAUUACAAACUUUAGGGUAACAUACCUUUUGAUUUGUUGUAGUAAACAAAUCACACCAUUCCCUUGUAGUGUUGGUCUUGGAAAGCUUAGCACCAAAAUGAUGAUGUCUCUAAUGACUCACAUCCAAACCCUAGAACUAGAAGACAAAAUGGGAGAGGAAAAGGGAUAUUUUUGGCUAGAAUAUCCUUCAAGGAAGAGUAUGAACGAAUUUGAGGUCCCUAGGGGUCAUAUUUAUAGUUUAGGUAACUUAUGAACAAAGCAAGAUUUGAAUGAUCAAAUAAUAUAUUUAAUCCAAAUGUAAAUCCUUCCUUAUUAUCAUACAUGAGGCUUCUAGAAACCCUAGAAAGGCUCCUAAAACCGUCCACCUUGAUGAUAGAUUCUAAAAUUGUCUUUCCUUGCUCAACUAUGAACAAUUACAAUUCACCCAAUGCACCUUUAGUUAAUUCCAAUUGAUCCAAAACUAAUUCUGAUUGAUAAUUAAUAAAUUCUAAUUGAUUUCCAUUAAUUUAUUAAUUAUAAAUUAACAAAUCAAUUAUUAACAAGUGAUCUCAUAUUAAUUUAUUAAUCAUAUAAUAAAUUAACAAACCAACUAUCUAUUUCCAAUUAAUAUAUUAAUCAUAUAAUAUAUUAAUAAAUUAUUUAUUACAAUUUAUUAAUCAUAUAAUAAACUGAUAAAUUUAUCCUCUCUCUCUCUCUCUCUAAAUGUCAUUCUAACUAAGUUCUAGUUAUGAGGGCAACCCGAAAACGAUUUUGCUUCUAAUUACAAGAAAAUACCAAUUUAGUUACUCAUUUAGACACCUUAAUCCAACAGUCUCCCACUUGGAUAAGUCUGUAACUAUAAUUACAAGUAUUUACCUUGAACUAAAAAACAAAGAGUGUUUUACAAAGUCACUGACGAACUCUUAUUCAAAUCAAACAUUGGCCUCUAAGAUAAGUGAUCAACUAUUCAUUCAUUCUACAAGAUAUCGUAUAGACGUGAGACAUGGAUUAGAAUCAACCUUAUAGUCCAAGAUUUUGUUUCUCGAUUUCCUGAUUUAUGACGACUGAACUCAUACUACUAAUUGAAAACAUCAAUUUCGUCCGGGCCCAAAGAUAUCACUUUUCCUGUUAAGGCAAAUGGAACGAAUUACUUUGACUAUAUAGUCAUACAUUUUACUAACCAAAUCAUGCAUGUAAUUACUCUUUAUAACACCAAGUUAUGAGAUGUGUUUGGGUAAACUAAUACACAACUGAUUCAUAAACUACAAACUAUAUGUCCCUGCUUAAGAAUAUAAGAUAUUAUCGUCUUAGAAUUACUCGUGAUAAAAUCUAUGAAGUAAUAUCUAAGCACGAGUUUAUCCAAUACUUAAAAUCUAUAUUUUGAAAGUACUCAUGAAUAUCGUAGCAAUUCCAAUGGCAAUGUCUUAACCUCAAUCGACAAUCUACAAUCAAUUAAUGACAGUCUUAUUUCACUACUCACUUCCAAAAAUAUGAGCGAUCGUGGAAUUUUGAAUAAUAAUAAAAUUACUCAGGGAAGUAAACAUGCAAAAUGCAACAUAAUAAUAAAUUAAUUAACUAUGGUUUCAAACUUACUGAAUAUAAAUAAUUCUUGUUAUUUAAUCCCAUAGUAAUUAUGAAUUUAUUCAUUGUAAAAUGUUUCGAGUAAUCAACUAACCACUUGAAUUAGAUAACAUCAGUCAUGCAUAGGUUAUGAACAUGCAUAUUAUGCAUCUCUAUGGUCCUAGACAAGUCCCCUUAUGAACAGUUCUUGCUUCUCAUUUUUUUGGAUUUUAUUUAUUUAUUUAUUCUUACUAGCACUACGUGUUAUCUCCUCAACAUACCACCGCCUAUGCACACUUACCUCGAUGCUUCCCACCGCCUCUUGAAAACCAUCCAUCUCUCUCUAACUCAUCGAUAGAUCAUAAUUUGAAUGUAGAGUUGUGGCUUCACCUACAUGAGCCACCACUUUCCCUACCCCACCUUCACCUGCUACACUGAUUAGAAUAGAACGAGGCCAUGCCGACGAGCUUAACGCGAAUGGAUAAACAAGUGACAGAGUGAAGCGAUGGUGCUUCACUUUUGAAUCCCAUUGGAUCAAACGAUGUCGUUUCUUAUCCUAGUCACCGUCAUACUGUCCCACCUCCACCGUUGCCUACCUCCGUUAGGGUUUUCCAUCUAAUCUCAGAUCUUCAGGCAGGUGUUUUAGAUAACGGUUUGGAUUGAUUUCCACUUCCAUUUGGGUAUAACCACGACCAACCUCAACCCUAAUUUUUUACUUUCGUUCUCUCAUCUAUAAUUUCUUUUUUGAUUUUGUUUUUCAGUAACUUUCGGUACCCGUGUACACCCAUGUACACUUCUUGCUGGCCACCACCACAAUCUUGUUCAAGGUGUGUGACGGACCAAUUAGGCGUGAUUUCUCUAUUUCCCAUAUGUAGAGACUAGAACUUGAACUAUUAAAUUUGGAGGGUAAUUAGAAAGGUUUUGAAAUUUUGAACUAAAUAUGUUAACAAAUAGCUCCUUGAUCGUAAGGGCAUGCAUUGGGAGAUUGUCUUCUUGGAUAUGAAUUUAUUUAAACAUACAUAUCGAGUUAUUUUUUUGUUUUUAUCUUCGAGUCCUCUAUUAAAUCGAUUGAUUUCUUUUUUCUUCCUCUUUCUCCCUCUAGAAGAUGAUUUUCCCAUCAACUUUCUUUUUCAACCCUUGUUGUUGCAGUCAUUUCUUUGUCUCUUUAAUUUCAAGAUUUUAGUAUGAAAUUCGGUACCUUAUCUUGGAGUUAUAGGUCAGGUUUUGAUUUGAUUUCUUUAUUAUGUAAGAUUUAGGGGGGGGGGGGGGGUUUUUUUUUAUAUAACAUNNNNNGGGUGUUUCUUUUAUAAUAAUAUUUCAUUUACAACUCCAUUUAUAUGUGCGACUUUCCAUGUUGACACACUUGAAAGAUUAGGAAUCACAAGGCAUUUUAGGGUGGAAAUAAAAAAUGUUGUAAACGAAACUUACAGGUAAUGUUCAUAACUUUAAUCUAUUACCUAAGAAUGGUGUCCCAAUUUUAUAGUUAAAAAUACAGUAUUAGCCACAAAAAUAGAUGUCGGGUGUAGGGGACGUGCAAAUGUUCAUGGGAGUUAUCACUUGUGCUCUAGCCUUUCGAUUAUUAAGGAUAAAUGGGUACGAAGUCUCAUCAGGUAUAUUUCUUAAAAAAUGUAUCGAAUUACAGUAAUUAUUUUCACUUAAUGUUCUUAUCUUUUUUUUUUUGUUUCAUCACUUGGCUUGUGUUGUAGAUCCAUUGGCUAAAGUUACUAAAGAGGGGGCUCACAGGACUUCAUGCAAAGAUCAUUUCAAAUAUGUAUAUGUAGCUCUACAAGUGUUUAAGGCAUCACAAAUUAUAUAUCAAAAGGAGUUGGGUUUCAGAGAAGAAAAUUUGAUGUUGGCUGAUUUCCAUGAAAGGAAAAUAUCCAUUGCUUCUUCUAACUUAUUCAUAGAGAGGUUCUAAUAUUCCCUUUGAAUAGAAGAAAUAUAGAGCAUUACAAUGUAGACAAUAGAAGAAUAUUGAAAACCACAUAUAGGUGAUGUCAUAUGUAACAUCUCGAUUCCCAGGUAUGAGAAAUUUUAUUAAAAAGGAAAGUUUCCCUUGGAACUCGUCAAUUUGAUGGCCUUAACUCGACGUGUUGAAACUCUUUGGGCCACGAAUCUUUUUGGACCAACUCGACGAGUUGGAGAGUAAAACUCGACGAGUUGGCAGCUGAUUAAGAAACCCUAAUUUUAGGGUGUUGCACCCUAUUUAAAGUCCUUAAGUCCCAUUUUUGGCCUUCCUAAUUGCCUCCUCUGUCUAGAAACCCUAAUUUUCGUGCAUCCUCUCCCAAGUUGAGUGUGUGAGCUUGAAGAGUUGGUCAUUUUAGUGUUCUUUUGAAGGAGCUUGAGGUUGGAAGUGUCUAGGUUGAAGGGAAGGCUUCAGAUCCAUAAAGUAUUUGAGUAUUGCAGUUCUUUUAAGGUAAUAAGUCGACAAGUUGCUUAUAUAUUGCUUAGAUAUCUUCUUUGGAAGUUUAUUGUCAUGGUUGGCUCAUUUUUGGGUUGUUCAUGGGGUUGAGCAUCUCAUGAAGUUAUCACUUUAGAUCUUGACAUUUUGUGGCCUAUUUGGGCUUAAAGUUGCAAGCUUUAUCAAGUUCUAGGCCUCCUUCAUGCUUUAGGUCCCUUAUUAAGCCUUCCUUGAGUUUUGGAGCCUCUUUGUGGCAUGCAUGGAUGUAAAGUUAGCAACUUUACGUGGUUUUCCAACUCGUAGGUAUUUGAUCUACAUUCUAAAAUGUUAGACUUGAUGGAAAAGGACUGAAUUUGUUAAGUUGGGAAAACUUGGCGAGUUUUCCAGCCAACUUGGUGAGUUGGCUAGGAUUCUCUGAAUACUAUAGGAACUAGACGAGUUCAGGAGGUGUACUCGACGGGUUAGGUCAACAUGGACUGUUGACCUUGACCAUUGACUUUCACUUUGACCAUGGUUGACCAUUUUUACUUUUGAGGGCAUUUUAUGUAUUUCGGGGUUUAAUGGAAUUGGUCACAUGGUGGUUGUAGGCAUUUGAGUCAGGAGUUGAGUUUCGGGGUUAGACCUUAUCAGUUCAGCUACUUAUGAGGUGAGUUUUUCUCACUGUACUUUCAGGUUGAAGGCACCAAGGCCGACCCAUUAGUUUGAUUACUUGAUAUUGUUGGUAUGCUAAGUAUGAUAGAGAUAUGCAUGCUAGAUUGCUAUUAUGGUAGCUGUAGGACUACAUGUGAUACUGUUUGUUUAUUUGUUAGUGAUAUUAUCUGUUAUAUGUCGACAUAUUGUGUGGAUGGGUUGAGGUGGUACUGCUUUAUGUUGUGGCCAACAAACUGUGGAGUAUGCCAGAUAUGAGCUGAGGGACAGGGAGGGAAUGCCAGACUUAUACUAAGGACUCAUGAGCAUUCCAGAUACGAGAUGAGAGCCUGGUAGGGCAUGCCAGACUCGUAUUGAGGUCUUAGCAGUAUUCAGUCUGUUGACUGAUCAGAAUGGGGAGCAAGCCAGACAUAAGCUGUGGGCCCAUGGGACAAGCCAGAUAGGGAUGAUCAUACAACCCGUUGGACCAGACCGGACAGGAAAAAGCCUGGGACCGGACCCGAACUGAACCGAAUAUUCUUAUAGGUGGGCCAGUUUUCGGGUUUUGUUUUUUACAAAAAUCGGGUUUCGGGUUUGGACUGGACCGGACCUGGAAUAAAGUUGUUAACCCGGACCGGACCAGAAAUCAAAACUUAUUAAUAAGUUAUUAAUAUUAUUGCCUUUUUUUGAGCAUACAAAAAAAACUCGAUACACAAAAUUAGAAUAAAAACCCUAUCGACAACUUGAUUUCUUUGGGUUCGUUCUUAGUGUCAAUCGAUGAUUUCUUCCCUAGGCCACUAAUCUUCUACUCUCUAAUACUUCCUUUCCUCUACAAUGGUGAUUGAAAAUUGAGAUGGUUCCAUGGAAGAUAAUCAAAGUCAAGUAAGUCUAAAUAUUUUUAUGUUUGAUGUCGUAAUGUAUAUUUUAAUCUGUGGGUCAUUUUUCUUUUAAGUUUUAAACUUUUAAUCAUGGUUAAUUGGAAAAUAAAGUUAAUAUAUGUUGGAACUAAUUGCCAGCCAAUAGUAUGGGUUUCGUAUAGAUGUUGUACUAAUAUAUUAGACUUUAGAGUAUGGGUAUUAUAAAAAGAUAAUGUAGUAUGGGGUGAGUAUUAGUUAUGAUGUAUUAGCCUAUUAGGUGUUGUAUAUACAUGUUGCAGUAUGGUAAUCAAACAUCCAAUUUACUUCAAUCCAAGUUAAUAAGUUAGAAAAGAUGUAGUUGCAGCAAGCUCCUCCUCAUGUUGUUAAUUACUCUUGGUUGCGAUUUUAUAUUUCUGAUCAUCAGAGACUUCAUCUCCUCUUAAUGAGGAUUCAAAUUUCAUCCUCUUAAUGAGGAUUCAACCUUACAACAUCUACUUUUGGAAGUUUUGAGAGUUCAACCUUCAUCAUCAUCUACUUCAAGAUUUUUCAACCUUCUUCAAUCCUUCAACUCAUCUCCAGAUUCCUCUUAUAUAUAUAUAUAUAUAUAUAUAUCCUCAACUUGUGCUUCUAGAACACCAAUCAACAUGUGCUUCUAGAACACCAACUACAUCCAGGUUAAUAAGUUGGAAAAGAUGUAACAGAUAGUCAUUGAUUGGUUUGCAUUGAGAAAGAAGAAAUUUUUUUUGUAUUUUGGGUCUAGUCUUGAACUUGUGAUCAUAUAUGCUUGGUAUAAGUGAUUGUUCUUUAGUAUUGUUGAUUUUUGAUGUUAUAAUGGCUAAUGUUAAAAUUGUUGAAUGGUUAUUGAUUUUUGAUGUUGUAACGGCUAAUGUUCAAUUGUAGAUUUUUGAUUCUUGAAUGCCUUAUGUUCAAUGCUUAAGUAAUUGUUUUUACUUUAUUGUAUUGUAGGAUGAUGAUGUUUUUGUUGAUAACACCCCACAUAUUAUUGCUGAUCAUGAUGUUGAUACCGACAAAGGAGACAUAAAUAUUGAAGAUAACACCGCAUUGUCAAAGAAAAAAAAUAAAAGAAAACGGGCAUCACAAAAAAAGGGUCAAAAUGUUGGAAUUCAAUGGAAGUGGUUAUGGACGAUGAUGGAAAGAAAACCAAUAAAUCUAGAUGCAAGCAUUGCUUUAAAGUCUUUAAUUCUGAUGUAAACAUAAAUGGAAGUUCUAGCUUACUUAGACAUGCAAAUAAUUGCCAACAAAAUUCGGAUAAUAUUAAAUGGCAAAAUACUUUACAAUUUAUAAAAAAACCUUUUGGGGAUGGUACCAGUGUCACCGUAUGGAUACACGAUGAAGACGGGAUUAAAAAAGCUAUGCUAAAUCUAUUUGUUGUAGGUGAACUCCCAUUUAAAUUUAUGGAAUAUGAAGCUUUUAUAGAGUACACAAAUGCUUUAAACGGAAAAUUCAAAAUACCAUCAAGGCAUAAAAUUAGUUGUGAUGUUGCCAAGUUUUAUGUUGAAGAAAUGAAGAAGUUAUUAACUUUCUUUGCUAAUACACACAACAUGAUACACUUGACAAUCGAUAGUUGGACUUCAUCAUGUCAAAAAACGAAUUACAUGAUUGUUACGGGACACUUCAUAGAUGACAAUUGGGUCAUAGAUAAAAGGAUUUUAAAUUUUAGACCAAUAGAUACUCAUGUGGGGAAAACAUGAGACGUUUGUUACGUGAAUGCAUACAUGAGUGGGGGAUAAAAAAUGUGAUGACUAUAAGUGUGGACAAUGCCACUACAAAUGACAAAACAUUGGAAUUCUUGACCAACAAACUUCCCAACCUGUAUGAAGGUGGAAAACAUUUUCACGUUAUAUGUGUGUCUCAUAUUUUGAACUUAAUUGUGAAAGAUGGAUUAAAAUAUCAUAAUACCCAUGUGCAUGUGUUCAAAGAGCGGUGAAAUACAUUAGACAUUCAACCGCUAGAAUUAAGAAGUUUAGAAAAUGUAUGAAGGAUUCCGACUUAGAAGGGGAUAAGUUUUUAUGUGGAGAGUGUCCAACGAGGUGGAAUUUGACAUUCGAGUUGUUGAAGAGCGCUUUGAACUUAAAAGAUGUUUUUUUGAAUAUGAAGUUAAAGGUAAACAUAUUUUUUUGUUAUUUUUUUACAAAUAAAAGCUAUUAGAGUGCACUUUUUUUAUUAUUAAUAUUGCCGUUUUUUUUGUUAAAAAUGCAGUUUUUUAUGUUAAAAAUGUUGUUUUUUUUUGUUAAAAAUGCAGUUUUUUAAUUAUUAUAAAAUUUGUUUUUUUUUAACAAAUGAUAUUGUUAGAGUGCAGUUUUGUUGUUGUUUUUUAUAAAAUAAAGUGCACUUUUUUAACUAAAAGUUUUUUAUUAAUAGUGUUUUUUUAAAUGUUGUUUUUAUUAAAAAUGCAGUUAUUUUUAAAUAAAAAUUACAGUUUUUUUUCUUUGUUUUAAAUGGUGCUGUUAGAGUGCAAUUUUGUUUUGUUUUGUUUUUUUUUAAAUGAAGUGUAGUUUUUUUAUUAAUAGUUUUUUAGUGAUAGUUUUUUUUAAUAAAAUAAAGUGCAUUUUUUUUCUUUAUUAAAAAGUGCAUUUUUUAUGUGUUCUAAAUGAUAAUGAGUUCGUAUUUUUUGUAGACACUUCAUUUGCACGUGAUUUAAAUAGAGUCCCACAAUGUACCGAUUUCGAAGUGAUAGAAGAUGUUAUAAUGUUUCUUGAAAAGUUCAAAAUAAAAACGAAGAUGUUGUUAGCUUCAUCAAAAGCGUUGGUACAAACUGUUUUACGAGAAAUUAUAGAUGUUGACCAACAUCUAGAAACAUAUUCAACAAAAGUGCAUCUUUGUCAUAUGAUCCCAUUCAUGCAUACCAAAUACAACAAGUAUCGGGGUUCAAUAGAAAAUUUGAAUGAUUUUCACAAGUUUUGCCGUAUUAUUGGACCCCUAAACGAAGUCCAUCUUUUUGUCGGCUAUCAUCAAGAAGGUGAUCGAAAACACGAGAACGGAGGAAAACAUAUUGUUGGAUAGCACCAUAAAAUUGAAGACGAUGUCCACGGUGCGGGAAAUUGAAAAAAGAAUGGAAAUUUUAUUUAAAACCUAUGAAGAAAAAUAUGCAAAUGUAGGCUCGUCUCAAAAAGUAAAAGAAGUUGUAAGUUGUGAUGUGGGUAACGAUUUUUUGGACGUUUUCUUGAUGGGACAAGGAGACACGUCGGCGAUAGUUGAAAACGAAAUGAGAAGAUAUUUAAAUGAACCUAGAGUGACUUUUGAUAAAAAAAAAUUGACAUCCUAGAUUGGUGGAAAAAAAUGCAUUGUGUUUUCCGAUUGUCACUUGUCGCUCGUAUGACAAAAGUUAAUUCUACUAUUUAACUUUGUUUUCUUUUAGUUAAGUUAUAAAUUAUUAUAUUUAUAAUUUUAUUAUGGUUUGUUGUUAGAUAUUUUAUCCAUACAAGUGACGACCAUGGCGUCGGAAUCCACUUUUAGUACUUGCGGUCGAAUUCUAGAUGAGUAUAGAACACGUUUGAAUACGCCGAUUGUUGAAGCUUUAGUAUGUACCCAAGAUUGGAUAAGAAAAUCAUGCAAACCCAUUAUAGAUAAUGAUGAAGACAUAUUGAAGGAUGAUGACAUAGCGUUGGGUAGUAAAUUUAAAUCAUCUUUUAUUUAUUUUUUGUUUGUUAAAAAAUGUAGAUGCUCACUAUGCUUUGAUGUUAAUUAUAUAGAGAUUGAAGCGGUGAUGGAGGAAAAAGAAGAUAGAGGGAAUGGAAAGAAGCCGAUUGAAGUUUAAUUGUUUUUUUUUUCAUAAAUUGUUUGUUUUCGUAUAAUGGUAAUUUGGUUUAGUACAUGGUUAUUAUUAGUUUGGUACAAUGAUAGUUUGGUUAUUAUUAUUUUGGUAAAUUUGGUUUGCUAUUUAUUACCUAUACAUUCAUAUUCACUUAUGUAUUUUUUUAUUCCAAUUGUGCAAACAACAAAAAUAUGAAUGAUGGAUAUUACGUAGUAAGAUUAGAACUUGAAAUAGUAUGAUAGAGACUAGAGAGUAAUAUUACAAACAAAACCUGAAACUGUAAACAACAAAGAUACAAAACUUAGUUUGUUACCCGGAACAAGACCGGAUCGAAACCGCAAACAACACUGCGAAAGUAUAAUUCGGUCAAAAACCCGAAACUCGGUUUAGUACCCGGAACUGGACCGGACCAAACCCAGACCCGAUACACCGAAAAACAGUCCGGUUUUCGGGUAAGGUAAUUCAGGAUUUUCGGUCUUCGGGUUUUCAGUCUUCGGGCCGGUCUGGUCCGGGUUUGUCCCGUUGCUCAUCCCUAAAGCCAAACUUAUGAUGUGGGCUCAGGGGUAAUCCGGUCUGUAAAGCUGUGGACUCAUUAAAUGUUGUUAUUAUAAUUGUGCUAUUUAUUAUGUAUUGGUAUUUUGGGGGAACUCACUAAGCUUUGAGCUUACAGUUUUGGAUUAUGUUUCAGGUACAUUAGAGGAUCGCGGGAAGGCGAAUGCAUGAUCGUGCACCUCCUCAUAUUUUUAUUUCAUGAUUUUGGGAUAUCUCUGAUAUGGAACUUAUUUUGAAAACAAGUUGUAAACAAUGAUGAUUUUGGAUGUUUUUAAAAGUUUAAAAUUUCCAUGAAUUUUAUGUGUGUUACAAGUUAGUAUCAGAGCGUUGGUUUGAGUGAAUUGGAGAAACACUCGUGUGAAUCCAAUAUCAACCUAAGGAAAAGAUUUUUAAAUGGUUUUCGAAAUAAACAAUGCGGAUGCGAUGUGUACGAUUAGCCGGAGCCAGUAAGUUGACCCCAAAAUACCAUAUUGUUAUUUGAUAUUGUAAUAUGUUAGAACAACAUGCUAGUGAUAGGUUGGGGAUCUUCAGGAACUGCAUGAUAGAAUUGCCUGAUUAUAUGAUGUAUGAUAGCCUAGGUCCUUUUCUUUUCUGGAAUUGACAUCAUUGUUGUAGUUACUUAGUGUAUGCAUCAUGGUUAUAUAUAACUAAGAUCUUAUAGCUUGAGAACAUUUGAUUUGGCCUUAUUUCCUGUUCCUGUUUGAUGAAGGGCUUAGGGUAGGAUCAAAUAUUCGAAUGUCUAUAGGGUCCAGUGUUAUGUAUGGCUAGCAUACACGAGUGCUGCUGGGGUGGUGGAAGUUUCAUUGAUGAGUCGUGUUGGGUCAGCCGACCGGUUGUGAGAUAUUUCGCCUUUCCUCUAGGGAGUAAGGAUUGAGUGUUCGUCUAUGCUUAUGAGUAUUUUUAGGGCAUUUUGAUGAUCCUUGAGACAAAUACGGGUAGGUGUGGAAAGUAGUAUAGGCCCGUACUACUGAAAGCACAGGACCCGUAUGCGUAGCAAGGAAAUCACAACCCCUAGGGCUUCAUUAGGAGUUGGUUCCCCAUUAUGAUAUGUGAAUUAUCUGAUAUCUUCCUGGCGUAUUUUCAGUAUGGUGACUAUAAGACUUGUUGAAAUUGGAUCCGGGUCAGGAUUAAGAGCUGGCAGAUAGGGUGAGCCAGUUUUGUCGGAGGACUGCAUCAGGGGGAUCAUUUGCAAGGAGGUGGUUGCUAUUGUCUGGGGUUAGAUUCCAGAAAUGGUCGGGUCUAUCAAGACCGCGAUGAUGGAGUUCUUUGAUAGCACGGAGCCCUCGACUUUUGAUAGAGUUCAGGACCCGAUCAUAGCCAUGAGGUGGCUAUUUGAUGUGGAAGGAUGUUUCUUCACUUGUUCAUGCCCUGCUGACCAGAAGGUCAGAUGCACUAUGAACCUUCUGAGGAUCGGAACGAAAGAUUGGUGGAGGCUCGCUAUUAGUUCGUAUUCUGUUGAGCAGAGAGCUACUGUGACUUAGGAGCGGUUUUCUGAGAUGUUAUACUAUCGAUAUGUUCCACUGGUGGAGCUUGAGAGGUUAGCGUAGGAGUAUCUGGAUUUAAGACAGGGUUUUGAUACGGUGACAGAGAUCACCAAGAUGUUCGUGGAGAGAGCUAUGUUCUGUCCUGAGUUUGCUACAUCUGAGCAGGCUCAGAUGACCUGUUACUUGAGCAUGCUUAAGACAGAGACCAGACAGUUUGUUUCUACAUAGCGUUAUGGUUGAUUGUUGGAGAUGCAGGAGGCUGCCAGGCGGCGUGAUAUUGCGAUUGAUCUACAGACAAGAGAGCAGAGGCUGGCUCCGACAUAGUUGCAGUCAGCGCCAAAGCGGUUCAAGACUGUUGAUGUUAGAUCAGGGGCCGGAAGGGCCGAACUUGUGGCAAGUGCGACGAGACACAUAAGGGUGAUUGUUGGUCAUCAUCUGGGUGCCACAAUUGUGGCCGACAGUUUCACAUGGAAAGGGAUUGCCGCCAGCUGGCUCCAACGCUCAGUUCUAGGAUUUGUUAUCAUUGUGACUGGGUUGUCCAUGUGAAGGCCAACUGUCCAUCGCUCGCUGCCAGGCCGGUGUAGGCUCCAGCACCGGUUACUUUAAGGAUCACUGACGGGAGUCAAGGCAGGACAGAGCCCCCGAGGGCUCGAGGUCGUGCUUUCCAGCUUACUGCCGAGGAGGCCAGGGCAGCACCAAAUGUUGUGAUCGGUAUGUUUCUAUCCGUUAUCUUAUUGAUUAUGUUUGUUUUAUGCUCAUAUGUUGGUACCUCUAUUAGGUACAUUCUUAGUGAACUCCAUGCCUAAUCUUGUAUUGUUUGACUCAGGUGCAAGCCAGUCCUUUGUUUCUCGAUCUUUUAGUAAGGACUUUUCCUUUCCCAUAGGGGAGUUGGAGUGUCCGUUGCGAGUUUCUAUCGCCAACAAACACGAGAUUUUUGCUUCUUCAUUUUAUCAGGGUUGCGUCCUAGAGAUUUUCGGGGUAUCCUUGCCGAUCAAUUUGAUUCCUAUUCCCAUGAGGGAUGUAUGUGUGAUUGUGGGUAUAGACUGGCUGAUCCGUUUUGGUGCCAUGAUUGACUGCGAUGGUUGGCGUGUGGUAUUUUGAACCCCAAGUGGGGGAGAACUGGUUAUUUAUGGAGAGGGCAUCAGGAUGGGUUCAUGGUUUUAUUCGGCAGCCAGGGCGCGACAGUAUAUUUAGCACAAGUGUGCGGAUUAUUUGGCUUAUGUAGUGGAUAUGCAGGUUGGGGAUCAGGUGUCGGUCGCUGAUGUUCCGGUUGUUAUGGAGUUCGCUGAUAUAUUCCUGGAGGAGUUACAUGGUGUGCCUCCUGAGAGACAGGUCGAGUUCAGGAUUGACCUUGUGCCAUGUGCGACUCCUAUUUCCAAGGCGUUAUACCGAUUGGCACCACCUGAGAUGCACGAACUAUUAUCUUAGCUGUAGGAGCUGCUAGGCAAGCGGUUCAUCCAUCCAAGCAGUUCUCCGUGGGGAGCACCGAUUCUAUUUGUCAAGAAGAAGGAUGGUUCAUACUAGAUGUACAUCAAUUACCGAGAAAUUGAACAAGUUAACGGUGAAGAACUGUUAUCCCCUUCCACAUAUUAGUGAUCUCUUUGAUCAGUUACAGGGAGCAUCUUGGUUCUUUAAGAUAGAUCUGAGGUCUGGAUGCCAUUAGGUCACGGUGAGGGAGGAGGACGUGGAGAAAACCGCAUUCUGAACUCUUUAUAGACAUUACGAGUUUGUAGUGAUGUCAUUUGGGCUUACCAAUGCGCCUGCAGUAUUUAUGGAUUUGAUGAAUCGGGUAUGCAGGCCGAUGCUCGAUUGUUUGGUUAUCGUGUUUAUUGAUGAUAUCUUGGUGUAUUCCAAGACCCGAGAGCAGCAUGAUGAGCAUCUUUGCGAGCUUCUGGGGGUUUUGAGGAGAGAACGGCUUUAUGAUAAGUUCUUGAAAUGUGAGUUUUGGUUGCGAGAGGUUCAGUUCCUUGGAUACCUCGUUAACAAGGAUGGGAUUUUGGUCGAUCCGGCCAAAAUCGAGGCGGUGAUGUAGUGUGAGGUUCCGAAAUCUCCCUUAGAUAUCAAGAGUUUCUUGGGUUUGGUAUGGUACUACCAGAGAUUUAUUUAGGAUUUCACCAAGAUUGUAGUACCCCUCACUCGUCUGACAAGGAAGGGGGUGGAUUUCUGGUGGAGCCCUGAGUAGCAGUCAUCAUUUGAGGCCCUUUGGCAGAGACCUUGUGAGGCCCCAGUUUUGACCUUCCCAGAGGGAAUUGAGGAUUUUGUGGUUUUUUGUGAUGCAUCCACCAUUGGCUUGGGAGCAAUCCUCAUGCAGAGAGGACGAGUGAUAGCUUAUGCUUCGCGGAAACUGAAGCCACAUGAGAUGAGAUAUCCCACACAUGAUCUUGAGUUGGGGGUGGUGAUUUUCCUUUAUGGGGUUCAUUGUACCAUCUACACGGAUCACAAGAGAUUCAGGUAUAUUAUGGAUCAUUCGAACUUGAACAUGAGGCAACACAGGUGGUUGGACGUAGUCCAUGAUUAUGACUGCGAGAUCCUUUACCAUCCGGGUAAAGCGAAUGUUGUGGCAGAUGCCCUGAGUUGCAAGUUGGAUAGAUCUUCUGUUCUGGUGGCAUGUAUGAGGAUAUAUGUGGAUUCUCCACUUAUGGGGUUGAUUAGGGAGGCUCAGGCCGAGGGGGUGCAGGAGGAAAAUUGGAAUAUUGAGAGGAUCAGGGGCAAGAUCACAAUAUUUGUUCCAGACAGUCGUGGUUUGUUGAUCCAUUGCGGCCAGGUAUGGGUUCCUGUGUCUGGUGGGGUCAGAGAAAUUGUGAUGGUGGACGCUCAUAAGUCUAAUUUUUUUUAUCCAUCCAGGGGCCACCAAGAUGUGUCGGGAUCUGAGGUUGAGUUAUUGGUGGUCGUGCAUGCAGAGAGAGAUCGUUUGGUAUGUUGAGAGGUGCUUGACCUGCAGGAUGGUCAAAUCAGAGCAUCAGAGGCCGCAUGGAAAGUUGCAGCCUUUGGAGGUUCCCAUGUGGAAAUAGGAGAAGAUUUUGAUGGAUUUCAUCACCAAGUUAGCAAAGAUGGCAAAGGGUUUUGAUGCUAUUUGGGUCAUCGUGGUUCGAUUGACCAAGAGUGCCCGCUUUCUAGAAAUUCGGGAGAGCUCGUCAGCCGAGAAGUUGUAUGAUGUGUAUAUUUACGAGAUUGUUACUUGCCAUGGGGUUCCGGUCUCUAUUGUUUCAGACCGUGAUUUUCGGUUCACCUUCCGAUUUUAGCAGAAGUUCCAUGAGGGACUGGGCACGAGGCUUCAUUUCAAUAUGACUUAUCAUUCGCAGACCGAUGGUUAGAGCGAGAGGACCAUUCAGACUCUCGAGGAUAUGUUGUGGGCUUGCGUUAUCGAUUUUAGUGGGAGCUGGGACUCCUACCUACCCCUUGUAGAGUUCUCUUAUAAUAACAGUUUUCACUCCGGCAUUGUUGCUCCGCCUUUUGAGCUUUUGUAUGGGCGAAGGUGUCGUACCCCAGUCUAUUGGGGCAAGGUUGGUCACAUGGUCAUGGGUUGGACCGAGGUGGUCCUGCAUACUACAUAGACAAUCAGUAGAUCAGGCAAAGAUUGCAGACUGCUCAGAGUCAACAGAAGAUCUAUGCCGACCGACACCGAUAUGAAUUGGAGUUUAGGUCGGUGACAUGGUGUUAAUGAAGGUCUCACAUUGGAAAGGUGUGAUUCGCUUCAGGAAGAGGGGGAAGUUGGGACCCCGGUACAUUGUACCAUUCUGGAUUGUUUCCAGGGUUGGCAAUGUUGCUUAUAGGUUGGAUCUUCUGGAAGAGCUUAGUCAGACUCUUAGCACUUUCCACGUUCCGCAAUUGCGGAAAUACGUAUUGUACGAGGAUGCGGUGGUAUCAUUGGAUGACAUUCAGGUUGAUGAGCAUAUGAACUAUGUCGAGAGGCCGGUAGCUAUUUUGGAAAGGAAGGUAACAGUUCUGCGUAGCAAGGACAUGCCUUUGGUAAAGGUACAGUGGCAACAUCAGAGGGGAUCUGAGUGGACCUGGGAGCCAGAGGUUGAGAUGCCAGAUUUGUUCACCACAGCAGGCUUCGAGGACGAAGCCUAGUUCAAGUGGGGGAGAGGUGUAAUAUCUUGAUUCCUAGGUAUAAGAAUUUCUAUUAAAAAGGCAAGUUUCCCUUGGAACUCGUCGAUUUGAUGGCCUCAACUCGACGUGUUGAAAGGCUUUGGGCCACUGAUCUUUUUGGACCAACUCAACGAUUUGGAGAGGAAAACUCGAUGAGUUGGCAGCGGAUUAAGAAACCCUAAUUUUAGGAUGUUGCACCCUAUUUAAAGGCCAUAAGUCCCAUUAUUGGCAUCCCUAAUUUCCUCCUCUGUCCAGAAACCUUAAUUUUUGUGCAUCCUCUCCCAAGUUGAGUGUGUGAGCUUGAAGAGUUGGUCCUUUUGGUGCUCUUUUGAAGGAGCUUGAGGUUGGAAAUUCCUAGAUUGAAGGGAAGGCUUCAUAUCUAGAAACUCUUCGAAUGUUGUAGUUCAUUUGAGGUAAAAAGUCGACAACUUGCUUAUCUAUUGCUUAGAUCUUUUCCUUGGAAUUUUAUUAUCAUAGCUGGCUCAUUUUUGGGUUGUUCAUGGGGUUGAGCAUCUCAUGAUGUUAUCACUUUAGAUCUGGACGUUUUGUGGCCUCUUUGGGCUUAAAGUUCCAAGCUUUAUCAAGUUCUAUUCAUGCUUUAGGUCCCUUAUUAAUCCUUGCAUGAGUUUUGGAGUCUCUUUGUGGCAUGCAUGGACGUAAAUUUAAAAACUUUAUGUGGUUUUCUAGCUCUUGGGGUACCUGAUCUACAUUUUAAAAUGUUAGACUUGAUGGAAAAGGACUGAAUGUGUUAAGUUGGGAAAACUCGGCGCGUUUUCCAGCCAACUCGGCGAGUUGGCUAGGGUUUUCCCGAUUUUCUAAAUACUAUAGGAACUCGACGAGUUGGGUCAACAUGGACUGUUGACCUUGACUGUUGACUUUGACUUUGACCAUGGUUGACCAUUUUGACUUUUGAGGCAUUAUGGGUAUUUUAGGGUUUAAUGGAUUUGGUCACAUGGUGGUUGUAGGCAUUUGAGUCGGGAGCUGAGAUUCGGAGUUAGACCUUAUCAGUUCAGCUACUUGUGAGGUGAGUUUUCCUAUACUUUCUGGUCGAAGGCACCAAUGCCGACCCAUUCGUUUGAUAACCUGAUUUUGUUGGUAUGCUAAGUAUGAUAGAGAUAUGCAUGCUAGAUUGAUAUGCUAGUCUGGUAGCUAUGGGACUACCUGUGAUACUGUUUGUUUAUUUUUUCGUGAUAUUAUAUGUUAUAUGUUGACAUAUUGUGUGGAUGGGUUGGGGUGGUACUGUUUUGUGUUGUGGCCAACAAACUGUGGAGUAUGCCAGAUAUGAGCUGAGGGCCAGGGAGGGAAUGCCAAACUCAUAUUGAGGACUCAUGAGCAUUCUAGAUGCGAGCUGAGGGUCAGACAGGACAUGCAAGACUCGUACUAAGGGCUUAGCGGUAUUCAGUCUGUUGACUGAUGAGACCGGGGAGCAAGCCAGACAUAAGUUGUGGGCCUGUGGGGCAAGCCAAACUUAUGCUAUGGGCUCAGGGGUAAUCCAGUAUGUAAAGCUUUGGACCAAUUGCAUGUUAUUAUAUUUGUGAUAUUUAUUAUGUAUUGGUAUUUUGGGGGAACUUACUAAGCUUUGGAUUACAGUUUUGAAUUAUAUUUCAGGCACAUUAGAGGAUCGCGAGAAGGCGAAUGCGUGAUCAUGCACCUCCUAAUGUUUUUAUUUCAUGAUUUUGGGAUAUCUCUGAUAUGGAACUCAUUUUGAAAACAAGUUGUAAAAAAUGAUGAUUUUGGAUGUUUUUAAUAGUUUAAUUUUCUCAAGAAUUUUAUGUGUGUUACAUCAUAUUUUGAAUCCUAAAACAACGUUAGAUUUUAUAUUUAUGACUUCAUAAUCCUCAAUAUUGUAUUCUAAUAAUGACAAAUCACUAAACAUUAGUAACUAAGAUUACGAAUCUAUUUACCGUGAAUAAAUAAAAGAUCUUGAAAGGUGUGUAUCUAAAGUUUAACAUUCAUCCUUAUUUUAUGCUUCAAUUCGUUUAUAAAUCUUGGUAUCAUUUUGUGUGGAUUUGUUUUUGUUUAACAAAUUAUUUGUAAAUAAGUUUAGUUUUUGUGGGUGUUUGGGGCAGCUUUUAAAAACAGCUUAUUAGCUUUUUAGCUUUUCAAAAAGCUAAUAAGCUAAAAAAGUGUUUGUGUUUAAAAAAUAUUUUUUUAAAACAACUUUUUGGAUAGGAAAAAGUAAAACUUUCAAAAAGCUGGAAAAUCCUAGCUUUUUAGCUUUUUAGCCAUUUUACUCCUAAAAAACAGUUUUUCUUAUCCAAACACUUUUUAAAACCCGUCUUUCCUAAAAUCCAUAAGCUAAUAAGCACUUUUGUGGUGUGCCCUUUGUAGAUGGUUUAACCAAACCAUCAAUUAUCCUAAGGUAAGUGUUUCACAAUUAUUUUUCUACCCUCCAAUAUUAGAGGAGGUAAAUUAAGUUAAUAUUAAAAAAAAUUAGGUUAACAUGUGGUCAAGGGUAAUAUUUAAAAUAAUGAAAAAUGAAAACUAAUUUAUUUGUUUAUUUCAUUGGGUGAAAUGUCAUGUAACAUUCAAGUUUUGAUAAGUUUCUCUUUUAUCCCUUAAUGCAAAUUUUUUAUCAAAUUGGUCCCUUUCUAGUAUGUGGGGCAUACUAUAUGAGUACGCUUAGCGUACUAGCCCAUUGUUGCUCGUGGAUUCCACCCACGUACGUGGGGCGUACAUGGAGUGCGCAUGACGCACAUGGUGUAGGGGAAACCCUGCCUAAUAUAUGGCCUAAUAUAUGGCCCAAUCUUAAAAAAAGUUGUGGGUCAAUUAGAUGAUUAUUUUGAUGAUGAUAGUGUGGGUAUUUCCGGACCAGCAGACAGAUAUUCAGUUGAGUGAUUUAGCAGCUAGAGGUGAGUUUCCGCACAGUGUUUAGCAGGUCGAAGGCACUAAUGCCGAACCAUGAUUUGUUAUGUUAGGAUGCUAGAUGUCUGCAUGACUCUUGCAUGUGUUAUGUGCUGGUAUGCUUGUCGGGCGGGGCCCGAUGCUAGGUGAGUGUGACAACCCGAAAUUUCCAUUUUGUACGAACAUUAUCAAUUCAAUAGAAACUAGACCAGUUACAGUGAAUUUCAGACUUUUCCGAAUAAGUUUGAGUAUAUUAGGGUUUACGUUUAAGGAGAUAUCAGGAGAGUGGAUGCACAUGGGUUAGUGAAACUCGAGUAUUUCAAAACUUCAUAAUAUUAGAGUUCAUUUCCAGAAUAAAAAUAUUUUCUGCCAAAAAUAUCUUAGGACUAUAAAUAGAUUUCUGAACCAAAUUCAUUCAUUAUUCACAUUUCCAACUAGAGAAAAGCCAUUUUCUCUCUCACGGAUCUUCGGGUUUUUAUCCCAAAUCGUGAGUACACUUCUCUAGUUGUCUUAUAAUGCUUAUUAUCUGCUUAAUAACUUAGAUUACAUAGCAAAUCUGUGAGAUUCGGGAGUUUACCGCCCAAGAACGUUCUUGGAGAGUAAACUCCUAUAUGUGGCUUAAAUGCUACCUAGCCUUUUCCCCAUGUUAGGUAACGAACUUAGGCUUAUUUAUAAGUGUAUUUAAGACUAGAAAAAAAUCAAAAACACCAAGAUUAGGGUGUUCACGGCCCAAGAAGUUCUUGAACCGUGAACUCCAAAAUCAAGUGCCAAAGAGUGUUUAAAUCACUCCUAAAGCCUUGGACUUUAACCCCUAUUUAAUCCUAACUAAUUUGAGGACUUUAAAACAUCAAAGACACCUUCCUAUGUGAGUUUACGGCCCUAUUAAUGUGGUUGGGCCGUGAACAUCAAUCAAGGGCACCAAAGUGUGCCUAGGACCUUCAUUAGCUCAAAACAAAUGCCUAGAAACUAUCCUACAUGUGCAAAGGACUUGAAAGCAUCAAAAACAUCAUUCCAAGGGAGUUUACGGCCGUAAACUCCAAAGGAAUUGGCCUUGGGGCCGUAAACUCCUCAAAGGAGUAUUUCUAUGCCCUAAACUAGUCCAAGGAGUAAACUACCAAGUAGAACUUAUUCUAGAAAUCAAAUAACACUUCAAAACACCAAAUGCCAUCAAGUUUGGGAGUUCACGGCCGUAAACUCAAGGGCUUACGACCGUAAACUCCUUGUGUGGAGUUUAUUGAAGAGUAAACACAUAUAUAAGGCCCUUUGGAACUUUAAACCCCUUUAGCCUUGUCCCACAACAACCUAGAAGCAACCCUUAGGACUUAUAACACUUAUACAAAGUGUUUACAUGUUCUAGAGUGUCCCAACUUAAUUCAUUAGUUAUUAUUUGGCUAAUUAGUUAUAUAUAUAUUCUCAUUAUAUGAUAACUAGGUUCGUACGUGUGAACAAGUCUCCGUUUACCACCUAGCACAGUAUCCGACACUUCAAUCCAAUCCACUCACCACAAGUGAGUUGAUACCCCUUUAAUUAACCUUUGAAAUACUUUUAAAUGUUUUAAAUGCUUUUAUGGGGGGGGGGGAUACAAGUUAAAUACUUAUAGUUAUUACAUCAAUCACAUGUGAUUAAUAACUAUAAAACCAAUGAUUUUAUUACUGUUCAAACUAUUUAUCAAACUGUUUUACUUCAAACUGCUUUACAAACUCUUUUACUUAUCAAAUACUUUUAUUUAAACUUUGUUAUACUUAUUAUAAAUUGCAUGCCCGUAUAUGUAUAGUUAUAUAAGAAAUGUUUAAAAGACUUAGGAAGGCUAUCCACCUUGUUUCCUUUUCCUCGAUUUGGAUGUCGUCUGAUAGGAUAUCGGGUACUCGUCCGAAGGUCGUUUAAAUAUUAAUUAUAUAUCAUGUGUACAUAUAUAGACAUAAAAGUGUUUCCAUAUUUAUGCGUACUAGUUACAUAAUUAAUAGGCUACCAUCGGGGUAGCACAGGAUCAUACUUUUACUAUUGCUAGAUCAAUGAGUCAGUUCAUUCGUGUGUCAAUACUUAUUACUAUGAGAACAUAUACAUUACAUUACUAUGAGUACAUAUACAACUAUACUAGAAAGAGAACAUAUACAACUAUACUAGAAAGAGAACAUAUACAACUAUACUAGAAAGAGAACAUAUACAACUAUACUAGGAAGAGAACAUAUACAACGAUACUAGAACAAGUAACAUUACAUUACAUAUACAUGAAUACGUUAACAAUUGUGAUCCACUGUAUCGGAGCAUGCCUUAAAUGUCAUGGCCCGAGUUGUAGCCAGAAUUCUCUUGGAGGGAGAGCGUGAGUUUGCGUAUAGAUCUAUACUGGAUUGACUAUCCUACACCUUGCUGCUAGCUACAGCCGGACCUGCAGGUCUGCGGGUGCCAAACGUCAUUCCGUUAUUACGACCAUUCGUAUGUCGUUGUUACCAGUCGAUAGUAUGGUGCAAUUAAUCACAUGAUACCUUAAUAUAAAUCCGGUUUAAGGUAGUUAGUACAGCAGUAGUUCCUAUAAUACAACACUACAGUACUACAAUAAUUUACCCAUUACAUAUAUUUAGUGAUUAUUUCACUUAAACAUUAAUGUACAAACUAUAUUUUGUAAAUGAUAGUUACACUUGGGAAAUUACACACUUUUACAACAAACGAACAUACAAAACAGUUAAGCCUUGGUAGAAUGCUACUUUAAUAGAAAAUAUAGGUUUUUCUGAGAGAUUCAAACUUUUACAAACACUUACAAACAUUUACAUACAUUUUACAAACUUAAACUUGAGACAUGUUCAAACCUUUUGAUAACAAACACUGACACUAAAAUACUUAUGAACUCACCAGCUUAAUGCUGAUAAACUCUUUCAAAAUAACUUGUAUUCUCAGGUCAUCAGUAGACAGGUACCGACGCCAGCUUUUGAGAAGAUGGAGCGCAUCCAAGACUCAUCUUAUUAUUUUGAUUUACAUUAUUUUUUUGGUGUCUAUAACUGUUCAGAACACGCUUGUAUUAAAAUUAUAUAUUUAAUGCAAUGGAUGAUGUUGUUUUCUUAUUUACUUUUACUGUGUUGUGAUACUUUACAUGACGUCCUCCGCCGCCGAACGUUUCCGCCGUUCUCGGUUUUGGGGUGUGACAGUGAGGCUCGAUGACUGUUCUGUAUGCUAUUUAUCUUUGUGAUUAUUGCAUGUGUAUGUGUUUAUUUGUUAUAUGAUUAUAUGUAUACCGGCCGGGGCCCAAUGUCGGGCAGGGCCCAUUAUGUGUUUAUUAUGUAUGGUAUGUGGUAUUUUGGGGAACUCACUAAGCUUUGUGCUUACAGUUUUCAGUUUAUGUUUCAGGUACUUCUGGUUCGAAGGGGAAGAGCCUGAGAGGAUUGUAGUGCACACACCUCCUUAUUCCGCUUUUUAUGUUUACUCUAUGUUUGUGAUGUAUUUUAUACACUUUAUUCCACCAUGGUUUUCAUGAUGAUGUUUUGGAUAGUAAUUUUAUUAAAUUAAAAACGAAAAUUUUUGGUCUUAAUUUUGGGACGUUUCAAGUUUGUAUCAAAGCCUUGGUUUGAGGGAUUCAGACGUACUCUCGAGUGUGUCUGGACUUAAACUGAGGGUUUGGUAGAAUUUUUUCAAAAAGAAAAGUUUUAUAAAAAGGAUUUCUACUAAAAAAAGUGUGUGGUGCCUACAAUCGACCGAGCUCAAGUUAGUUUUCCCAAAAUACCCAUGCAUGAUUUAUGAUAUGCUUUGAUUUAUGAAUAUGUGAAUCGCAUACUAGUUAGGGCUAAGGAUCUGCUCAGGAUUUUCAUGAUAGAAUGCUAGGAUGGAUACAUUAAUAUGCCUACUAUAUAAGCUUGUAGACUUGCAUGCUAAUACUGAUAUGUCAGUGAUAGGAUGGCCUGAUUAGGUUAUGCUUGAUCCCAAUUACUCAAGGCUUGAAUGCUGCUUGCUUUGUAAUUUUUAGGAGUUCUCACUAACUUCAGCUAACUAGUAAGCGAAUAUGCUAAGUUACAUAUUACAGAAACUAAAUAAUUUAAAAAGGUUAGGUUUUAACUCUAUUGCGCAACUCUUGUUUGAGUCCAACCGUUGUAGUGUGAGACCUUUCAUUCGAAGAAUUAUCUAGUGUCGGUGAUAUGUAAUUGUAUUCAUAAUCUAGUUAGAGGGUGCUGGUGGGAGUUCCUUCUGAAGCUGAUGGCAUAGAGUGGUGUGGUGUUUACCCUUGGAAAACUAAGGAAUAGAUUUAGUGUUGGGAGCCUUUCCUUGUGGAGGAUAAUUUGUGUGGGUAAGGAGUGACUUGGAGGAAUCAAAGCGAUCCUUGAGGAAAGUACAAAUAAAUAUGGAAGGUAGUAUGGGCCCGUACUACUAGAAAUAGAGGAUACAUUCUCGAGUCAUGGAGAACUGCGAUGAAACUAGGAAGCUUGUAGAGUAUGAGACUAAUCGAUAUAUAUAUAUAUAUAUANNNNNNNNNNNNUAUAUAUAUAUAUAUAUAUAUAUAUAUAUAUAUAUAUAUGCGUAUUCUGAUGGUUUAUAUGGUCUAUUUUUAGUAUGGUGACUCUUCGAGGUAGACCAAUUAGUGGUUCUGGUGUUGGUGAGGGUUCAGGCUCAGGUUCUGGAGCCGGAUAGUUGGAUAAUCAGACACGAGAGUUCAUUUCGUCUGAGAUUACCCGCAUGAUACUUGACAAAUUCUUGUGAUCUUUGGUACGAUCAAGGAUUGUAUCAUGGAGGUGUUGGAGGAGCGCUUGGGCUAUUUCCGUUCUGAGAUGGUGACUUUGAUUGGGACACGUUCAUUGACCUUCAGGGAGUUCCGAGCAUGUGGGACUUCGGAUUACUUUGGGUAGAAGGACACGAUCGCGAGAAGGUGCUAGUUAGUAGAUGUGGCUAAUGCUUUCUAUACUAGCAGUUGUCCCAAUGGGGCAAAGGUCAUAUUUGCUUCCUGUCUCCUGAAAGACAGAGCUCGAUACUGGUGGGAGGAGGUUGGGUGCUCCGUUGGUGAUGAGGCUGUUGAUUCGAUGACAUGGGAUGAUUUUACGACCAGAUUUUGAGCUGAUUUCACCCUAGUGAUUGAGGUGCAACAACUGGCGAGGGAGUUCCAGGACCUACACCAGAUUACUGAGACGGUGGUUGAGAUCACCGCGAUGUUUUGUGAGAGGGCGAUAUUGGUUCUGUAGUAUGUGGCAGAUGAUGAGAUAAAGAAGGCGAGAUAGCAUGAGAUGCUGAGGAGUGAUAUUCGGUAGUUUGUGAGCCGAUCCAGUUGUAGGAUACUGGAGGAUAUGAUUGCAAGAGCUAGAGAGAAGGAGAUUGAUAUUGAGAUGGAGAGGAAGAGGAAGCCAGAUCAAGCCAUGCAUGAGUGUAAAGUUGCUGACUUUAUGUGAUAAGUCCCCUUUUAGGAUCAUAUCUGAGAGUUUGGCUUGAGGUCUCAACCAAUUAAGUGCUUAAUGGAUUAGGUUGGCAAAAUGGGGAGUAUGAUGGGCGUACCCAGCUGGUACGCUGCACGUACUAGCCCUAGAUGUAGUACACGAAGCGUAUGAGCUAAGUACACCCCGUGUACUCAGUAGAUGGGCUUUUAGGGCUUGACGUCCUCGGUAUUGGGCCAUAGUUUGGGUUUGUAAGUUUGGUCCUGGUUGGGCCAUUACACUUCUGUUUCGGACUUAGGGCUAGCAUAUUGGGCUUCUGUGGAUUUAGGACCAUGAUGGGUUUUGGGCCCAAAUUUGAAGAUUAAGCCAUAUAUUGGGCUGUGGGUUGCUAUUUAGGAUUUGGGCCUUUUGAAUAGUUGAAUUGGGCCUUGGCUUUGGACCGAGUUAGAUAAAUGGUAAAAUGGUCUUUUACCCUGGUUAUGGGCCAAAUAACUUAGACUCUUGGUUAUGGGUCAUAAUCGAAUUAAUAAUUGGAUGAUUAUUUUGAUGAUGAUAGCAUGGGGAUUUCUGGACUAGAAGACAGAUAUUUAGUUGAGUGAUUUAGCAGCUUGAUGUGAGUUUCCUCACUGUGUUUAGCGGGUCGAAGGCACCAAUGCUGACCCAUGGUUUGUUAUGUUAGGGCGCUAGAUGUCUAUGUGACUAUUGCAUGUUUUAUGUGCUGGUAUCACUACAAGAAUACUCAGCUAUGCCGACGACAUCUAACCCGACGACAGAUGUCGUCGCUACAGGUCGCCCUAUCCUAACGACAUGUCGUCGCGAUAUCUUUUGGAAGCUUUGACGAAUUUCCUUUGACCGCGAUAUCUAUGCCGACGACAAGUCGUCGCCAUAAGUCUGGCGGGAACGUCAAAAAUAAUCGCGGUAAUCUCAAAAAUAAUCGCGGCCAUUUAACUAUGUAUAUGUAUGGUUGUGUUUAAUUUGUUUAGUUUAUUAGCUUAAGUGAAUAAAGUGAUCAAAUGUUUAAUUUUUAAGUUAAAAUGUUUGUCAUACUUUUUUAAGCUAAAAUAUUUAAACUAAUAAAAAUAUGUUUAUUGAGAUUAAAGUUUAUUAAGUCAAAAAUAUUUAAACUAUAAAAGUUAUUAAUAGCAACAUACUUUUUUUUUAUCUUGUUAAUUAAAGUAUUUUAUUUUCAUUUCUAUUUGAAAGUUAUAACAUAAAACAAAAUAAUAAAAUUUAUUAAAAGUAAUAUUAAAAGUAUUUUUUAUCUUGUUUAUGGUGCUAAAAAAACAAAAACAAAAAACAAAAUAAUAUUAAAAGUACAAUGCUGUAAUUGAAAAAAAUAAAAUGUAUAUAUACUAUAACAAACUAAUAAAAGUACAUUGCUAUAAAAUGUGUUUAGAAGUCUACCCUUGUGAAUACUCUAUCAAUUCCGUCCGAUUUCUUCUUCCAGGGUAUAUAUUUCUUUAUAUACUUGUCAAUAUCUAUCCAUUUCGUCUGUUUUUUUUCUCAAACAAAAAGUCAUACAAUUUAACUAUGUAUAUAAUGUUAUUUUUGAUGUUUAUAAUAUUUGUUAAACAGAUGACAGAAGUCGCGAGGGGACAUGGAGGAGACGAUGGGGAUAGACCACUACACGGGGUCGCACGCGGUGUACCAUCGGGUUGCCAAUCUUGUAAGUUACAUGAAAUUGAUAAGUAUUAGAUAUAUUAAAGUUUUAAAUUUCUAAAUUUUCAAUUCUAUAUGUAAAUGUAGCACAAGCGAAGAAUGUGAAUGUGAAUAAACGUGGCAAAGGGAGAAACUUAAAUUUGUACGACGAGUAUGAAAAUAACAAGUGUAAUCCUUUGGAUUUGCGAAUUGAUAUCUCCGGGCGAACGUACCGAUUUGUGGGGGACAACGGGCAAAUGUUUGUCAGACUGAUCUCAAAUCUGGUGGGAUCAAAGGUACCGUUGCAUUAUCAUACUUGGCGUCGUGUUCCUAUCAAAUUCAACGAUGAUUUAUAUCCCGAGCUAGAAGUAAGUAUACAAUAUAUUUUAUAUGUAUUGAAUUUUACACUUAUUAAAUAUUUUUUUACUAAUCACAUAUGUUUUUCAUUUUGUAGACUUAUUUUGAUCUAAAUAGGUACCGGGGCACAGACUUGUGGGAACCCCUUCGAGCGGGUAUCUAAGAAGACAUGCAAAGAGCUUAUCGAGACCGCAAGCAUGAUAUGAAAAAACAUUUUGAUAGAGUUGGUGGAUAUCAUGAUGUGGAAAGGGCAAGAAGAUGUCCACCGGCUGAUUGGUCUGCCGAAGCUUGGAACAAAAUGAUUGAUUUGUUAUUUUUGACCGAUGAAUACAGACUCACGUCGGACAAAAAUAAAAUUUGUAGGUCGAAACUUCCGCACACAAGUGCUCACGGAUGUAGACCCUAUGCUCAAUGACGUUAUUUAGAGGUAAUAAAAUAUUAUAUUAUUAGUUAAAAGUGUUAUUAACAUUUGUAUAAAUAUAUUUAUUGAUUUCACUUAUUAUAGGAAAAAAUGGGAAUGAAGCCGCAACAUAUUGAGGGUUGGAGACAAAUGCGCUACAAAGAAGGUUCGGGUUGGUGUACAAGUCGAGCACAAGAAGAUUGGGUAAGUGAUAAACGAAAUGAAUGUGUUGUUUAAAUAUAUUAUUAUUAUUAUUAAUUAUAGUUUUUUGUUUAAGGAAUAUUAUUAUUAUUUUAAUGUUUAAGUUUAGUUGUUUGUUUUAAUUAACAUAUGUUUAUUGUUUUCUUUAUUUUAGGAAAAAAUUCAAGAAGAAUAUGAGAAAAUGCAAAGCGAGGUUGGGGAAGACGGAAUAGUAGACGAGGAAGAAUGUUUAGAACAUGCCCUAAGGACGAGACGCGGGCAUGCUCGCGGGGUGGGUAGGAGACCAACCGCCAACUUCGGUUUAAUUCCAAAUGAACGACCUUCCACUUCAAAAUCGUCCCAAUCUCAACUCCAAUCUCAAUCCCAAUUUGAUGCACAACAAAUGCAAGAGUACUUGCAACAAUAUAAUACAUCAUUGGCGGCAUGCAUUCCGGGCUUCCAACCACCACCAUUUCCUAACUUUCUAUUCAACUCUAACACACAAGCAACUACCUCUCAACAAGUUGUCGAAAUGAUGGAAGAAGAAGAAGAAGAAGAAGAAGAAGGAGAAGAAGAAGAAGAAGAAGAAGGAUAUGAUUAUGAUAAUGAUGUUUGAUGUUUUUUUUAGUGUUUUGAACUAUGUUAUUAACUACUUGAAUUUGAUGUUUUGAAUUUGAACAAUGGUACUUAUGUAUUUCAAUUCAUAUAUGUUGGAAUGUGUUUUGGAUUUGUUAAAAAUGCAGGAAUGACAAUGUACUAAAUCUGUAAAAUUUGAAAAAAAAAGCAAACAGUGCCUAUCCCGACGACAAGUCGUCGAUAUAGGUAUGUCAUUGGCUCCUUUUAAAACCCUAUAGCGACGACUUGUCAUCGUAAUAGACAAAGCCUAUGGUGACAACAUGUCGUCGCUAUAGGUUUGCCGACGACAAGUCGUCGCUAUAGGUAAUUAAAAAAACUUUAUUUUUUAUCCCCGAAAAUAUGAUUGACAAAACCUAUCCCAACGACAAGUUGUCGCCAUAGGUGAAGCUAUCGUGACGACAUCUAUACCGACGACCCUAUUGACCUAUGUCGACGGCUCUAUGCCGACGACAUAUUGUCGGCAUACCCUAUAGCGACGACAUGUCGUCGGGAUAGAGUCUGAAUUCGUCGUCGCCAUAGGGUGUUAAUGUUGUAGUGUAUGCUUGCCGGGUGGGGCCGAUGCUAGGCGAGGCCCGAUGAAUGUUCUGUAUGCUUUUUAUCUUUGUGAUUAUUGUAUGUGUAUAUGUUUAUUUGUUAUAUGAUUAUAUGUAUACCGGCCGGGGCCUAAUGUCGGGCGGGGCCCAUUAUGUGUUUAUUAUGUAUGGUAUGUGGUAUUUUAGGGAACUCACUAAACUUUGUGCUUAAGGUUUUCAGUUUAUGUUUCAGGUACUUCUGGUUCAAAGGGGAAGAGCUUGAGAAGAUUGCAGUGCACACACCACCAAAGGUAAAUUGUAAAAAAAAAAAUAAUAAUAAGAAAAGAGUUUUAAGGACAAUCGUGUGAAUUUGAGUAGAAAGGGAAAUCGUUAUGGUAUUUCAAAAAUCCAACACCUUUUUCUUUAAUUUUUUUUAUAACUGUAGACGAUUGGUGGCGGGGUACAAGGAGUCAUAAAGGAGUGUCACCAUUAUUAAUCAACGAAGAUUCUCACUAUUAACAGCAGAGGUGUCGGGUGUGAGGUAAAACGAGAAUGGAUCAAAACUCUUAGAAUUAAAAACUGUAUAUCGCUACUUGGAAUCCAAGAAAUAAAAACCUCAGAAUUUAAGGGCAAAUUAGAUAAGGCAAUCUGGGGCUCGUCAACAUUCUUGUGCAAAACAGUCGACUCGAUCGGACUGUCAGGGGGAAUAGCCUCACUAUGGGACCCAUCAACAUUUAAAUGCUCUGUAACUAUAAAAGGGGAAAACUUCUUAGCAAUGAAAGGAACUUGGGUUGCUUCGAAUUUAGCAUAUGGGUUUAUAAACGUUUAUGCUCCAAAUGACCCAUCUCGAAGGAAAACGCUAUGGUCAAAUCUGGAAAGUGUCAUAUGCUCAGACGAUAAUAUUCGAUGGGUGGUGUUCGGAGACUUCAACGCAGUCAGAUCAGCGGACAAGAGAAUUGGGUCCAUAUUUUGCUCUUCCACUGCAUAUCACUUCAAUAAAUUCAUCGCUUCUGCGGGUUUAAUUGAUCUACCUAUCGGUGGCCGCAAGUUCACGUAUAUGAGUCCAGACUACUCCAAACAUAGCAAACUUGACCGCUUCCUAAUCUCGCAUAAUUGCUCUGCUGAUUGGCCGCACCUGACAGUUACGACCCUACCGAGACUACAUUAUGAUCAUUGUCCAUUAAUCCUCUCAUCAUCUGUUAGUGACUUUGGGGCACCCCCAUUCAGAUUCUUCAAUUCCUGGCUACUAGAGGAUGAGCUGGAAGGAGUUGUUAAACAAGGCUGGGUAUGUAACAUAGCUCCAGGAACCUUUGCUUCCUUCUCCCCUAUACAAGUGGUGGCUGGCAAACUAAAAAAUACCAAAGAGAAAAUCAAGGAAUGGAGAAAAUCCAAAAAUGUGAAGGAACAAAAAAGAGUGGAAGAGUUAACAAAGGAAAUCGAUUCAAUCGAUCUUAAUGCAGAAUCGCACUCCCCAGAUGAAUCGAAGCUAGAACUCCGAAAGAAUCUACACAGAGAAUUGAUGGAUCUUGAGGCCAAACGCAUACUCGACCUUAAGCAGAAAUCCCGAUGUAAAUGGGCACUGGAAGGUGAUGAAAACUUUGCUUUUUUCCAUGGUCUGAUCAAUAAAAAUUAUCGAUUUCAAAAAUUAUCUGGCAUCAACAUCAAUGGUUUCUGGACAUCCAAUCCAGAAUCAAUCAAAAAAGACGCGUUUGAAUGCUUCUCCAAAAAGUUCACUGAACAAAUCAGCAUCAGACCCCAAUUCCCCAGCCAAAAAUUCAACAAACUCAGCCCCAUUCAAACUCAAAACUUAGAAGACCCAAUUACAACGGCGGAAAUCAAAGCAGCGGUGUGGCUAUGCGGAAAUGACAGGCCCUGGACCAGAUGGCUUCACCUUUGCUUUCAUUAAAAAACACUGGGACAUGAUGGAGAGCGAUAUAUACCUAGCAAUCAAAGAUUUCGAAUCUACAUGUGUAAUUGAUAGGGGAUGUAACUUCUCCUUCAUCAUCCUUGUCCCCAAAACAUCCGACCCGAUUUCCCUCUGUGAAUACCGCCUGAUCAGUCUAAUUGGAUGUAUAUACAAGAUCAUAGACAAAGUCUUUGCGGAAAGGCUAAAAAGAUGUAUCCCUCAAGUCGUGAGCCAUACCCAAACGGCUUUCAUCAAAGACCGCAACAUUCUUGAUGGUCCAUUGAUUAUAAACGAAGUGAUAUCUUGGCUUCGGAAGAACAAAUCGAAGGCGUUCCUUUUCAAGGUUGAUUUCGAGAAGGCAUUCGAUUGCCUCAAUUGGAAAUAUCUCGAUUCGGUAAUGGCUCAAAUGAACUUUGGCUAGAAGUGGCGUAAGUGGAUCUUCGGCUGUCUCUCCUCGGCUCGUGCUUCUGUAAUCAUUAACGGAUCCGCCUACAAAGAAUUUCCACUUAGGCGAGGAGUAAGACAGGGCGACCCCUUGUCUCCAUUUCUGUUCAUUUUGGCUGCAGAGGGCCUUAACAUUGCGCUGGAAGAGGCCAAAGAGCAGGGCAUCUUCCAUGGGGUUCAAUUGCCAAACAAUGGGCCUACCAUAUCACAUCUUCAAUACGCUGACGACGCGAUCUUCCUCGGCUCCUGGUCAGUACAAAACGCAAAAAAUUUAGUUAGAAUUUUGAGAUGCUUUGAAUUAUCCUCAGGUCUGAAAGUCAACAUGGCCAAAAGCAAACUCUUUGGCAUUGGAGUCAGUGAGGUGGAACUAGACUGGUUAUCAAGAAGCAUUAAUUGCUCAAUCGGGAACCUCCCCUUCAUAUAUCUAGGAAUGCCGGUGGGUGCAAGUAUGUCUAGAUUGGUUCAUUGGAACUCCCUUAUAUCCAAAUUCCAAGAAAAAUUAUCAAAAUGGAAAGCCAAAAAGUUGUCGUAUGGGGGUCGAUUAACAUUAUGCAAAUCAGUGUUGGGGAGCCUCAGCUCAUUCCUCUUCUCGCUCUACAAAGCUCCGGUUAAGGUACUAAAAACACUUGAGAAGUUGAGAUGCCGCUUCUUCUGGGGCGGGUCAUUCGAGAAAAAAAGGGUAUCAUGGAUCGCAUGGGAUAAAAUUUUGCCAAAGAAAAAAGACGGGGGACUUGACAUUGGCAGCCUGAAGGCUCACAACCUAGCACUAUUAGGUAAAUGGUGGUGGCGUUUCUCUUCCAGCAAACACGAACUUUGGAAAGAUGUCAUAAAAUCAAUAUAUGGGAAUGAUGGGGGAUUUAAUGCCCCUUCCAGAGCUAAGAGGAAAGGAUACUGUUGGAGUAGCAUUGUGAAUCUUCAUAACUACUUGUCCAAAGAUAACCUGAAUCUUCGUAAUCUCUUCUCAAGAUCGAUAGCCCGGCUAGACAACAACAUGACCUGGAGCCUCGAACCCUCGGGGAUAUAUACUGUGGCCUCUCUUAGGAGAUUCAUUGAUGAAACAAUAUUGCCAAAAACACCAUCUGGUGCUUGGGAAUGGAACAACCUGGUCCCUGGUAAAGUGAAUAUCCUAGCAUGGCGAGUUUGUCAUAGUCGGCUACCCACCAGAGUGAAUCUAAGCAAAAUGAGUAUUGUAUCUGUGACUACCUGCCCACUAUGUAAUAUUGCUGAGGAAUCCGAAUCACAUUUAUUAACUGAAUGCUCAAUCUCACAAGAAGUUUGGAGUUGUGUGCAGAAAUGGUGGUAUAUGUUCCCAUUAACUUUCAGUUCACUGAAUGAAAUGCUUCAUUGCAGGAACCUAGCGCCGGGCAGGGGUAACUUGGAUCAAAUUCAGGAAGCAGUUAUGUUGAUAUACAUGUGGGUGAUCUGGAAGUUCAGAAACGAUAGAAUCCACUCAAACAUAGUCAAAUCACAUAAAAUUCUGGCAAACGAAGUACAAAUACUAAGCCAUUUGUGGAUCAACUCAAGAAGCAAACAUAAAAAAACUAGAUGGGAGAAUUGGCGUUGUGAUCCGAUAGCUGAGUGUAAUAGUUGAGACAGGGGGGGGCAUGGGUCCUGGGUGUGGGUUCAUUGGGUUCUUAUCGGUGAAUUUGGGGUCCUUGGUGAUGUACCUAAUUACAGCCAGCGUGCGUUUGGUGUGAGUCUCUUUCAUCGGGUAGACAUACGUUAGGAAUCGGCUGUGAUUAAGUUCUUUUUCGUGGUGUUUGCCUUUCGUGUGAAAUCUGGGUUGUGGGUUGGGGGACACUAUAAUAAUUCUUGGUGUGCGUUUUUUUUCUCUCCUUUUUUCUGGUGUUACUUCUUACUCUGCAGGUGCUGAAGAACAUUGGAGCUUGAACUCGAUUAAAGACAACACAUGUGUCGCUGAGUGAAGCCGGCAAAGUCGACAUGGAUCAUGCUUCUAUUGCAUGUAAAAGGCAAAAGCUAAGCUGGCAUCUAUGGUUCUGGAUGGUUUCUGGAUAAUUUGGACAAAUUUGCCCCUGUCUAAAAAAUGGCUGAUAUGGAGAGAUCUACAAUACAUUUGACUUGGAUUCUGAUGUAGCUGAUGGACUAAUCUGAAGUGGUAGAGCAGCUUUAUCAAGUAAUCAAUCUAUCGCCCCAAAUAGACAAAGCAGUGGAAUAAAGAUGGAUAUGGAACUUGAGGAAGAUGCUACAAUCGUAAUUGAAUGAUAUGGCUCAGGGAUCAAAAUCAAAUUCAAAAUCUCAAUCGAUGUUGGUAGCUGAGAUACAAGCUCUGUCCCAUCUAUGGUUAAAUGCAUGGAAGAGGAAAGGAAAAAAUCUAAAUUGGCUCGAUUGGUGUUUUGACCCAAUAUUAGAAUGCUAUCGUAAGUUGUAGGUUUCUUGUAUCUCUGUUUCCUGUUCUGUCUUUGUUUUAUUUCCUUUUUGUUUGUCAAACUUUUGUAAUCUCUAGCCCCUGGCUAGUUUUUCUUCUUUAAUAUCAUGCCUGCCGUUCAAAAAAAAAAGUUAGGUUUCAAUCAAUUCUGUUUGUCAAUAUUAAAUAUUUUCAAUCUACUACACAUUCAAUUAUUAGGACUUAUCUUCUAUUUCUAAUACCGAUUGUCAAAUGUCAACUAUUUCUUAUUCAGAUAUGAGGUUUUGAUGAAAUCAUACCUGAUCUCAAUCUAUCACUGGUGGGGUCUCUCUACUCAAUUUAAGUUGGUUUUGUUUUUAGGUAACUUUUGGUUUUGCGUUUUGACGAUGGUAUAUUAUGAUUAAUUUUUUGAAUAAUCCGAUUCUGUUCACAAUUUUUUCUCAGCUCAGGCUUCACAUACCCUCCAGGUUGACGUGAGUUCGGUCGUGGGCAAAUCAGACAUUUCAGGUGCAACUGCAACAGACGAAGAGGCAAAGGAAAUGGAUGAAAUUCCUGUUGAGGUACGUCACCUUCCCCAUAGGUAUAGCUUCUGAAUCACAAACCGUAAAAAAGUGUAAAUGGUUCAUUGCAUUUUUCCAUUAUCCAUGCAUAUAAAGUGAACAUUAGAGACAUAAAGAAAGAAAGUGUUAGGUGCAUGUUGGUGACAGAAAACAAUUUUUAUUGGAAAAUUAUAAUUGAAAACUCUACUUAUGAAAAGUGGUUUGUUAGAGUGGCAGUUUCUAAUUGUGAAUGACUUUUAUUAAUUUACUAUUUUUUAAUAUUUUGUAUGUUGGUCUAAUAAAUAAACAUGGAGAAGAUCAUAUGAAUUCAAUCCAACCUUGGAAGUUUCAUGUAUACAUAGGCAAUGUUGGUGUAUAAAGAUUAAAAGACCUUUCUAGUAAUGGAAAAUAGGUUAAACGGCCUUUGUGGUAAAGUAUAAAGAGCAUUGAAACUGGAUACCACUCCAAAGAUAUGGAAUGUAAUGGCCAAAAAAACCGGUCUUUAUGAAGAAAAGUUUUGGCUUAUGGGAGGUCCGAUGGUUGGCAGGUUCUUCAUUAGAGAAACAAUAUGUCAUACGUGUCGUACCUUAGUACCAAACAAAUUGGUAAGAAGUUUGAAAUCUUUGUGGAAUCUACCCAAUUCUAGCACUGUACUUUCGUUUUUUCUUUAUUAGGCCAUUAUACAUUGAAAAAUAUACUCAAUAACAACAUUCUAAAUUGCUUUGUGGUUGCAUGUCAUUACUAUAUUUGGUUAGAUUCUUCGACGUACAAUGUCUUCUUGUUUUGGCCUUUUGGGGUCAUACAUAUCACAUGUUGUGCUUUUACUUUGUUUGAGUGAAACAAAGAUCUAUCAACAAAAUGCUUUACAAUGGAAUACCCUCCAACCCAUGCGACGCGGGGAUCCUUCCCUAGUUCUAAAGUAAAAGACACGCUGGAGUGAAAUUUCUAUUAGCAUUUAUCAGAAAACAAAAGUAAAUAUGCCUAAUAAUCAAGUUAAGAUAUAUUAUUACGUUGUUAAAUACAACAAUUAAUAACAUAUAAUACCACAUGGAUUCUUUUUGUAAUCCUAGCGCCUUUUUAAAUUUGGGGUUACAACAAAUUAUAUUGUUCUAAAAAAAAGGAUUAAUGUCAUGACAGAUAGAUACAAUUAAAAAGUGUAACAUACACCUUUGUGGGAAAUAUUGAAACGUUAAAAGCACGGCUUGUGGAAAGAUAUGACAUUUCUCAAAUUUACUUUUCAAGCACGUGAAAAAUAAAAACAAGAGAAAAAAGUAGCUCAAGUAUAAAUUAGGACAUGCAAACCAUUCAUUAAUUUUCAUUUUUUUAUUAAAAGCAACAUGGGAAAGCAGAAAUUGUCUUAUUCAACAUUCUUAUUUUUCUCUCUAACUCUAAUAAUCAUCACACUCUCCAUCAAACCAAAUUUUGGUUCUGCUUCUUUGGAGGAAGCCAAUGCUUUUCUUAAAUGGAAAGCAAGCCUUGAAAUCCCAAAAAACUCCAUGCUCUCUUCAUGGAUUCCCCUCCCUUUGAACUCGAGUGCAUCGGCUCCAUGCACUUCUUGGUUUGGAGUAGUUUGCAAUGCUGAUGGGAGCAUUCACAGGUUGAACCUCAGUUCAUCAGGCUUAAAAGGUACACUCCACCAAUUUGGAAAUUUAACUCAACUACAAAGGCUUGAUUUGUCUUCGAAUCGUUUGGUUGGUGAGAUCCCAAAGGAGUUUGGGAAGAUGAAAAAUAUGUUGGAAUUGUACUUGGCAGGUAACCAUCUUUCAGGUGUUAUACCUGUAGAGCUUGGAUUUUGUGAACUCCUUGAAGUACUCGAUCUAUCCAAAAAUAGAUUGAAUGGGUCGAUUCCAACAAGUAUCGGACAAUGGGCACAAAUCCACUUCUUGAAUCUUAGUAAUAACAAGCUCAGUGACAAAAUUCCAUCCGAGAUUAGUAACUUAGUUCAUCUUACGGAACUUGAUUUAUCUCAUAACUUUCUCACGAAAGAGAUACCAUCUGGAGUUCAAAGCUUGCAGAGUUUGCAAAAAUUGGAUCUUUCUCAUAAUAGACUAUCCGGUUCUAUUCCAGAGGCUUUUACAAGUUUGCCUAGGGGGAUUGAUAUCAACCUUUCUUUCAAUAAUCUCUCAGGUCCAGUCCCCCCUUAUGCCAGCUUUGUGAAUGCCUCCAUAGAAAGAAAUCCAGAUUUGUGUGGGAAUAUUACGGGAGUGAAACUUUGUCCAACUCAGAUUAUGAAGAAGAAAAAUGAUCCCUUUCAUCAUAAGCUUAUACUUGUAAUUAUGAUCCCACUUAUCGGGGGUAUUUUACUUGGUGUAUUUACGUAUGGCCUCAUUUCUUAUCAACAACAAAAGAAAAAGUCUCCACAAAAACCAUUGGACGAAAAAAGUGGUGAUUAUUUCUCUACUGCAACUUUUGAUGGAAAAGUGGUGUAUGUUGAUAUCUUAAAGGCAACAAAUGACUUCGAUGAAGCCUAUUGCAUUGGGACCGGAGGAUAUGGGACUGUGUACAAAGCCAAGCUACAACCUAACAAUGUGGUAGCUGUCAAGAAACUUCACUCAUCAUCUGAGAAAGUUGAUCAUAAUGGAUUCAUUAAUGAGGUGCGAGCAUUAACGAACAUAAGGCAUCGAAACAUAGUGAAACUCUAUGGAUAUUGCUCCCAUGUACGCCACUCAUUUUUGAUUUACGAAUACCUUGAAAACGGGAGCCUUGGAUCAAUCUUAAGAAGUGAUACCUUCAUAAAAGAAUUGGAUUGGUUGAAAAGGGUCGAUAUUGUAAAGGGCGUGGCAAAUGGUUUGGCUUAUAUGCAUCAUGACUGCUCACCACCUAUAAUUCAUAGGGACAUUUCCAUUGCUAACAUCCUUCUUGAUUCUGAUUAUGAGGCACAUAUUUCUGAUUUUGGCACAUCCAAGCUUUUGAAGCUAGACUCAUCCAACUGGACCACAAUUACAGGCACCUAUGGUUAUAUCGCACCAGGUAAAACAAUCUUGUGAUCGUAGUUCUACAUCUUCUUAAGUUUCAUGAUAUAUAUAAAGAUGUAUAUGAACAUAUAUGUAUCUAUGUUAGAAUCUUUUGGGAUUGUUAUAACUUUUUUUUUGUUUUUGUCUCGUGUUUCUUUGGAUAUAGAACUUGCUUAUACGAUGGUAGCAACCGAGAAAUGUGAUGUGUAUAGCUUUGGAGUUGUUGCACUAGAAGUGGUCAUGGGAAAGCAUCCUGGAGACCUGAUAACAUCUUUACCAACAUUGUCUGUAGAUUAUUUGGUACCAAAAAAUGUGGGAGAUAGUCGGAUACCUCCUCCCUCAUCUCAAGUUGAGAAACAACUUGAGUUGGUUUUGAGUCUCUCAAGAGCAUGUUUGAGCUCCAAUCCACAUGAAAGACCAACAAUGCAACAAGUUUCAAAUAUGUUAAUGAAGGAUCUGCUUUGAAUUGACAUCUCUUGCUUGAUUUAGGCUACUUUAAGUGUUCAUUAUUUUUUGCAAGUUCCGUAUAAUGCAUCAUUUCCAUAUGUAUUCAUUUGAAUGACUUUUUGUUAAGAAACUUCACAUAUGUUUGUAGUAGUAAAGAAAUAGGUCAAUGAAGAUUACUAUACAUCUAAAAACACACUAUUGGAAACCAAGGACAACUUCAUACACACAUGCCACUCGGUUAGUAUUACUAUACAAUUUUAUUCUCGCACAACAUGUGGGUACAUGCCUGGUUAAUAUGAUAUAUGGGCCACAACUCGGGUCGUACAUCAUGUUAAUGGUCAUAUAUGUCAUUCAAAUAUACAAAAUAUAUUUUAGAUUAUAUGAUGAGCCAUUAAAGUUAAUGGUCAUAUAUGUCAAUGGAGAAUUUUAUCAAACACAUGGUAUUAUGGAUGAGAUGUGUCUUUAUAAAGAUGGAAAAUUUUAAAUAUUAAGAAAAAAUUUCAGAUAUCAAAGCAAUUUAAAGAGUCUGGAUCAUUUUUGACUCACUCCAUUCCGAGCAUGCUUUUGAGCUAUUGAACUCCAAAUUUAACAGCCUAAAAUAUUUAUACAAGAUAACUAACUAAAUAUUUCAACUAAAACAUACAUGAUUUCAGUUAUUGGAGGAUGUGUUAGAACUUGGGAAUUUAAAGUCUCUCACGGAUCUUGCGUUGCACAACAAUCAACUUAGUGGUAUUCCUUCAUCAUUGGGUGAUUUGACAUCUUUGAAUGUCCUUUAUUUGUACAACAAUCAACUCUCUGGUCCCAUUCCUAUUGAACUUGGGAAUUUGAAGUCUCUAACUCAUCUUGAAGUGAGUGCCAAUCAGCUUAGUGGUUCUAUUCCUUCAUCACUAGCAAAUUUGAGCAACGUACAAUGGCUGACCCUCAGUGAUAAUAAAUUAUCUGGUCCCAUUCCUAGUGAACUUGGGAAGUUGAAGUCUCUCACUGAUCUUUUGGUGUAUGGAAAUCAGCUUAGUGGUUUUAUUCCUUCAUCAUUUGGUGAUUUGACAUCUUUAAAUCACCUUUAUAUGCAUCACAAUCAGCUUGCUGGUCCCAUUCCUAGUGAACUUGCCAAGUUGAAGUAUCUCACUGAUUUUCAGGUGAACAACAAUCAAAUUAGUGGUUAUAUUCCUCCAGAGUUUGGAAAUUUAACUAAAUUACAUAGACUUAAUCUGUCUUCGAAUAAUUUGGUUGGUGAGAUCCCAAAGGAGUUUGGGAAUAUGAAAAAUAUGUUGGAAUUGUAGUUGGCAGGUAACCAUCUUUUAGGUGUUAUACCUGUAGAGCUUGGAUUUUGUGAACUCCUUGAAGUACUCGAUCUAUCCAAAAAUAGAUUGAAUGGGUCGAUUCCAUCAAGUAUCGGACAAUGGGCACAAAUCCACUUCUUGAAUCUUAGUAAUAACAAGCUCAGUGACAAAAUUCCAUCUGAGAUUAGUACAUUAGUUCAUCUUACGGAACUUGAUUUAUCUCAUAACUUUCUCACGAAAGAGAUACCAUCUGGAGUUCAAAGCUUGCAGCGUUUGCAAAAAUUGGAUCUUUCUCAUAAUAGACUAUCCGGUUCUAUUCCAGAUGCUUUUAAAAGUUUUCCUAGCGGGAUUGAUAUCAACCUUUCUUUCAAUAAUCUCUCAGGUCCAGUCCCCCCUUAUGCCAACUUUGUGAAUGCGUCCAUAGAAAGAAAUCCAGAUUUGUGUGGGAAUAUUACGAGAGUGAAACUUUGUCCAACUCAGAUUAUGAAGAAGAAAAAUGAUCCCUUUCAUCAUAAGCUUAUCCUUGUAAUUAUGAUCCCCCUUAUCAGGGCUAUUUUACUUGGUGUAUUCACGUAUGGUCUCGUUUCUUAUCAACAACAAAAGAAAAAGUCUCCACAAAAACCAUUGGAUGAAGAAAGUGGUGAUUAUUUCUCUACUACAACUUUUGAUGGAAAAGUGGUGUAUGUUGAUAUCUUGAAGGCAACAAAUGACUUCGAUGAAGCCUAUUGCAUUGGGACCGGAGGAUAUGGGACUGUGUACAAAGUCGAGCUACAACCUAACAAUGUGGUAGCUGUCAAGAAACUUCACUCAUCAUCUGAGAAAGUUGAUCAUAAUGGAUUCAUUAAUGAGGUGCGAGCAUUAACGAACAUAAGGCAUCGAAACAUAGUGAAACUCUAUGGAUAUUGCUCCCAUGUACGCCACUCAUUUUUGAUUUACGGUACCUUGAAAACGGGAGCCUUGGAUCAAUCUUAAGAAGUGAUACCUUCAUAAAAGAAUUGAAUUGGUUGAAAAGGGUCAAUAUUGUAAAGGGCGUGGCUAAUGGUUUGGCUUAUAUGCAUCAUGACUGCUCACCACCUAUAAUUCAUAGAGAUAUUUCCAUUGCUAACAUCCUUCUUGAUUCUGAUUAUGAGGCACAUAUUUCUGAUUUUGGCACAUCCAAGCUUUUAAAGCUAGACUCAUCCAACUGGACCACAAUUACAGGCACCUAUGGUUAUAUCGCACCAGGUAAAACAAUCUUGUGAUCUUAGUUCUGCAUCUUCUUAAGUUUCAUGAUAUAUAUAAAGAUGUAUAUGAACAUAUAUGUAUCUAUGUUAGAAUCUUUUGGGAUUGUUAUAACUUUUUUUUUGUUUUUGUCUCGUGUUUCUUUGGAUAUAGAACUUGCUUAUACGAUGGUGGCAACCGAGAAAUGUGAUGUGUAUAGCUUUGGAGUUGUUGCACUAGAAGUGGUCAUGGGAAAGCAUCCUGGAGACCUGAUAACAUCUUUACCAACAUUGUCUGUAGAUUAUUUGGUACCAAAAAAUGUGGGAGAUAGUCGGAUACCUCCUCCCUCAUCUCAAGUUGAGAAACAACUUGAGUUGGUUUUGAGUCUCUCAAGAGCAUGUUUGAACUCCAAUCCACAUGAAAGACCAACAAUGCAACAAGUUUCAAAUAUGUUAAUGAAGGAUCUGCUUUGAAUUGACAUCUCUUGCUUGAUAUAGGCUACUUUAAGUGUCCAUUAUUUUUCGCAAGUUCCGUAUAAUGCACCGUUUCCAUAUGUACUCAUUUGAAUGGCUUUUUGUGAAGAAACUUCACAUUUGUUUGUAGUAGUAAAGAAAUAGGUCAAUGAAGAUUACUAUACAUCUAAAAACACACUACUGGAAACCAAGGACAAUGCCAUACACACAUGCCACUUGGUUAGUAUUACUAUACAAUUUUAUUCUCGCACAACAUGUGGGUACAUGUCUGGUUAAUAUGAUAUAUGGGCCACAACUUGGGUCGUACAUCAUGUUAAUGGUCAUAUAUGUCAUUCAAAUAUACAAAAUAUAUUUUAGAUUAUAUGAUGAGCCAUUAAAGUUAAUGGUCAUAUAUGUUAAUGGAGAAUUUUAUCAAACACAUGGUAUUAUGGAUGAGAUGUGUCUUUAUAAAGAUGGAAAAUUUUAAAUAUUAAGAAAAAAUUUCAAAUAUCAAAGCAAUUUAAAGAGUCUGGAACAUUUUUGACUCACACUCCAUUCCGAGCAUGCUUUUGAGCUAUUGAACUCCAAAUUUGACAGCCAAAAAUAUUUACACAAGAUAACUAACUAAAUAGUUCAACUAAAACAUACAUGAUUUCAGUUAUUGGUAUGCAUUUCACUUCACUUUGAUUUAAAACAUGACUAGAAUAGUUCAUGUGGAUGAGUUUUGUAUAACAUGGAUAUAACAUUAAUUUCAGUUUCCUGGUUUAUGUCUUACCUCCCCUUCAUUUCAUUUCAACAUGAUAUAUAUGGCAUGAGAUGGAUGUAAUUUUAAAUGAUUUUAUGUUCGUUUCACAAAUUAAUUAAAGUUUUGACCAACUAAUUUAGCACCUCAAAAAUGUAACAUCCAUCUUCUAUUGAAGAUACAGAGCAUGAAGGGAAGAAAAAGUUGAAUGUAAAUCUUAGUCAAUCCACAAACCUCUGAUUCAAUCCUCCCAAAAUUAAUAGCUCUGAAUCUAGAAACAAUACUUUGAAUUCCGGCGUUAGAACUAAAACUUUUGCAAGACUUUUCCGAUUCAAAAGACACCCAUACCCACAAAUCACCAACAUAUCUAAUCUUUAAGCUCGAAAAUCCUUCUUCAUGACAUAAUUUUAAAAGAUUAGGAAUAGAUACUGCAUCUCUCACCUCAGCAAAGACUUCCCUUUAUCAGUAAAAGAUGGUCUCUUUUCCUGCUCCCUUUUUUUCUUUGCUGAAUUGGAAUGGAAUGGUUAAAGAUAACCCCUUCUUUUCUUCUAAACCGAGCAAUUUACCAAACCAAAUAUCACAUAACUUCUUCUCCAGUUCUUGAUUAUCUCUGAACUGAAUGAAGCGAACAAACCCGAACCUUCUCCCCAUCUUGGAUCGUUUCUGAGCAAUGUAAAUGUCAACCACCGUUCCUAUCUUCGCACAUCUGUUUUUAAGAUGUUGGCAUCUGUUUGGGGCACUAUUGUUGUUGUAUUCUCUGAUGAUGAUAAGUCCAAUUGUAUUUCAUUAGGGAAGGUUUGCGUUAGGAUAGGGGUGAUGUCAUUUAUUCAGGAGACAAUUAUUGAGGUGAUUGAUCGAAAGGAAUUCUUGGUUCAUAUCAAGGUAACGCCUUUAAUGAGUUCAUUUAUGAAGCGAGUUUGGUGGAUAUUCCUAUGGGCAGAAUUUAGGAAGUUUACUCGAGCUGAUCAAGGUGACAAUAAAAUGAGUCGUCUAGAUAGAUUUUUGGUUUCUGAAAGCUUCAUCGACGUGUUUCCUGAUCUACAUUGCUUGGCUAAAGAGAGACGUUGGUCUGAUCAUUGUCCGAUUCUUUCAUUGGAGGAUGUGUUAGAAUAUGGUCCAAUUUCCUUCGAACUUUUUAAUUCUUGGAUUAUGAUGGAUGGUUUUGUCGGAGAUUGUUCACUUAGCGUGUGAUGAGUUUAUUUCAGAUUUUAGUUGGAGUAGGUUUGUUCAUCUGAAAAAUAAACUUAAAUUUGUUAAAAGCAGAAUUAAGGAGUGACAGUUGCUGAUGUGGGCAUCUAAAGAGGAGAUCCGGGUCUUACAUGUUGCCUCACGUUACCAAAUUGCUGAUAUCUUCACCAAAGGACUUCCAUGAGCUCUAUUUUCUGAUUUUAGAUUCGGUCUAAGCAUCUAUGAUCCUCCUCCUUAGACUGAGGGGUUAUAUUAGACUAGAAAAUCAAUUAUGUAAACUAUGUGGUAGCAAUGUGUAAAUAUUGUAUCUAUAUAUAUUUUCCACUGUAAUACAAGGAAGUGAUUUUUGGCCAUAUCCUAUUAGGGUGUGUACAAUUUUUUUGGGCAGAACUAACAAAUGUUUGGAAACCAUUUAUUUUCUGUAAAUAUUCUUUGUUUUCAAGUACUCUAUGAAAUCACAACACCACACUAUGAACAACCCAUACAGUUGAUGUGGCAUUAAAUUCGAAAAACAAAAAAAAAAAAAACAUUUAGGCAUUUCAUCACACAGUUAAUAUUCAUUGAACUUGCAUGUACAAAUGAUCGUAAACUGUUACUAUUCAUUAAACUCACAUUUGGUUGGAUUCAAAUGAUUUGGUUACUAUUCAUUAAGCUAGAUGUAUUUAGUAGUAUUUAUUAGGAUUAAUUUAAUGGUUAAAAGUGGGUCAAUAGUUGUGUCGUUUGGAAAGUAACUGUCACAUGACAGUUACCAAAACUGUGUAUAAAUAUGUAUGUGGAUUUCGACUGAUCAAUAAAAAAAGUUCAUAUUCUCUUAUUAUACCAAAAAGUCUUCUUCCUUUUUUUUCAUUUAACAUUUGCAGAGAAUACUUCUUGCACUUCUUUAAUUUAAUAUUCAUAUGACCCACUUUUAACCAUUAAAUUAAUCCUAAUAAAUACUACUAAACACGUCUAGCUUAAUAUUCAAACUCGGUCUGAAAGUAGAAUUGUUGGGUGCCUUAUAUGGUCUCUUUGGAAAACACGCAAUUCCGGAGUUUUUAAUCAUCAAGAUAAAACUGGUGCAUUGAUCGAUCCUGUUUCUUCCUUACUGCAUUCUUACAUGCUGUGAGAUGGCUUUCUCCUAUUUGGUUCAAGUUUUGACCAUUUUGCCCCUAGUGUUGGUUUCGCUUUCUCUUUAUCUUCACUAAUAUGUGAAGAUAAGGACCCUAGGAGAGAGAAUUGAUUCAAGAAAUAUGAUGUGCAGAUUAAUUCUAAAGAUUUGUCUGAACUAAUCAGUUGUGGAAAUAUGAGAAAAAAACAAUAAUAAAGUUGUAUUUCACUUUUUAUUUAAUUAUCUUCAUUUUUAAGUGUAUGUGAAAAGGAAUUAACAGAUUGCAGGGAACAAUAAGAACCAUUAGUUUUUAUUAAAUUAUCUUCAUAUUUAUAUUCUUUAGUUUACGGUUUUCCCUCAUUCACACAUUAUGUGGACACACCAUGUCUAUUUGUUGUUUAGAUUCUUUUAAAGGACCCUUAUGUUAUGUCCCUAUCUCUAUUGACCCAUUCACACACUUUUCACGUCUUAAUUAGUUACAGAACUAAUUCUGAAGUAAAAGACGCUUAGAGUGAAAUUUCUAUUAGCAUUUAUCACAAAAACAAAAAAUAAAUAUCUCUAAAUAAUCAAGUUAAGUUAUAUUAUUACAUUGUUAAAUCCAACACUUAAUAACAUAUAAUACCACAUGGAUUCUUUUUGUAAUCCUAGCGUGGGUUACAACAAAAUAUAUUGUUCUAAAAAAAGGAUUAAUGUCAUGACAGAUAGAUACAAAGUGUAAUACACACCUUUGUGGAAAAUUUUGACACGUUAAAAGACACAGCCUUGUGGAAAAAUAUGACAUUUCAUAAAUUUCCUUUACAAGUACAUUAAAAAUAAAACAAGAAAAAGGUAGCUCAAGUAUAAAUUAGGACAUGCAACCCAUUCAUUUUUUUUUUAUUAAAAGCAACAUGGCAAAGAAAAUAAUGUCUUCUUCAAAUUUAUUAUUUUUCUCUCUAACUCUAUUAAUCAUCACACUCUCCCACACACCAAAUUUUGGUUCUGCUUCUUUGGAGGAAGCCAAUGCUCUUCUUAAAUGGAAAGCAAGCCUUGAAAUCCCCAAAAACUCCUUACUCUCUUCAUGGAUUCCCCUCCCUUUGAAUUCCAGUGCAUCGGUUCCAUGCACUUCUAGGUUUGGAGUAGUUUGCAAUGCUGAUAGGAGCAUUCACAGGUUGAACCUCAGUUCAUCCGACUUAAAAGGUACACUCCACCAAUUUCCAUUCUCUUUGCUACACAAUCUUACGCAUUUUGAUCUCAAUACAAACAACUUCUUUGGCCCCAUCCCACCAGAAAUCAGACUCCUUACCAAUCUUGUAUAUCUUGAUUUUUCAAUGAAUAAGUUUUCUGGUUCCAUUCCUGUUGAACUUGGGAAUUUAAAGUCUCUCACCGAUCUUGCGGUGUACAACAAUCAACUUAGUGGUUGUAUUCCUUCAUCAUUUGGUGAUUUGACAUCUUUAAAUGCCCUUUAUUUGUAUGAAAAUCAUCUCUCUGGUCUCAUUCCUGUUGAACUUGGGAAUUUAAAGUCUCUCACAAAGCUUGAGGUGGGCCACAAUCAACUUAGUGGUUAUAUUCCUUCAUCAUUGGGUGAUUUGACAUCUUUAAAUGUCCUUUAUUUGUUCCAAAAUCAACUCACUGGUCCUAUUCCUGUUGAACUUGGGAAUUUAAAGUCUCUCAUUGAUCUUGAGGUAAGCAACAAUCAACUUAGUGGUUCUAUUCCUUCAUCAUUGGGUAAUUUGACAUCUUUGAAUGUCCUUUAUUUAUAUGAAAAUCAACUCUCUGGUCCCAUUCCAGUUGAACUUGGGAAUUUAAAGUCUCUCACGGAUCUUGCGGUGCACAACAAUCAACUUAGUGGUUCUAUUCCUUCAUCAUUGGGUAAUUUGACAUCUUUGAAUGUCCUUUAUUUAUAUGAAAAUCAACUCUCUGGUCCCAUUCCAGUUGAACUUGGGAAUUUAAAGUCUCUCACGGAUCUUGCGGUGCACAACAAUCAACUUAGUGGUUCUAUUCCUUCAUCAUUGGGUAAUUUGACAUCUUUGAAUGUCCUUUAUUUAUAUGAAAAUCAACUCUCUGGUCCCAUUCCAGUUGAACUUGGGAAUUUAAAGUCUCUCACGGAUCUUGCGGUGCACAACAAUCAACUUAGUGGUUCUAUUCCUUCAUCAUUUGGUGAUUUGACAUCUUUAAAUCACCUUUAUAUGCAUCACAAUCAGCUUGCUGGUCCCAUUCCUAGUGAACUUGCCAAGUUGAAGUAUCUCACUGAUUUUCAGGUGAACAACAAUAAAAUUAGUGGUUAUAUUCCUUCAGAGUUUGGAAAUUUAACUAAAUUACAUAGACUUAAUCUGUCUUCGAAUAAUUUGGUUGGUGAGAUCCCAAACGAGUUUGGGAAGAUGAAAAAUAUGUUGGAAUUGUACUUGGCAGGUAACCAUCUUUCAGGUGUUAUACCUGUAGANUGCAGGUAACCAUCUUUUAGGUGUUAUACCUGUAGAGCUUGGAUUUUGUGAACUCCUUGAAGUACUCGAUCUAUCCAAAAAUAGAUUGAAUGGUUCGAUUCCAACAAGUAUCGGACAAUGGGCACAUAUCCACUUCUUGAAUCUUAGUAAUAACAAGCUCAGUCAAAAAAUUCCAUCGGAGAUUAGUACAUUAGUUCAUCUUACGGAACUUGAUUUAUCUCAUAACUUUCUCACGAAAGAGAUACCAUCUGGAGUUCAAAGCUUGCAGAGUUUGCAAAAAUUGGAUCUUUCUCAUAAUAGACUAUCUGGUUCUAUUCCAGACGCUUUUAAAAGUUUGCCUAGCGGGAUUGAUAUCAACCUUUCUUUCAAUAAUCUCUCAGGUCCAGUCCCCCCUUAUGCCAACUUUGUGAAUGCGUCCAUAGAAAGAAAUCCAGAUUUGUGUGGGAAUAUUACGAGAGUGAAACUUUGUCCAACUCAGAUUAUGAAGAAGAAAAAUGAUCCCUUUCAUCAUAAGCUUAUCCUUGUAAUUAUGAUCCCCCUUAUCGGGGCUAUUUUACUUGGUGUAUUCACGUAUGGUCUCGUUUCUUAUCAACAACAAAAGAAAAAGUCUCCACAAAAACCAUUGGAUGAAGAAAGUGGUGAUUAUUUCUCUACUACAACUUUUGAUGGAAAAGUGGUGUAUGUUGAUAUCUUGAAGGCAACAAAUGACUUCGAUGAAGCCUAUUGCAUUGGGACCGGAGGAUAUGGGACUGUGUACAAAGUCGAGCUACAACCUAACAAUGUGGUAGCUGUCAAGAAACUUCACUCAUCAUCUGAGAAAGUUGAUCAUAAUGGAUUCAUUAAUGAGGUGCGAGCAUUAACGAACAUAAGGCAUCGAAACAUAGUGAAACUCUAUGGAUAUUGCUCCCAUGUACGCCACUCAUUUUUGAUUUACGGUACCUUGAAAACGGGAGCCUUGGAUCAAUCUUAAGAAGUGAUACCUUCAUAAAAGAAUUGAAUUGGUUGAAAAGGGUCAAUAUUGUAAAGGGCGUGGCUAAUGGUUUGGCUUAUAUGCAUCAUGACUGCUCACCACCUAUAAUUCAUAGAGACAUUUCCAUUGCUAACAUCCUUCUUGAUUCUGAUUAUGAGGCACAUAUUUCUGAUUUUGGCACAUCCAAGCUUUUAAAGCUAGACUCAUCCAACUGGACCACAAUUACAGGCACCUAUGGUUAUAUCGCACCAGGUAAAACAAUCUUGUGAUCUUAGUUCUGCAUCUUCUUAAGUUUCAUGAUAUAUAUAAAGAUGUAUAUGAACAUAUAUGUAUCUAUGUUAGAAUCUUUUGGGAUUGUUAUAACUUUUUUUUUGUUUUUGUCUCGUGUUUCUUUGGAUAUAGAACUUGCUUAUACGAUGGUGGCAACCGAGAAAUGUGAUGUGUAUAGCUUUGGAGUUGUUGCACUAGAAGUGGUCAUGGGAAAGCAUCCUGGAGACCUGAUAACAUCUUUACCAACAUUGUCUGUAGAUUAUUUGGUACUAAAAAAUGUGGGAGAUAGUCGGAUACCUCCUCCCUCAUCUCAAGUUGAGAAACAACUUGAGUUGGUUUUGAGUCUCUCAAGAGCAUGUUUGAACUCCAAUCCACAUGAAAGACCAACAAUGCAACAAGUUUCAAAUAUGUUAAUGAAGGAUCUGCUUUGAAUUGACAUCUCUUGCUUGAUAUAGGCUACUUUAAGUGUCCAUUAUUUUUCGCAAGUUCCGUAUACCGUUUCCAUAUGUACUCAUUUGAAUGGCUUUUUGUUAAGAAACUUCACAUUUAUUUGUAGUAGUAAAGAAAUAGGUCAAUGAAGAUUACUAUACAUCUAAAAACACACUACUGGAAACCAAGGAAAAUGUCGUACACACAUGUCACUCGGUUAGUAUUACUAUACAAUUUUAUUCCCGCACAACAUGUGGGUACAUGCCUGGUUAAUAUGAUAUAUGGGCCACAACUCGGGUCGUACAUCAUGUUAAUGGUCAUAUAUGUCAUUCAAAUAUACAAAAUAUAUUUUAGAUUAUAUGAUGAGCCAUUAAAGUUAAUGGUCAUAUAUGUCAAUGGAGAAUUUUAUCAAACACAUGGUAUUAUGGAUGAGACGUGUCUUUAUAAAGAUGGAAAAUUUUAAAUAUUAAGAAAAAAUUUCAAAUAUCAAAGCAAUUUAAAGAGUCUGGAUCAUUUUUGACUCACUCCAUUCCGAGCAUGCUUUUGAGCUAUUGAACUCCAAAUUUAACAGCCUAAAAUAUUUACACAAGAUAACUAACUAAAUAUUUCAACUAAAACAUACAUGAUUUUAGUUAUUGGAGGAUGUGUUAGAAUAUGGUCCAAUUUCCUUCAAACUUUUUAAUUCUUGGAUCAUGAUGGAUGGUUUUGUCGGAGAUUGUUCACUUAGUGUGUGAUGAGUUUGUUUCAGAUUUUAGUUGGAGUAGGUUUGUUCAUCUGAAAAAUAAACUUAAAUUUGUUAAAAGCAAAAUUAAGGAGUGGUAGUUGCAGAUGCGGGCAUCUAAAGAGGAGAUCUGGGUCUUACAUGUUGCCUCACGUUACCAAAUUGCCGACAUCUUCACCAAAAGGUUUUCCACGAGCUCUAUUUUCUGAUUUUAGAUUUGGUCUAAGCAUUUAUGAUCCUCCUCCUUAGACUCCUCCUCCUUAGACUGAGGGGUAUAUUAGAUUAGCAAAUCAAGAUAAAAUUGCAAAAAUGGUCCCUAUGAUUGGCAAAAUUAUAUGGAUUUGGUUCAAAAUGAAAUGUUGAUGCACCGGUGGUCCAAAAUUGGAUCUUUUUAUUGCUUUUGGUCCCUAUACACUUAAAAUGGCCUUAAUGCCCCUUAUAUUUGUUUUCUAUUUUUUUUUUGUAUUUAUAUAAAUGUUUUUAAUUAAUUUAAAAUGAGAAAAAGGCCCACCCACCUCUGUGUGUGUGUGUGUGUUUGUAUUUGAUGAAACUCAAGAACACAAAAACCAUCUCCAUCUAUUGGCACCACCAUCACCAGCGAUUGUCGCCACCAUCACCGCCGAUUGCCGCCACCGUUCGCCACCAUUAACACCGACUGUCACGACUUUCUCUUUCAUCGUCUCUUUACAACUUCCAUCUCCCUUCGCAUGUAGCCUUCCCACUACUGGAUUCAACCUCUAUACUUCUCAAUGCCAAAAAACCUCUCUCUCUCUCUCUCUGUCUCUCUCUCUCUCUCUCUCUCUCUCUCUCUCUCUCUCUCUCUCUCUCUCUCUCUCUCUCUCUCUCUCUCUCUCUCUCUCUCCAGCAAAAAGCUUUGACCCACCAGAAGUCCUUCAUCAAAACCACAAGCACCACAAUCUUCUUCGGCCACUUCUACCUUGUCAGAACACCACCUACACCUCCUUCCGAAGAAAAGCUCUGAAAUCCAUAACUGUAACUCGAAUCUCGUUGGGGGUAUCGUUCACCACCACACCCAUCCAUUAUUCACCACACCAUUUGUUCACUGCUUGCCUCCAUCCAUUUGCAACCACGCCUCUGCUUCUUAGAUCUGAAACCCAGAUAUUGACGAACCUAUCGACGGAUCUAGAGUUUUCAGAUCUAGUUGUGGUCGGAGGAUUGAGAUUUUUCUAGUGCAGGUUUGAACCUUUGAUGGAAUAAGGUUGUGCAGGUGCUGGAUUGGAGCUUAUUGAAAUUAGGGCUCAUAAUCCCCUGUCUCUUGUUUUAAUCGGGAUAAAGAGGGGACGAACAAAGCAGUCGAACGAGACGAUUUGAAAAGAACAUGAGGGCUCGUGUUCAUUGUGAGGAAGAAGGGAAACAAGGCAGAAGUCCUUCCGUUGAGAGGGAUGAAGCAUUUCUUUGAGACCGGUGACCCUUCGUGGGUUUUCCUUCCUUGUCUUCGGCAGCGAUCUGAAAGACGCAAAGCAGCAAAAUCACCGACCUUGGUUCACUCGAAGAAAUAAGAACGGAGGCGACAUCUAACGAUGAAACUCGAAGGGAAGUUGGACAUAAGAAUGGUCCGGUGGAACAAGGCAAGCAGGUGGGGGUUCGGUGGAGUUUACUAGACAGGAGGAGAAAAGAAGUACGAGAGAUGAAGCUGUUGUCUUGGUGGCUCAUCGACGCACCACCACAACCCAUGGUUCAUGGCAGAUAAAGAUUUAGAGAGAGAGAGAGAGAGAAUGUGUGUGGUGAGUUUAUUUUGUUUUUGUUUUUUAUUUUAUUAUAAGAAUAAGAAAAUAAAUAAAAGAAAAUAAAAUAUAGUUAUUUAAGGGGCAUAUUAGUCAUUUUAGAUGGGACGUGGACCAAAAACACAAGAAAAUACAAUUAUAGGGACCAAAACCACAAAAAGUAUCCAAAAUUGGACCAAUGGUACACCAACAUUUCAUUUUGGACCA